UUACGCUCUAAAAUGGCUAGGUAUAUAUAUAAAUCAAUCGCACCAAUCAAUAUCACACAAUCAUAAUAUUUAUUUAUUAUAAUCUGGUGUCACAAAGCACACAAACACACACACAGUUGCCAAGUAGGAGAGUACAUAUUACUAUAGAAAACAAACAGCUUGGUAACUAGGACCACUUAUUCAGUACAUAUACAUUUCAUAACUCUCAUUUCAUAGUUUAGAAAUGAGUGUUAUCUUCUUUUGGAGGGUGGUGAGGAUGUGGUUUGGGUAAGUUGGUAGGAAGUAUAGGAUGAGGUUUAGAACCUUGAUGAGGAAAUUCUUGAGUAGACGGUGGAUGUUUUGGAUGAUGAUGACGAGGAACUUCUUGAGUAGACGGUGGAUGGUUUGGAUGAUGAUGAGGUUGAGAAGCAAAGCCUUGAGGGAUGAGAAUAAGAGAUGCAAGGAAAAACACAAGCAAGUAUGAGGAAAAAGAAGUCAUCUUAAUCUUAAUUAGUGUGAUUUUAGUAUUGGUGCAUAAAACAUAAGAAAUAAUAUAAUGUUUUAUACUAGUUAGAUUAGAGACAUUGGUGAGUGGGAGGUGCAAUUAUUGAUCAAAUACGUCAGGCUAUUGCCAUAUGCUUACGGAUUAACCUACACGUCACAAAGCAUAUCAAAUUAACUUUUUAAAAGCCUAAUUUAUCGGAAUUAUUGAUUCUGGAUUAGGAUUAAAAAAUCUGCAAUUUUUUAAUUAGGUUUUUCUUGUGGAGGUAGAUGUGUGUCUGUUAACCUGCAUAUAUUAUAUAUAGAGGUUGAAGUUUAAAUUUAGAACAUCCCAUUUAUUUAUUUUGUAAAAAGUAAUAUUUCUAUAAAAGUGUAAAUAACAAAUAAAUACAUUUUUGAAAUAAACGAGAAAGAAGAAACUUAACAAGAACAAAUAAUGUUAUUUUAUAAAAAUUUCUAUGAGUAUUAGUCAAAGUGAGAUAUGUUUAAUUAGUGUUUUUCUUAUGUUGGGCUAGGUUUGGUUAGUAGAAUAAAAACUGCAAAUCAAAACAAAUCAUGUUGUUGAGUAAGAAAAUGAUAUGAAUACAUCCGAAUCAAAGUGUUGUUUUUAAAAUUACAGUGAGUAAGAAACUAAGCUAUGAUAGUGUUGUUUUUAAAAUGCACUACAGUGAGUUGAAGAAAGUGCGAGUGUGUGUUUCUGUUGCAAAAACAUAAAAGUAUUUGUAUAUUUAUUAUUUUAUUUAUUUUGAUAGCAGAGAAAUAUUUAUUCACAAUGAGACCCAUCAGUACAUAAAAUAAAAACCCCGCUCAAACCAAAGUACUCGAAAAUUAAAUUGUUGUUGUUGGCUAUCAGGUAUGUUUCAUCGAGUUAGAAUCCUCUUCAUUUAGUGUACUCUUCAAUCUCCAUUUAUUCUAUUUAGAUUAUCCACAAUGGAGCACUUUAUUUGGGUGUUUAAACGGACUCCGGCUGUACACGUCAUUUGUUUUAUAAUUAAUACUAAAUAAGCAAUCAAUCUCUCCAAUCCAGCACCACAAAAUAAUUACUAAUUGGGUCCCUGCAAAACACUAUAUAAUUUAAUUUUAACAAUAAUUUAUAUAUUCAUUCAUAAUUAUAUAAUUUAAAAAUAUUGAAGUAAUUUAAUUAUAAAUAAUAAAAAAGUUAAAACUUGAAAAAACAAUAUAAAAUAAAUGAUGGUAAAUUAUUUGUUGUUUUGUUAAAAUCCAAUCAUUGUAUGCUUGUUUUUUUUUUUUUUUUUCCAUUCAAAUCGGUAAAUUAUUUUUGUUUUAAAAAAAGUUUUUGUUCAAAAUUUAACGUUGAUCGAUUAAAUAUUACUCUUACAACUUAUAAUUUACUUUUCAAUAUUGAAAUAAUACAACAAUUGAAUUGAGAAAAAAAAUAUAAUUAAUUGUAUAUGUGGGACCCAUGAGUAAUAAGAGAGAGUGCCUAUAAAAGCAUUUAUCUUUAUAAGUGACGUAUUAAUUUGUUUUACAAUGGGGUGCUUAUUUAGCGUGAUGCUAGAAAAAGGACUCCUAUUGUAGAUGGUCUAAAAAUUGUAGUCUUCACAAUUAGAACACGUAAACAAAAGACUUUUUGACUUUAGAAUACCGCUUUUAACUUUAAGUUUUUUUUUUUUUUUUUUUGUCAAGUAGCCUAGUGAUUAGAGCUCACACAAUUUAAUUGUGAAGAAGUGGAGUGUUCGAGGUUCGAACCCCAGCUCCUGCAUAUAAUAUGCAAUAUCCCUACCAACUGAGCUAAGCUAAGUUUUUAAAUUUAACUUUUAGAUUAAACUAAAAAAAUACAUGUGAUCACGCGUUGUUGGUUAAAAUACUAGGAAAUUUCACCCAAAAAAAAUAUUAAGGUAAUGUAAUCAUUAUAAUAUCACGAGUAAUAAUUUAAUCAUUGUCAAAAAAGAGUAAAGUAUUUAAAAAAAGAAUGAGGUAAAGUAUGAUUUUAGUCUCUGAAAUUAUUAACUUUUGCGUCAUUGCCAUAAAAAAAAAUUGGCACUUCUGUUCUUACACAACUUUCUUGCAUGCAAUUUUAGUCAUUACUAAAACAAUUUUUUAAAUUAUUCUUAAACUUUUUAAAAUCUUAAAUGAUUUUGUUCAAGUAUGAUUAGAAUAAUAUAAAAAAUAUUUUCAAAAACUUAGAUUUUUUAAUAUGGGAUUAAUAAAAUAUAAAUUUAUAAUAUAAAAAAAAAAUCAAUAUAAGGUACUGAAAGUUUGGAAUAAUACAACGUGCUAUGAAAGUUUUAUAGGGAGAUUAAAGUGCCAUAAUUUAUUAGGACGAAAAAAAAAAUCGGUAAUUUUGUAGGGACCAAAAAUUUAAUAAACCAAAAUAUAAAACUUCAAGCGAAAUUAUUCAAAUAUAUCAUUUUCUUUCACUUUCUCAAAAUAAAAACAUUUUCUUUCACAUUUACAAAUAAAAUAUUAAUAAAUAUAUACUUCCAUUUAUAUGUAAAAAUAUUAUAUUAUUAUAGAACUACUACGUCGUUCAUUCUGGAUAGCUUCGUGCCAGCUCAUUUUGACAAUAUGUUUUAUGUUGAGUAUUCCUUCAUGAGGGGAUUGAGAAAUGAAAAUUGUAAAUGUUCCAUGCACAUUAUAUCCGUAAAUAUGAAGUUAGGGUUUAAUUGGAAAAAAGUGGGAAAGGAUAAAAUUCCUAUGAGUUGAGGAAAGUAAAUUAAGUUGUUACUAGGUCAUGCAUGUAUCCGUAAUUCUAGAAACGAUAUUGAGUAAUAGUGCUUGCAUGUUUCAUUUUGAAUUGUAUUGACGAAUUUUAAGUUUAUUGUGUGUUUUGUUAAUCAUUCAUGUGUUUCGUUAAUUUAUGGUUUAAGUUAUGAUUUGUGCAUAAAAAUCCCAUAUUCCCACCCUAACUUUCGAUAGUACUGAACCCACUUAGGUUGAUUUGGUGGAUAUGUUUUAGAUCCUUAAUGAAUGAAUGUGGGUUCGAUGCCCAAUGCCAAUAUAGACUCUUAAUAAAUCUUCGAUGCCCUAAGCCUUUGGUUUCGAUUACGGGGCACGUGCUUUCCAUUUUUCACCAUUUUGACUUUCAAACAUUUGGUUUAUUUAAAAUGACCAGUUAAUCGUAGGAAGACCUCAAACUAAUUAUUAUUAAUUUCACAUGACCAUUUAAUUAUUUGAAGAUUUUUUUUUUUUUUUGGUAGAUCAUUUGAAGAUUUUUUAAUAGUCUAUAUUUUGGAUGAGAAAGGUAAUAAAUAUAUGGUCAAUAUCGCCAUAAUUCUUAACUUGGAUGAAUAGAGUUCCAUCUUUAAUAUCUUAGUGCUAAUCCUUUUUUUUUUAAGAAGCUAAAUUAUGCAACCUAAAUUGGCAUUGGAGAGAAUCAAACAUGAAACUUUUAGGAGGAGCACACUCUUAGUAAUAAUUUUUUUAUUAUCAUUAGAACCAAUAAUUUACACUUAGAAGAGAAAAAUGAGCUGGUGAACUCUUCGUUCGAAAAAAACAUAAAUGACAUUGUUUGAAAAUUCGUAAGUGUGAUAAUAUUAUGAUAUAAAAUUGAAGUUAUAUGCGGUAGGUCUGUAAGUAUAAUAUCAUAUUCUUAAAUUAAAGGUCAUGGUGAUAAAGAAAAAUACAACUAUUGGAAUCCAGGACAAUAACUAAAUAGUAACUAUAAAAUAUUUUAGCAAAAUAUAUAUUCCAUAUUUCUUGUUGCUAGUGUAAGAACUCACUCUUUCAUGCUUGGUGUAAUUGUAAUAUCUUGAGUAUGAAACUCAUGCUAUCAUAGAUGUAAAUGAGUGUACAAGAAGUAUUUAUAGGAAAUAUGCAGAUUACAGUUAGCCUAAUUACAAGCUAAAACGAACGUGCUUAAGUAAGCUAACUAGUUAACUUGUAUCUCAAGUAAACUAGGAGCCUUUACUUUAUUAUGACCUUCUUUCUCUAAUAUCCCCUCACAAGCUGGUGAAUGGUAAAUAUCUAACAUUCCAAGCUUGAAUAAAAGAAUGUUGAAUGGUUGAGGAAGAAGAGGUUUAGUACAGAAGUCUGCAAGUUGGCCAUAUGAAGAGACAGGAAGAAGCUUCAUGAUGUCUGCUUGUAGCUUUUCUCUAACCAAGUGACAAUCAAUCUCAAGGUGCUUGGUUCUUUCAUGAAAUACUCGGUUGGCUGCAAUGUGCAAAGCACUUUGGUUAUCACAGUAAAGCACUUUGGCUGCAAUACUGGGUUUCCUUAAGAAGAUAAAGAAGACAUUGAAAUUCACAAGUAGCUUCGCCUAAAGCACGAUAUUCAACUUCUGAAGAAGAUCUGGAGACAGUCAACUGUUUCUUAGUCCUCCAAGAGAUCAGUGAUGGGCCAAGAAAGAAGCAUUGGCCUGAGAUGGAUCUUCUUGAAUCCAAACAACCAGCCCAGUCUGCAUCUGAGUAUCCUGAUAAAUGUAAAGAUGAAUCUCUAGGGAACAUCAAACCCUGCGCAGGACAUUUCUUCAGGUACCUUAAGAUUCUAGUGGCAGCAGUGAAAUGUUGUUCAGUGGGAGAAGUGAGAAACUGGCUCAAUUGUUGAGUAGCAAAAGUGAUGUAUGGCCUUGUAUUAGUGAGAUAUAUGAGCCUGCCAAUCAAUCUUCUAUAGGAGGGCACAUCAUCAUAAGGAGCACUAGAAUCAUUGUGUAGUUUGCAUGAUGGAUCAGAAGGAACGGAGACUGGUUUGUAAGCAAGAUAGCCAGUAUGUGAUAACUGCUAGAAAGUGUUAAAUCCAUGAUGUAUUUUAAGCACUUUUUGUUACUUGUUUCACAAGUUAUUUGAGGAAAAGCCAUGAAAAAGUAAGAAAAUGCCUUAUUAGGCUUUUUAUAUCUUACUUAACCCAUUUGUGCAGAAAAGAAGUGAUCAAGACUUGAACAAAUGAAAGAAACACAAAAAGGAGCAAAAACCAGCAAUUUGUCGCCAUGGCCAGAACCUGUCGCCAGGGCCACAUCCUGUCGCCAUAGCGGGAAACGGGAAAUGACAAAACAUAACCUAUUUCUUUGUGCCUAAAUGUCGUUGUCGCGAAAAAUGUUCUGCCUGGCAAGAAAAGGCGGUUUGGGUUAAGUGAUGAUGUGGCAGAAACCCACUGGCAAAGAAAGUUGAUGUCGUCGUGGCGACAAAUGUCCUGCUGGGCCAGAAUGUCAAAUUGUGCAUAAAGUAUAAAAACCCAUUUCAUUCAUUUCAGACAUGAUCUUUUUACAUUUAUAGAGGGAGAAUAGGGUGAAAUUCUUAUGUUUUCAUAGAGAAAGGAUGUUUGAGUGUGGAUUCGUCAAGAUUCUUGGAGAAAUCAAGUUCUUGGCAUGGAUCUUCAAAUUUCUUUCCACUUUUGUAAUGUUCUCAUGACAGUGAUGAACAAAAUCUCCUUUGUUGGGAUUAGAGGUACUUGAUUAAGUUGAUAAUGUAAACUUUUGAUCUUUCAAUAUAUGAUUCUAGCAAUUUACAUGAUAUUGAAGUUAUUCUUGCAAUUCAUUUCCUAUCUUUGAUUUAAUUGUUAUUGAAAAGUAAUUUUGAAUCUAUGUUUAGAAUAUUCAUCUAUCAAAACAAUGGAUUGUUUAAUAGUUAGGGGAAUCAACGAUUGAACAAUACAAUUGAUUUCACAAGAUUAUUUGGACACGAAUAGUCUUGUUGAACGAUACGUGAUAAUAUCGGUAAAACGCUAGAAUCCAUAUAUGUGAUUAUUAUGUUAUGUUUGACGCUUAACCAAGGAACUCUAAUUCCAACGUUUUUACGCCUUAUUACUCUCUGUUUUUAUCUUCGCAAUUUAGUUUCCAUCGUUUUAAACAAACAACCAAUCAAACUAUAGCCUAGAGUAUCACAGAAGUCCUUGUGGAGACGAUAACAAAAAUACUUACUUUUGAUACUACAUCAGUAUCUAUAAGUAAAUCAAUGCAAUAUUUUCUCUGACAUAGAGAUAUGCCUUGAGAAGAAUCAGAAACCUCUAAACCAAGAAAAUACUUCAAUUAACCAAGAUAAUAAAUCACCAGCAAUUAUCACAUCAUCUACAUAAACAAGUAAUGAUGUGAAAGAAGUAGCAGUCUUUUUGGUGAAUAAGGAAUGAUCACUGAUAGACUGUGUAUAGUUGUGAUGUAGAAGUAGAGAGGUGAGCUUCUCAUACCACUUUCUACUUGCUUGUUUCAAUCCAUACAGUGAUUUUACUAGUUUGCAAACCUGAUUUGGUUUGCAAGUAGUGAUACCUUGAGGAACAAUCAUGUAAACAUCUUCCUGCAAAUCUCCAUCUAAAAAUUCAUUAUUAACAUCCAGCUGAUGAAUGUGCCAAUGAUUGAUGGAUUCCAAAGCAAUAACAGUUCUGACAGUUGUAAAUUUGGCAACUUGAGAGUAAGUAUCAAAGUAAUCCAAUCCUUCAAUUUGAUUAUAACCUUUGGCAACCAAUCUAGCUUUGUAUCUCUCUACUGAGCCUUCUGCAUGAUAUUUGAUUUUGAAAAUCCAUUUACAACCAAUAGGCUUGACAUUUGGUAUUAAAUCAACUAGUUUCCAUGUCCCAGUAUUUUCAAGAGCAAUGAUCUAAGCUUGCAUAACCUGAUUCCAACAACUGAAUUUGCUUGCCUCAGCAUAUGUAGUGGGCUCAGUCUGGGAGUCAAGAGACAAAGAAUAAGCAAAAUGAGAAGGUGACAAAUUGGUAAAAGAAAUGUAAUAAUGAAUAGGAUAUUAGACAUCAGAAGAAAGAGAAGCAGAAGCAAUAGUGAAAUUACAAACACAAUCUUGUAAGUGUGUAGGUGGGUUAGUAUUCCUGGACGACCUUCUCAAUGGAGGUGGAUCAAUAGGUGAUGUGGUGGGUGAAGGGGAGUGAUUAAUAUCAAUAGGAGGUGAGUCAGUAUCGAUAAAAGGAGGUGGAAAUGGAGGUGAAGGAAGAAUAGUAGGGUUGCUUGUUGAACAAGCAUCAGAAGGAAAAUAAUUCUAAUCAGUAGUAAUUGAUGAUGAGGAUGGAGGAUAAGGCGGUAUAUGCUCAUGAAAACUGACAUGUGUAGAGAUAUGAAUUUCUAUAGUGUGGAUAUCUAACAAAACAAAACCUUUGAAACCAAUGAAGUAUCCUAGAAACACAAACUUUCUGGCUCUAGCAGCUAGUUUGGUUAUAUGGGAAUGAAGGGAAGUGGAGAAGCACAAGGAACCAAAAACUUUAAAUGAAUCAAUGUCAGGAAAUUUAUCAUGAAGAAGUUUGUAAGGUGAUUUGUUAUGAAGUGUAGGGGAAGUAACCCUGUUGAUGAUAAAAGUGGCAUGUAGGAGAGCAUAAGACCAAUAAGAUGCAGGAAGUUUAGAUUGAUAUAGAAGGGCUCUGCCUACAUUAAGGAUAUGUUGGUACUUUCUCUUAACCCUAACAUGUUGUUGAGGGGUCUCAACACAAGACUUAUGAUGAAAAAUACCCUUAGAAGCAUAAAAUGAAUUGAGCAAAAACUCAGGACCAUUAUCACUUCUGACAAUUUUAGGAGUAAUAUGAUAUUGGUUUUCUAUAAGAGUGAUGAAGUUUUUAACAUGUUGUGAAACUUUAGACUUAUUUUUAAGUAAAACAAUCCAGACAAAUAUACUAUAAUCAUCAAGUAUAGUGAGAAAAUAUCUAUGAUUAUGGACAAAAGUAAUGGACAAAGGGCCCCAAAUAUAAAAAUGCAAUAGUUCAAACUUGCUACAAGCAACAUACAAACUAUUUGUAAAAGGUAACUUCUUUUGUCUAACAAAAUGGCAUAUAUCACAAGUGGCUUGAUGAUCAAAAGAUAAUGAAGGAUAAAGUUUGGACAUAUGAGAGAGUCUCUUAUGAGAAACAUGCCAUAACUUAAAGUGCCAUAAAGUAGAAGAAGGAAUGGUCAUGUUUUUAUUGGUGGAAACAUGAUAAAUAAAAGAAUUAUUGUGUAAAGGAAAAGCAGAAAAAUCUAAAACAAGUCUAUAGAGACCUUCAAACUGUUCACCCAAACCAAUCAUCUUAUGGGAGUCAAGAUCCUGUAACAAACACUUGUUGUCAUGAAAGGUGACAAAGCAUUGUAAAGAAUCACAUAGUUUAGAAAUGGAAAUUAAGUUGAAGUUGAAUGAAGGUGAAUAUAGAACAUUGUCAAGGUAAAAAUGAGGUGUAAAGUGUAUGGUGCCAACAUAUUCAGCUAAAAUAGAUGAACCAUUAGGUAAAUUGAUAGGUUUAGGUGAAAUUUUGUGAAAGGAGUUGAACCAAUUUGAAGAAGAAACAAUCUGUUCAUUUGCACCAGAAUCUAACAAUCAUAUAUCAGAUUUUGAAGAUAUGGAACAAGUAAAUAUGGAAGAAGAUAUACCUGAUUGUAUAGUGGAGAUAGAAUUAGAAGCAGGGGAAGUAUGAACAUGAUUGACACUAGUUUGAGGUGAAGCUACAGAUGAAGCAUGAAGCAAAUUCACUUGUUGUAACAGGCUAAGAAUUCGAUCAUACUUCUCUUGAGAAAUAUUAGAACUAGAGGAUGAAGAAGCAUCAUUGCAACUUCUUGAUUGAGCCUCAAUUUCUUCAAAGCUACUUAAGGCAUUCACAGAAGAAUUAUGCUUAUGAAAGUUUGGAUUUGGAUGUCCAUGCUUUUGAUCACAAUAUUCAAUAGUGUGAUUGUUCUUUCCACAAAAUGAACAAUGUCUAGGAGGCUUGGAUCCACUAAAGUAUCCUCUUCCUCUUCCUUGUGGCUUGCGUGAAUCAACAACAUUGAUAAUGGAUGAAGGUUCACCAAUGGAGGAAGAAAGUGAAUGAUUGUUACUUUCCUCUUGGAUAACCACAAAAUAUACUUUGUUGAUAGAAGGAAGUGGAUCAAUCAUCAGUACUUGAGUUUUGAUAACUUUGAAUUGAUCAUUCAAACUAGUCAAAAACUAGAUUACUUGAUCUUUAAGUCUGCAAUUAUGUGCCUCUCUCAUAGCUGCACAACAACAGGGAUGAGGAUAAGUGCAAGGUGGCAUUGGACGGUGUGAAUUCAACUCUUCCCAAAGAGUUUUCAUUUCAGUAAAGUAAUCCAAAACUAACUUAGAACCUUGCUUCAAAUUGUUGAUCUUAGAACGAAGCGUAGCAAUACGAAUGUGAUCUACCUUGGAAAAACGUUCUUUUAGAUCUAACCAAGCAUCAAUGGUGUUUUCAUGGAAAACCAGAGUUUGUUCAAUUUGAGGAGUAACUGAAUUGAUAAUCCAUGACUGAAUUAGGUGAUUGCAAUGUUCCCAGGCACUGCGAUUGAAAUCUUCCUCAUCUGGAAGUUCCAUGGAUCCAUCGACAAACUUCAAUUUGUUCUUCGCACCAAAAGCGAGAAUCAUGGAACGACUCCAUGCGAGGUAGUUAGAACCAUCCAAGAGUUAAGUGACAAUAACUUAAUUCGGUCCUUCAAUUGAUUGCACGUAAAAAAAUUAUUCAGUGCCAGGUUGAUUCUGACGAGGCAUGAUGAACAAAGAAGCAAAUGACGAAGAAGAGAAGAAAAACUUGCUGCAAAACGCAAGAACAACAAGAGAUUCACAAAGGAAGAAGAAAUUCGUGAGGAAUCAAUGGAGAAAUGUGAAGUUUUCAGCAAAAAACGAAGAAGGUGAAGAAAAGGAUCUUAACUUUUGUAAUAAACUUCCACCAUGGAAAUGAGAGAAAAAAGCUCCGAUACCAUGUUAUGGGAAGCAAAUAAUGAAAUGAAUCUCAUUUCUCAUAGAUGUAAAUGAGUGUUUCUCAUAGAUGUAAAUGAGUGUACAAGAAGUAUUUGUAGGCAAUAUGCAUAUUACAAUUAGCCUAAUUACAAGCUAAAAUGAACAUGCUUAAGUAAGCUAAACUAGUUAACUUGUGUAUCAAGUAAACUAGGAGCCUUUACUUUAUUAUGACCUUCUUUAUAUAAUACUAUAUGAUACACAUUUGCGAUUACGGCACUUAUACAAUAUAAGCCGAGUUCUUGGUGGGCAAUCAUUAUUAGUUAUACAAACAACAUAUCCUGCAGUGAAAGAAUAUAAUAAACAAAUGUUAUAAAAAUGAAAUAAAGAUUAUAUAUGAACUACAAACUAAAGAAUGAAAUUUUAAAAGGAUGGAAAAAAACAUUACCCUUAACAUUAUUUGCAAGAAAAAAUAGGAAGAUAAAUAAAAUUAUAGCAUACACAAACAUAUGAGUCAUAUCUUUGUCUCUAUACAUACAACAAAUAUAAUUUAUUUGAUCACUUUAUAGUGUAUAAUCUUUACAUUCAACAAAUACAAUUUAAUUGAUUACUUUAUAGGGUAUAAACCUCACGCUGUGUUGAGAAAAAUAUAAUUAUUUUUACCUCUUAAGAACUUUUAAAAGUCUCUCCCUAAAUUUAGAAUUAUUAUUAAGUGUCUCUUAAGAAGAUGAAUGUGUAAUAUUAUUCAUUUACCACACUUAAUAAAGGCAUAAAAUAAAAAACUUGCUAAUCAUUACAAUUUAAUAUUUUGGUAGUUAACCUUAUUACUUUUGAUGAUUGAAAGGGGAACUUUAAAAAAUAAUAAUGCAUAAAUUAAUCGUAUUGUAGUAUUUUUAUAUAUAAAAUCAUUUAAUCAUAUGGAAAAGUAUAAAAUUAUGAUUAUACAAAUCCAACGAGAUAAAAAUCGUUAUUUUUCGUUGUUGGUAUAGAUAGAAUUUCGAAUAAAAUCAAAUAAGAAUUCAAAACAAGUGAUAAACAGGGUUCUAAAUCAUAUAAUAUUGGCUUUGAUACCACAUGUGAGAAGAUAUUGAAUAUUAUACGAGAUAGAACAUACUUACUUGUUGGUAGCAAUGUCAUGGAUGAGUCUUCCUUUGCCUUUCACGGUGCUCCAGUUCUCGAUGUGGUAAACCACUGAUGAGCAGAAACAUCAGAGUGAUGGAAAAUGGAACCUAGCCUUUCUAUUUAUUAUUGUGCAAUCCUAGUUACCACCCAUCAUGGAUCCUAGUGUUUGGACCUACAAUUUAUUUCUACACAAAUCAUAUUAAGUGCCCAAAUCACAUUAUAUAUUGAUCACUUUUAUUAGAGCCUAAGCAUCAUCAAAUAGAUCAUAACAUCAGUCCACUUUUAUUAAACCAAAACGAAUAAUUGAUUGCAACCCACAAAAUAUUAGAAGAAAUUCUAACAUUCUCCAACACAUGUAAAAUCAAUUGUGUAUUUUUAAUUAAAAAAAUUGAAAACGACUCUCGGACUGAUAAUAAACUUCCUAACAUGGCCACUAAAUGAUCCCAUGAUGCAACACUUUAGUAAUACUUCAUCCAAAAUAUAAAAAAAAUUGAAUGAUAUCGAAUCAUGGCGGUAGUUAUAUCCUUAUUGAUAGAACACCUUCCAUGGUUACAAAUAUCACAAAUUUCGUCGACUAGUCAUUUGUGUAGAGUGUAGCAAGAAAUGAUAUGUCAACGUGAUCAUCGACCAUAUUUUCCUUUUUAUUUUCGGUCCUCAAUUUCUCUCUAAUGUCUUAAAGCCAGAGAAAUUAUGUGAUUCCUCUCAAAUGCCUUAAAGCCAAAGAAAUUAUGUGGUUCACACAAAACAACAUUGUGUCAACUAUAUAAAAUAGUGUUGAUCAUUGAUGCACGAUCGGACUAAUGGCAAGUGUACCAAUCAUUUACCAAGUAAUAAAGUGAUGAGUAAAGUAUCGUAUCCACAGGGAUUGUCCUUUCGCCCAAACAAUUCGCGUUACUUAUUAAGUUGACGAUACAAAAGUUAAGGGUUAAAAAGACUUGCAAUUUUUAUCUGUUUGCAACGGAGCAAGUUUACCUGUUUUGGUUGCAGAAAAGUAAGCAACGGUUAGGAUUCUUCGAAUCCCCUAUGUAUAUUCAUUGUUGGAUUAUAAGUAAAAUAUAUGUCGCGUUAAUUUAUCUUAGGUAGACUAUACGAGUGAUGAGGCCAUUGGAAUGUUCCUAACUGGAUAAGGCAUCACCUGACCCAAUGGGAUUUAAUACUGAGUAUCUAAUUAGGCUUUUACCACUGAUGGCUAACUGCACCUGUUGAUCGCACGGUGAUCCUUACGUGCGGGGUCUUGGUAAUUCAAAGGUAAUUGAAACAUAAACUUUAUAUUGGCUUCCCAAGGCGAUAAAACACGCGAAUAUUACAAAUAUUCAAGAAAUAGACGUCACGUCUUCAAUAAUUCUCAAAACAUGCAUAAAAAUUUCUCAAAAACAUCGCAGCGGAUAAAUAGCAUACAUAUCCAUGUAGCCAUGUCAUAUGCAUGAUAAAUACACCACCAAAUAAAUCAGCAGUCUUAACAUAUGAGUAAAAGUCAGAACAAUAUAUAAAAUAGUCAACACCAAAGAAAAAGCAAGACCGACACCCUAAAUCAGAGCCUAAUACUAAGACUCCAAAGCAGAUAAACGGGGGAAGUGAUGAGUCAUUUAUUAUAUAUUUUUAUAUGUUAUUUAGUUUAGUUUUAAUUAGAUUUAAGUUUAUUUUAUAUUAGUAUUAUUUCCUUUUCGAGCUAUUUUACUACAAUUGCAUAUUGUUAUAUUUCAUAAACGAAUAUUUGAUGGAUUGAGUCUUGGAGCAAAAGAAAGGGGUUUUGGAGCUGAUUCGGUACGAAAAUAUGAAGAUUCGGAGACAAAAAUAUAUCUCCCUAAAGUCAGAAGCUUGGCACGGCCGUGCCACCUCCCAGAACAACUUUUGCUGCUUUUGCUUAGAGUAGCUAGCCAUCAGAAAUAUUCAUCUUUUCUUGGAAUGCAAUAUGUGACAAUUGUCUUUCUAAUAAAAGUUCAUUUACUUUCUUGUUUUUUACUUUUAUGCUUUCUCUCUUCUUCUCCUUGUCUACGAUGAACAUUAGUGAGUAGACUUCUUCUUGUCUUGGGAUUGUUGGAUAAGUCUAAAUGACAUAAUCCUAAUCAAACCAAGCUCUAAGCCUUAAUCUUAUGUAACCCUAAUUUCUUAUCUAAAUUCACCGCUUUAACAUGGAUCAACCAUUAUCUAACUGUGGAAACGAAAGUGGAGGUGUUAUACCUUGAUUUUGGACCUAAAAAUACUCGUUCAAAUUUCUUUUCUAACACUGAUAUUUGUCAAUUCGCUGUUGUUUUACUCUGAACCUUUACUCUCUUUUCAUCUGCAUAUUUUACUGUCUCUGUCUCAAAGUACGUUCAAGCAUGAUUUUCUUGCAUAAAACUAUCCAAAGUGUUUUUCUUGCAUUACAAGUCAUUUGAAAACUCUCUGAAUCAUUGCAUUACUUUUCUUACAUUUUAUUUCAAAAAUCAUACAAAAAGGGUAUUUUGGUCAUUUCCUGCAGUGGAACCCAUUUUAGUCCCUGUGUUUGUCUCUGAGUCUUUUCAACCUGUCUGUACAAAUCAUUGUUGAGUCUUUGUUUAAAAAAAAACCAUUUCAAAAAAUCGCAUCUGAGUCAGUUUGAGUCAGUUUAGUCCCUAGGGGCAUUUUGGUCUUUUCCUAUCAAAAUUUCGGCAGAGAGGUAUUUUGAAAUACCUCAUUUUUGUAAUUGGUUCAUUUUAGUCCUUUUGUUGAUUUUAUUUUAGGUUUCACUUUACUUUUUUUUCCAAUUUACCAAUUUUAAUUCAAUUUUAUUUUUAAUUGCAUUCUGGUCCCUCAAACAAGUUUCCAGAAUUGCACUUUAGUCCAAAACUUUUUAAAAUUGCAUUUUUAGUCCAUUAUUAUUAAUUGAAGUUUAGUCCUCAAUUUUACUUUUUUGCAGAAAGGCCCCUAAGUCCAAAACAGGUGUCAUCAUCUCAUUAAUCCAGAAUCACACAUGGCAGCCUAUAAAAGGUACACAGUGCCACACAGACCCACAGAUCACACGCCACAUCACAAACAGAUUCAGAUUUUCUCUCUCUUUUCUAUUAGAUCAAAACUCAGAGAACACCAAGAACACAAGAACAUUCAUAAAACCCUAAAUCUCCAUAAUCACAAUGGAAUACCAAAUUCAGUGAAUUUUUCUUGCAAUUCUCAGAGAUUCAUCACUGAAUCUUCAUCAUCGAAUUGGUUUCCUUCGCAAUUCAAGGUGCGAAUUCGCCAUUGGCAAACUCAAGCAUCGAUCACGAAGGAAUCAGUGAGAAGAAGAAGAGAAAGAAGACGAAGAAGAUUGAACCAGCGAAGAAGAAGAAGAACCGAUUUAUUUUCGGAUUCAAAUCCAAAAAAUCAACAAACAGAAUCAAGUUCAAGUGUUUCCGGAGAUCUUCGCUCAAAACCUCCAAUCGAAAUCACAGGUAAACACUCAAACUUCCUCUUUCUUGCUCAAAAACAGCAACGAGGACAAAUCAAUGUAGAUCUAUGAAGUUUCAAAGAGUUUCAUUCAAAAAAACUAAAAACCUAAAAAAUAUUUUCAAAACCGUAAUAAAAAAAUGUAGAUCUACAAAGAUUUAAGCCUUGCAUGCAAAAACCAAUGCCAGAUUCGUGCUUAGAAUAAGAAAACGAAGAGAUUGAUGCAUGAUUUGUGUUUUUCUGGUGAGGAUCUAGGUUACCGGAACCUGGAGAUCUCGCCGGAGAAGAUGAAGUUUCCAGCGGAUCUAUGAAGAUUCCGGCCGAACUUCAUCAUCUUCGGCCGCUCAAUCCAGAAGCCGACGGAGGGAGAGAGGAGAGAGGCGAGAGCUUCUCUCACUAGGUGAGAGUUAGAGAGAGAAAGAAAUUAGAGGAAUGAUUGAACCGGCGCUAACAUGCUUUUGUAGACCCCUAGACCGGACCGGUUCAAGACCGGUCCAAUCCCUUGCAAUCCUGGGCGUUGGAUCUAGGGUUUCCCUCCCUGGAUCAAUCCAACGCUCCCUGUGUGUUCGGACCUUAGAUUUUGGGCUUGGGCCUCCUCCUGCGCAGAUUCUUUGUUUUUUUGUUAAUUUCUUGCUAUUUGCACCCUACCUCUUGCUAUGUGAACCUCCUGUUGUCUAAAUUUUUCUUGCAAAAAUUCCUAAAAAUUCCUAUAUGUUUCUUGAUGUAUUUUAAUACUUUUGUGAUGUUUUUUUACAUGUUAAAAAAUGAUAAAAAUAUAUGUAAUAUUUUCUUGUUGAUUUGUUCAUUUUUUUUAUUAAACUUGUGAAUUUUCUUGCCAUAAUUUGUUCAUGAGGUCUUGACAUGAUAUGAGUGAUUAAUAUACAAUUUCAUGUUGAAUAUGCUGCUGAUUGUGUGAUUGUUCUACUGUUUUAAUGUGAUUUGUUAAUUUCUUUUGUUACAAGUAACGUGUAUAUUUUGCAUUUUGGUUAUUGUUGUUAUUUUUACCGUUUCGCCUCGUAAUUCUUUGCUUGUUUUCUUACCAUUUUACACCUUGUUUUACUAACCAUUUCAUUUCAUGUUUCAUCCAUCUCAUGAGCAUCUUGCCAUUGUCAUCUCAAUUUCUCAUAGUUUAGGCAUUUUUACCUUUUAAAUUCUAUGUUAAAAUGUCAUGUAAUAUUUUAGGUAGUUUAAGUUUCCUUUUAAUUUCUUGCAAGACCAUAGAAUGUAAACUAGGGCAAACGUAACGGACAAUGGACUCUCUAUAGUGAUGUACACACGUUGUAUGCUUACCGCUUUAGAUGUAUGCUUAGGAAACGCGAUACUUAGAAAAAUACUAAUUUUUUUCAAAAACAAGCAAAUUCCAUCACUUGAAAUUUUUUCCAAAUAAACCUUGGAGUCAAAACUCCAUUGAAUUUUCUUUUCUUAAUCAAACUCAAAUGAACUCUAAUUCCAGCUUACACCUUUUUUUUUUAAUAAUAAUUGAACCAACUAUUCACCAUUUUUUCUCUCAUGCCUUUACGGCCUCUUUCUCUUCUUCAAAACCAUUUUCCAACACUUAAAAUCAAUUGAAACACACAAAAACAUUUUUUGAAAGAGAACUACAUGGAAUUUUGAUCCCUUAAAAGGGUAUGUAGGCAAGAGGUCAAAACCUCUCCAAGUCCAAUAAAAUCAAACGUCAAACAUUUUCUCCCUCCAUUCUUAACCUAAAUAGACAACUUCUUUUUUAUAAAUAGCAUUAAAAAUAAAGCGUAGACAUAAAACUAGGAAAACGGUUCCUAUAGAGUACUAUAGUCAUUGCGGGUGCCUAACACCUUCCCGUAACGAAAACGACCCCCGAACUUAGAAUUUCUAAGGGUUUUCUCAAUUUUGCCCUUCCCAAGAAAAAAUAGAGAAUAUCAAAUAUUGAAAGGUUCCAGCCUAAUUAAUGACUUGAUACCCCGAAAUCGUGAUAACAUGAGGGUUUGAUAAUUGUUUAUCCAUCAUCUCAAAUAUCAAUUCAUAAAACGAAAGUGGAGCUUUGAUAUUCGAACAAGUGAAUUUAUACAAGGGUUUCAAAGGCAGCGAAAUAGUCUUUGAAAUCUUUGAGACAUAUAGUUUCGAUCUUCAAGGAAACUAAUAAUGAUCAAGUCAGCGAAAUAGGCUUGGUUGUUAGAGGAACCAAAAUCUAAUAGUAAUCAAGUCAGCGAAAUAGGCUUGGUUGCUAGAGGAACAAAAGAGAAAUUGUCUUGAGAAAUUAGGUCUAACAUAAAGUUAUAAGCUUAUAGUUUGGUUUGUGAAGGACUUGUCAUUUAGAGGAACCAAUAAUCCCAAGGCUUUUAUCUUUUCUUUUAUUAUUUUCUUUUAAUUAAAAAUACAAACUUUUCUACCUUCUAAACCUUCAGUCUAAUCAUUAUUUAAAGUUAAUUGAAUUCCUAACUCCCUGUCGGAACGAUACUUUAUUUUUACUACUUCGGUAAGACCGUGCACUUGCGGUUUUAUCCCAUCAGGAAGCUCCUGCUAUCCUCAUGCAACUCACCAAACAAGCAACAAGCUUCUCUUUCACACCGUCUACACCAUAUUUAAAUAUACUGAGGCGGUCACCCGAACGACCACUAGGGGGUUAGUCUACAAUCCACAAUUAAUGCAUAAUCAAACAUAAGCAUUCAAGGAUUUCAUGCAUAACACAUACACAUACUCAACAUUCUUAGAAUAUUAACUCCACAUGGAUAUUAUCCCUCAUUCCUUACACAUCAUAUUGUUACAAUUCUAUCAUAGCACAUCAAGCAUAUUCCUCCAAUAAUCAAAUCGUCAACAAAGUACAUCACUUAACAGCAUCAAUCCAUAUAAGAAUUACUCACCUUAUUCCUCAUUUAACAUAGUUAACUCAACAUAAUACCAUUCAUCAUUUAAAAAGUAUAAACAAGGAAAUUACCGUCACCAAAGACAUUAUCAAAUCACAUAUAAUUCACACUUCAUUAUUUUCACCAAAAUAAACAUCAUCAAUUAAAAUCACCAAGUGUACAAGUAUGGCACAACAUCAUCAAGUACACAAUUCACCAAGUUAACUGAUGCACAUAUUCAACUAAUUCACAUAAUUCACCAAUGCACAUAAGCAAGUAUGACACCUGUCAAGUUAUGCAAUGCGCCUAGACAGGACUUCUAUAUGCAUGUGGUACCAAGUCAACACCGAGGUCGUCACCUCAAGAUACAUAUGUAUCAUAAUCAUUGCCAAUAUAAAUGCAAAGCAAUCAGUCUCAUUUUUAUCAUAUUGCAAAGCCAAUUCAUUAUCAACAAAAAAACUAAGUCUGAUCCAUCAUUGCAUAGGUUAAAUACUCUUCACUUCCUAAUACUCAUGUUUUGAGUUUUGGGUUGACUGAAAAAUACUUAAGUUGAAUUUUCGUAAAAUUUUAUCAAGACAUACUUGGAGUAUUGUCAUCAUAACCCAAAAUAUAGACAUCAUUUUCAAGCCAAACCAAAGUCAUGGGAAAGCUAACACAUAUCUAAAACUUUCAUGUUUAAACCUAAAGCCAAUUCAAAACAUAAAUGUGUGAAAAAGACACAAGAAUGCGAAACAAGGAAUGAUGUCACUGAGUAGCUCGCUUCGAGCGAGUUUCCUCCAGACAGAACUCGCUCCAAGCUAGCUUCAAGCGAGUCCCCCCUAUACUUACGAGUUUUACACCACUUUUCACCAAAAAUCCUCAAUUUUGACCUCCCUUAACCCAAAACUCGAUCCCAAAUCUUAAACACUUGAUUACAAACAUCGAAGGGCAUUCAAAACAACAACAACAUCAGAUUACAACACAGAUUCAUCUCAAAAUCAUCAUCUAGUUCAUUUUCACCAAAAACGACCAAAACUCAACACACACAACAACAACACACCCAACAUGAAUAAAAUCAUGGAAUCUCUAACACCCAUAGCAUAAUUCAUCACCAUUAUCAUAACACAACGUCAUUCAAGACAUAAUUCUACAAUUCCAUCAACAAACAACAACAACUUCAUUUUCACCCAAUUAAGCAAAAAUCAAUUAAGUGACUUAACGACACACUUUUCUCAUACAAAAUCAACAACAACAACAAGUUUAGCAUAAAUUUUUCACACACAAACUUAUCAUCAAAGAAGGAGCACGAAAAUCAUCAUUAAAAUUCACAAAAAUCACAUUUCACAAAUAAGCACUUAUGAAACUAAGUAGAAAAAGUGAUUUGGCUUCACUUUUUCUCCUUAAGUCUCUAGCCUCUUCUUCCUCUCCAAGCUCUUCUUCUCCAAAAACCCUUUUCUCCUCUUCUCUAGCUAUUUCUCUCUCUACCUCCCUCAAUAUUUUGUGAAAAUGAGUGAAUGAGUAUAAAAGACCUAAUUUCUCUUAAGACUAGAGUUUAUAUAGGCUCUUCACAAAUGAACUUAACCCUCAAUUGUCUUAAUGGGAUUAAAGUUCGUACUAACUAAUUCACCAAGUUUCUACUCAUUUACGGAUAAAAAUAACGAAUAAUUUCUGUCUCUUAUUUAAUUACCCAAACUCACUAGUAACUUAGUAAAAAUAUUUAUUGUCACCCAAAACAUUAAAAAUAAUUCUCAUAACCAAAAAACUAUUUUACCCAGAGUUUGAAAUUACUAAAAUACCCUCAUUAAGUCAAAAUCUACUAAUCCUGGAUAAAAUACACAUGGAGACAAUUAAUCACAUACAAGCACAUAUAAACACACAUAAUAAAUAAUUAAAAUAAUUUCUAGCGAAAAUUGAGCUGUUACAAGGUUCCCUUAGGUCUGUACAUCUAUGAAUCUUAGGACACACAUAGCACACUCUCUCUACACUUUCUUAGUAGUUCUACAAACGGGCAGCCCUAAUCUACGUCUACCUUACUAAGGGUUUCAAUAGAAUGGUUAUAUUAGGUUGUAGCUCUAAGUCGGACAGCUAGGUGAUUGUUUCCCUAAUUACUAACAAGUUAAUUCAUAGGUUCAGUAAGGCACCACCCGAUUUAAUGAGAUUUAACACUGAGUACCUACACCUACGAUCAACAAUUCUUAUGGCAUCUUUCGCUAAUUAAUAAUCACGUACUUCCUAGACAGAUAGUUAUAAGUAAAAGGAUAUAACUAUCAAGAUAUAAGCAUCCGGUUAGUGAUAGUAAUAUUAGGCCCUAUCGCAACCUAGGUACCUAGUCUAGGGUUGCCCUCUCACAGAAAUAAAACUACAUCCUAAUAAAAUGGAUUAGUCCGAAAAAUAAUGUAUUCAAUUUUUUUAAAAGUUGAAAAUAUCCUUAAGACUGUAUUUUUUAUAUUAUAUUUCCUUUAAGAUAGUGUUUCACUAUAUAUAAAAAAAGUCAUGCUAAAUAACUACAAAAAGAAAUGAAAAAUAAAUUCAGCAUUGAAAUAAUUAACUUUUAGAUUUGUUAGAUGUUAAAAGCACAAUUUCCAAUACUAUAUUUUUAUGUUGGGUUUUCUUAACAUGUACCCUUAAGGGCACAAACUAAUUUUUCCCAUAAAAAAAAUGUUUAAAUGUUGUUCACGCCACAAAUUUGUUGUACUAUUUUUCACUUAUUGUCUGCUUCAAUUUGAGUUUGAUGUAUGAUAGUGUUGUUUUUAGGGUUAAUAAUGCUUACCCCUGUGAUAUAGGUUAUUUUCGAUUCUCCCCUCUGUAAUUUUUUUAUUUAUUUACCCCUGUAAUUUUUUUGUUUUGGAAUACCCCCUAAUAGGUCAUAAAAAAAAACCAACUUUUUUUUUGGGUUAAUGAUGUUUUACCCCCUGUAAUAUUAGCUCAUUUCCAGUUUUCAACCCUCAAAAAAAUUUUGUUUAGUUUUCGUCCUUAUAAUUUGAGGUUUUUUUUUGUUUUGGACCUUCAUGGCAAAUUUUGCACCCUCUAAUUUGUGAAAAAUUCGGUUUACACCCCUGUAAUUUAAGAAAAUUUUGGUUUAGCUCCUACAAAAUCGUCUAUUUUGUACUGUCAAAAUUCAUGAAGGUUCAAACCUAGAAAUCUUCAAAUUACAAGGACAAAAACAAAACUAAAAAAUUUACGUGGUGAAAAAUUGGAAAUGAUCUUUAUUACGUGGGAUAAAGCACUAUUAACCCUAUUUUUUUAUUUUUAUUUUUGCAAAAAUUUUCGUUUUUCUAUGACCUAUUAGGAGGUAUUUCAAAACAAAUUUACAGGAGAAAAACCGGAAAUGACCUAUAUUACAUGGAUAAAGUAUCAUUAACCCUUAUUUUAAAAAUGCACUACAGUGAGUUGAACAAACUGCAAGUGUGUGUGCUUUUGUUGCAAAAAAAAAAAAAAAAGUAUUUGUUUAUUUAUUUAUUUUGAUAGUAGAGAAAUAUUUAUUCCCAACGAGACCCAUCAAUACAGAAAAUAAAGACCCCGCUCAAACCAAAGUACUUGAAAUUAAAUUUUUGUUCGUGGCUAUUAGGUAUGUUUCAUCGAGUUAGAAUCCACUUCAUUUAGUGUACUCUUCAAUCUCCAUUUCUUUUUAUUUGAAGAGAUAAAGAAAUAAUGAAUUUUGAAAAAAAUACAAAUUAUUAAUAAUGGUGGGACUCAUUUAAUAAUAUGACCUAUUAUCUACUAUUUUGUGUCUAUCUCUCACAGAAUGAUAUUUUCUGUUUAUUUGAAACAAAUGGAGAUGAUCAUCUUCCACGAUACAAAUGGGUAAACAAAUUUAUUUAGCUAUCAAAUGAGAAAAAUAUGUUUGCACAACUUAAACUCAGCGGUAACUACAAACUUAUAUGCUUUAACUUGUCUUGAUAUGGAUAAUAUAUGUUUUAUCUUGUCUCAUAAGUCAUAGCUCAACUGACAAAAAUGCUGAAAUUAAUAGGCCGGAUGUCUUGAUCGGUGUUCGAACCCUGAUACCUCCACUUUAUGUGUGUGAGUUUAUAAUGACUUUUUCAUCUCGUCUAUCUACCAAAAAAGAAUAUAUGCUUUAACUUUUGUUGAUUCAAUUUAAUUCCUUAAGGUAAUCAUUAUAAUAUUACGAAUGAAGUAUUUAAUAAAGCAAAUUCUAUAGUAUACCAAAAAAUUUAAGGGUAUUGGUACAACAAAUCUUUAAAUUAAUAGUUAAAUGAAUUACGUUUUUUAGGAAAAAAUUAUUUUCUAUCACCUAUAAUUAUAAUAAUUAAAUCUUAUUUACCAAAAUCUUCAACGCAAUAAAAUUUAAUUUUUCUGAAUUUUUAUUACUCAUAAUAGAGAAUUUUGAUUAUUUUUAUAAUAAAAUGUAAAAAAAUUUAGGAUGAUUUUUAUAAUUAAUAAAAUGAUAUUUUCUCUUAUGAAAUUAUAUUUUUUAAAAUAUAUAUGUCAACAAACAGCUAUUUUUUUCAUAAAAAAUGAUAGUUAAUUUUAAAAAAAAAUUAAGUAGGUGUACCGUAUAAAUUCUCAAUUAAUAAUUGUCAAAAGAGAAUACAACAACAACAACAACCAAGCCUUAUUCCACUAAUUGGAGUCGGCUACAUAGGUAAAGUAUGAUUUUAGUCUCUAUGAAAUUAUUAAAUUUUACGUUUCAUCACCAUAAAAAAGGGGCACUUAUUGUUCUUACACGACUUUCCUCCAUGCAAUUUUAGUCCUUACUAAAAUCAAUUUUUUUAAUUAUUCAUAAGCUUUCUAAAUUCUUAAAUGAUUUUAUUCAAGUGUGUUUAGAAUAUUUUAAUAAAACAUUUAAAAAUUUAGAUUUUUUAAUAUGGGAUGAAUAAAAUAUAAAUUUAUAAUAUAAAAAAAUUAAGAUAAGGUACUGGAAGUUUGGACUAAUAGAACGUACUAUGAAAAUUUUAUAAGAAUAUCAAAGUUCCUUUUUUUUAUUGUGAUGAAAAGAAAGAUCGGAAAUUUUAAAGGUACGAAAAAUAAAAAAACCGAAAUAUGAUCAAAUUUCAAGCGAAAUUAUUCAAAUAUAACAUUUUCUUUCACAUUUAAAUUGUAAAUGUCACAUGCACAUCAGGUGUUUGAUAUUUUUGAGUGAUAUAAAAUGAAGUUAGGGUUUAAUUGAAAAAAAGUGGGAAAGGAUAAAUUCCUAUGAGGUGAGGAAAGUAAGUUAAUUGCUAUCCAUGCAUGUAUUAUUUUGAAUUGUGUUGAGGAAUUAUAAGUUCAUUGUGUAUUUUGUUAAUUCUUCGUGUGUUUGGUAUGUUUGUGGUUGAAGUUGUGAUUGAUGCAUGAAACAUUUGGUUUAUUUAAAAUGACCCGUCCAUUAUUUGAAGUUUUUUUAAGAGUCUAUGUUUUCGUUGAGAAAGGUGAUAAAUAUAUGGUCAAUAUUGCGAAUAAUCCUAACUCGGAUGAAUAGAGUUCCAUCUUUAAUAUAUUGUCAAUGAUCCUUUUAUUAAUUAUCAAUAGAACCAAUAAUUUACACCUAUAAGAAAGAAAUGAACUAGUGAACUCUUUGUUCAAAAGAAACAUAAAUGGCAUUGUUUGAAAAUUCAUAAGUGUGACAAACUUUUUUUAUAACAGCAGCCAAUAUAUAAUAAUACUUUUUUUUAUAACUUUUUUUAUAAGUGCAAAUUGCUGUCAAACAAACCAAGUAGUAACUAUAAAAUAUUUUAGCAAAAUAUAUAUUCGUUAUUUCUUUUUGCUAGUGUAAGAAAUCACUUUUCCAUGCAUGGUGUAACUGUAAUAUCUUGAGCAUGGGACUCAUAUUAUCUGUAGGAUAGAAAAACUGAUUCACAUUUGCCAUCAAUGCACCUAUAACCUUGAACUAGAGUAUUUGGUGGGCAAUCAUUAUCAGUUAUACAAACGAUAUCUCCUGUAGAGAAAGAAUAUAAUAAACUAAUGUUAUAAAAAUGAAGUAAAGAUUAUAUAUGAACUACAAACUAAAGAAGAAAAUUUGAAAAGGUUGAAAAAAAAACAUUACCCUCAACAUUAUUUGCAACAAGGAAUAGGAAAAUAAAUAAAAUUAUAGUAUACACAAGUUUAUGAGCCAUAUCUUUUCUCUUUACAUACAACAAAUAUAAUUUAUUUGAUCACUUUAUAGGGUACAAACCUCAUGUUGUGUUAAGAAAAAUGUAAAUAUUUUUACCUCUUAAUAACUUUUAAAAGUCACUCCCUAAAUUUAAAAUUAUUAUUAAGUGUCUCUUAAGAAGAUCAAUGUGUUAUAUUUGUCAAUUUACCAUACUUAAUAUAUGUGCACCGUAAAAAACUUGCUAAUCAUUAGAAUUUAAUAUUUUGGUAAUUAAAUUUAUUACUUUUGAUGAUCGAAAGGGGAAAUUUUUGAAAAUAAUAAUGCAUAAGUUAUUAGUAUAACCUUAUUGUAGGAUUUUUUUAGUACUUAUAAUUGCAUGAAUUCAUCAACAUUCUCAUUCAGAUAAAGUCUUUCAUUGUUAUGUAUAUCUGAUGAGCGGAUCACGCAAGUCUACCAAAUCAUUUUCCAAGUAAUAAACUGUUGGAAUAAUAGUCAAAAUUAGUUAAAAAUAUUUUUUUUGUCACCGAAGAGAUUACCACGCUGAGUCGUGGACUAGGUCGCUCUCUCUAAGACGUUUAGUGGAAAUGCCCAAAAUUAUGCAAGCAGACUAUCAACCAUGACGUCCCCAGGAUAAAACAGUCCAGCUAUAGGAUCUGUUCUAUGAAUACACCUUCAAAUAUGGUGUUAGCUAAGACCACUCUCAUAUGGUAUUGAUAUAUACCACACUAUUAUGAUACUAAGACCAUUCUUAUAUGGUUCUAAGACCAUUCUAAUAUGGUGUUUCCACCACUCUAACCUUUAACAUCUCCAAUGGCGUAAAACAUAAAAAAUGAACUAUAUUCUUAAGAUCUUUCUUAUUUUCCGAAGGGACACUUUAUCUCGAAAGAGACUAUGAUCUUAAGAAUACUCUUAUUUUUUAAGGGACGAAUUUUAUCGAAGGGACUAUGUUCUUAAGACCAUUCUUAAUUCCGAAGGGACAUUUUAAACCGAAGGGACUAUGGCCUUAAGAACACUCUUUAAAUCCGAAGGGACAGAAAGAGAGGGAGACAAAAAGAAUAGCUCGUCAACACAAGCUAAAACAGGGAUAACAAAGAAAAGUUCUUUGAAAACUCAAGAGAACUUUUGGGGUAAUUACAAGUGAGAAAUGAGAGUUCUAUUUAUAGGUAAGGAGCCAGAGAUAAGUUACAAAUCCAAUGCCUAGGAUUAGUUGACCGCUACAAAAUCAAUGACAUAAUUUCUCCUCAUAAAUGAGCACUCAAUGAGAUAGUUGACAUGAGAAUAUUUUAAUUCAAAUUAACAUACAUAGUGGAUCAAACUUGAGACCUUUAGAAGUAGCACGCUCUUAGUAAUAAUCAUUAGAACUAAUAAUUUACACUUACAAGAAAGAAAUGAACUGGUGAACUCUUCAUUCAAAAGAAAAAUAAAUGUCAUUGUUUGAAAAUUCAUAAGCGUGACAAUAUUAUGAUAUAAAAUUGAAGUAAUAUGUGUUAGCUCUUUAAAUAUAGGGAACUUCUACGGUACAUCCGCAAAUUAAGGUGUACCGGUACUCAUGCUUUAAAAAAAUUUAAAUUAACUAUUAUUUUUAUAGAAUAUAGUGCUAUUUGUUGAUAUUUAUAUUUUAAAAAAUGUCAUUUUAUAGGAAAAAAAACAUCAUUUCAUUGUUUAUAAAAAUCAUACUAUUUUUUUUUACAUUUUAUUGUAAAAAAUAAUCAAAAUUCUCUAUUAUGAGUACUAAAAAUUUAGAAUAAUUUAAUUUUAUUUCGUCGACGUUUUUGGUAAAUAAGAUUUAAUUAUAGAUGAUAGAAAAUAAAAAUUUUCUUCAAAAAAUAACACAUUUAACUAUUAAUUUAUUGAUUUGAUGUACCAAUACACUCAAAAUUUUGAGUGUACCAUAGAACUUGCCUUAAAUAUAAUGUUAUAUUUUUAAAUUAAAGGACAUGGUGAUAAAAUAAGGAAAAUGCUAGUUGUCCCAUAUAUAAGGAAAAUGCUAGUUGUCCCAUAUAUUUGUUUCACGAUAUCAUCGCGAAGCACGUGGUAACUGGCAAACCAGUUGUGUUGUUUAUUUUUGCCUGUUUCUCUCUCCAAUUGUUAUUUUGGAGUUCGUUGGUUGAUUUAUGGAGUUCGGUGGCCGAUUUUUACAGUAGAAAAUAAAACAGAAACGUAUUUUCAGGCUUAGAUUUGUUCUAGUUUUAUUGAAGAUUCUUUUACUAUAAAUAUAGACAUUGUAUCAGAGUAAACCAUCACUACAAGAAUUUUUCAUUUUACUGGCAGAACUAAACCCUCACUAAUGCAAAACAUCCCUCAGUAAUGCCCAUUACUGGCGGAUUGAUGUCCCUCAGUAAUACUGGAGUCAAUAUUGUUACUGACGGAUUUUUUCCUGAGUAAUGGGGAGAUAGUCUUGACAAAGCUUUACUGAGGGAUUAUUCCGUCCGUCAGAAAUUACUGAUAGAAUAAUCCGCCAGUAAUUACUGACGGAAUAAUCCCUCACUAAUGUUCCAACCUAAUCCGUCCAAGUAUUAUUGACGGAUUUAUCCGCCAGCAAUGUUUAUGCAUAUCUACAUUACUGACAGAAAUUUCCCUCAGUAAAAUACUUCAUACUUUUUUUGUUGAUCCCUUCCCACAUUUUUAUUUUAAUUAAAGAAUUAUAAUCAAUUAAACAUAACUAAAUUAAAGUGUAAUUUAUUAAGACACAAACUAAUUAAACGACAUAUCAUCAAAAUAUUCGUACAAUGCAUAAAUAGUUUUCGUACAAAAUUAUAAAUAUUUCAAUAAUAUUCGUACAAUCUAGAGAAUUAACAGAAUAAACUAAUUAUCAUAAUAUUUGGGCAAAUUCAAUCCCAAUCUCCCUCUGGAUGAUCUCUCGCUCAUAUUUUAUCCUCUCCGGGUAUUUUGGAGAUUUUCUUGCGCAGUAUGAUCCAUAUAAUUAAAGUUUCCACAAAAGUAUCAUACUGACUUUCAAAAGUUUCAAUAAAUGCUCUCAUGGUGGUAUGCACGUAUAUUCAAAAUUCAAAAAUAUAAGUAAGUUAUCUUAUGCCAAACAUUAUUAAGGUUAAGCUUGUGAAAGAAACACACAACUCACGUAAAAAAUAAGAAUCACAUGGUACCUGUUCCAUUGAUGGCAUGGUAUGUCCGGCCUUCUUCCACAACAACUCUGCAUAACUCUGUCGUGUCCAUGUAAAAAACACGGACACAUCACUAAACAAUCUGCAAUUUUGCACUUGUUAACAAAUAGGUUGAUCUUCAAACACUUUUUCCUAGUAUCCCAAGCUAUACUUUCCAAACUUCCUCUCACUAUAUCAUUGUCUCAGUCUUCUUCACAACCUUAUCCCUUCAUGCAACAUAUUAGCAUUAUAGCAAUCUGCAACACUUUAUUCUGCUGACACACAAUCUGCAUCACUUAACCAUGUAUGAGAAAAAAUGACAUCUUUAAAGAAACUUGUUAAAAUGAUGGAACAAUUCACAAAUAGUCUUAAGAAUAAAAUCCAAAAGGGGUCAUGAACUUAACUAUAUAUAAGUAUAAAAAGUUCAUUUACAUGUGAAUAUGUGAUGGAACAAGUGUAACACUUCCUUUCCUACGUAUAUACCAGAUAAGCAUAUUAAACAAAAGGCCCCAGAAACAAUAAGAGUUAGUGAAAGAAAAACCAAUUAUAAGACAAAUAGAGAACUACAAAGACAUCUUCUGAUUAAACUAGUUAUGUCUGUACAGAAACUCAGAAACAAAUCAUAUAUGAUCCCAAAUUCACUUGAUUUUCUUUUUCUUUUUCCUUAUGGGUUAAGAAUUGAACCAUUCAUUUGAUUCCAAGUUCUUGAAUUCUCUAAUCUCUGAUCCCGAAUUCACUUAGUUUAUUUAAAAAUGAAGGAAAUAAGAUGGGUAUAAAUAAGUAAAACAACUUUGAGUAACCCAUUUAAACAAAUCCUUACAGAUCCAAUAGUAACAUCUCAUAUCUACAAAUAACAAACAAAUUAAAUAAAAUGGAAACUUUAAAUAACACAAAAUCAAAUGAAAAAUGAAAACUUUUAAGUAACCCAAAUCAAGUAAAAAUCAAAACUUUAAGGGAGAAUUAGGUGAAUCAAAGGUGCCCAUGAACCUGGUUUAGUGAUAACAACUAAUAAAAUUUAAAUUAAUUAAGGGUAAGAUGAUUUGUUACUCACCCGAAUCUUCUUCAACAUUCUCCUCGAUGCCUCUGAAAAAUUGGUCAAUCAAUGGAAAAAGCUUAACAAACGAAAUAUCAAAAUCGAACUAAAAUAAAAAUAAAAAUUCCAUAAAUUUGGAGCUUUUUUACAAUACCUUUUAGAACUUGAAAUCUUGGAGUCAAAACUAAGAGAAGCAAGUAAUGAUCCUUCUUAUAAGUGUUCUUCAAGGUAGGAGAGAAGCUUUUGAGUUAGCAAUGGGUUGGGGGAGUUCGGGUAGCCGACGGAGAAUGAGAGAGAGAGACGAACAUGAGAUGAAUUUAUCUUCUUUUGUUACAAUUUUAAUGUCUAAGUACCUUUCGUUUACUUGCGGAAAUGAAAGGGUAUUGGCGGAUAUUAGAACAUUAUUGACGGAUUUAAAUCGGCCAGUAAUACAAACAUUACUGUUAUUGAGGAAAAAAAUCCGCCACUAAUUCAAUGCAGAUUGGUUAUUGACAUUAUUGACGGAUUUUUCUGCCAAUAAUACUAACAUAAUUAUUAUUUAUUUUUUUGCGUGUAAUUUUCUGAAUUAUUGAAGGUUUUUUCUGCUAGUAAUGUUAUUGAGGGUUUUUCUUGUGUUACUGAGGAUUUAGAUCGCCAGUAAUUACUGAGGGUUAAAAUCCGUCAGUAAUGAGAUUUUCAAUUGGUUAGUAAUUAAGGGUAUUCUUGUAGUUCAUGAGAUAGAGGGGGCUGAAAGAAGGGUCUAGUAAGACAACAACAAAAAUAGGGUUUGUCUCUUGACAACAGACACUAGGGUUUGAGGGUUGAUUCAUCUUGGGAAACACUAUUAUGAUUGAGUCUCUAGGUUACGGGAAGAGAUUGAGACUUUGGGUAGAAUUAGGCGGGAGAUCCUUAUUCUUGUAAUCCAUUGAUAUCUCUUUUGUAAGGUUACUCAUCAUUAUAGUGAAACGGAGGGCUGCUCUCCCCAGACUAGGUCAAUUUGGACCGAACUGGAUCAACAAAUUCUUUUGUGUUCUCUCUUCUUUUCUCUCUCGCUGUUUUAUACUUUUGGUUUGUUUUUAUAAUUGUUUCAUACACUUUAUUUUGGUUGCAUGAUAAUCACUUACUCCACACAUCAAAUUUAUUAUUGGUGUGAUUUUUCUUCAAAUUCACAAGAGAUUGAUGGCCCAUUAUUCUAGUUAUUCUAUUGAAGAUGACACUGAUAGAGGUGAUGGUUUCUAUUCUCAAAUACUUUAGAGCAUGUGAAAGAUAUUUUGAUUUUGUUUUUUAUUAAAGAAAUAACCUAUAAAUAUAAAUUGUGGCUGUAUGAUUAAAAAAAGUAGCCGCUGUAAGCACUUUCGUGAGACUUCGUGAGGAUAUCUUUCGCAUUAUAUAACACGGCUCGACAAAAUAAAAUACAAUAUUUGGAAUCCAAGACAAUGAUUAAAUGGCAACUAUAAAAUAUUUUAGUAAAAUAUAUAUUUCAUAUUUAUUUUUGCUAGCGUAAGAACUCACUCUUCAAUGCAUGGUGUAAUUGUAAUAUCUUGAGUAUGAGACUCAUCCCAUUCAUAUAACACUCUAUGUGAUUUACAUUUGCCAUCAAUGCACCUAUACCUUAGAUUCCGAGUAUUUGGUGGGCAAUCAUUAACAGUUUUGCAAAGAAUAUACCCUAUAGUGAAAGAAUAUAUAUAAUAAACUAAUGUUAUAAAAAUGAAUUAAGAUUAUAUAUGAACUACAAAUGAAAGAAGGAAAUUUGAAAAGGAUGGAAAAAAAACAUUACCCUCAACAUUAUUUGCAACAAGAAAUAGAAAAAUAAAUAAAAUUAUAGCAUACACAAGCUUAUGAGUCAUAUCUUUCUCUUUACAUACAACAAAUAUAAUUUAUUUGAUCACUUUAUAGGGUAUAAAUUUAACCUCAUGUUUAAGAAAAAUGUAACUAUUUUUACGUCCUAAUAACUUUUAAAAAGCAUUCCCUAAAUUUAAAAUUAUUAUUAAGUGUCUCUUAAGAAGAUCAAUGUGUUAUAUUUGUCCAUUUAUCACACUUAAUAAAGGCGCACCAUAAAAAACUUGCUAAUCAUUAGAAUUUAAUAUUUCGGUAAUUAACCUUAUUGUUUAACCUUACUGUAGAGUUUUUUAUAUAUAAAAAUCAGUUAAUCAUUUGGAAUAGUAUAUAAUUUUAUAAUUGAAUGAAUUCAUCAACAUUCUCAUUCACAUAAAGUCCUUGAUUGGCAUGUACAUACAAAAUAAAUUAGAAUUGAAGACUGAUUAUUCGCGUGAUACAUGAGGGAGAAAUACAACGGACUUCUAGGGUUUCCCCUUGCACUAUCGCCCUACUGAAUUCUGAUUAAUUUGUUCCUUGCUAACUCUCAAGUGGUUUCAUAUGCCGUUGAACCAAAGUAUUAAUGAUAACAUUGUAUAAAAGAACAGUUGGAUACUUUAAUGUAUCUUUAAAUAUGCAAAACCAUAAAAUUAAAUUCUGAUUUAAAGGUCGAGUUUUGGCUCUGAUACAUCAUGCUCUGACCAUAAAAGAAAUCAUUUUGAUGCUAAAGAGAACAAAAGCCUUGAGGAAUGAGAAUCAGAGAUGCAAGGAAAAACACAAGCAAGUAUGAGGAAAAAGAAGUCAUCUUAAUCUUAAUUAGUGUGAUUUUAGUAUUGGAGCAUAAAACAUAGGGGAUAAUAUCAUGUUUUAUACUAGUUAGAUUAGAGACAUUGGUGAGUGGGAGGUGCAAUUAUUGAUGAAAUACGUCAGGCUAUUGCAUAUGCUUACGGAUUAACCUGCACGUCACAAAGCAAAUCAAACUUUUUAAAAGCCUAAUAUAUCGGAAUUAUUGAUUGUGGAUUAGGAUUAAAAAAUCUGCAAUUUUUCAAUUAGGUUUUACACAAUACAAGUGGAGGUCGAGGUCUGCCCAUUAACUUAGUUCGGUUGGGUCCUCGUGAGUUUAACUCGGUUAGUUUGAACAAUGCAUAAUAUAUGUAAAGUUUGGAGUUCAAACCCUGACGACCACAAAAAAACUUAGCUCAAUUGGUAGGGAAUAACAUAUACAGAGAAUGUGCGCAGUUCAAACUUCAGACAUCCCAUUGUUUAUUUUUUAAAGAUUAAUUUUUAACAACUUGACUAACUAGAAAAACUGGAGGUGGAUUCAGCAAUUUUUUCAUGUGUUUUCAAUUUUAUCCAACAUUACAAUUUCAUUUUUAUUUAACAAUGUUUCCAACGACAUAAACCAAUUUUAAAACGUGGGCAAAAAGUAAUCUUAUUACGUUAGAAAUGUAAAAUACUAAUAUUUUAUCAUUCUCUAAAAGUUCAAGUAGCACAUAAAUACAUUUUUGAAAUAAAAGUUGUUGACCUUCUACAUAGAGUUCAGAAGAUCAUGCAUAACAAUAGGGGUGUUCAAAACCGAACCAACCCAAUAGAAAAACCGCAAACCGAACCAACCCAAACCGAAACUGCAAAAAACCGCACUUGGUUCGGAUGAGUUCGGAUGACUUUUAGACUGAACCGCGCGGUUCGGUUCGGUUUGCGAUUUGCAUCUCAGCAACCAAACCAAACCAAACUAAACCGCAAAAAUACUCAAUGUUAUUAAACUAAGUAAGUACUGUACUAGCCCAAUACCAAAGUGAACCCAAGCCCAAGCCCAACCCUAUCCAGCUAUUUUUUGGUUCUUAAAUAUUAUUUUGGUACUGUAAUGUUAUUUUAGAUAAAUAACUUUCAUUGGUAUUGUAAUGCUAUUUUUGAACUUCAAGUUAAAAAAUAAAAAAAUAAAAAAAAAUAAAAAAAAAAAAAACUUCAAGUUCUUUUUUUGAAUAAUUAAAAUUGCUUGGUACUAGUUGGCAAUAUUAGAGUUAAUGUAAUUUUUUUAUUUAUCUCGCGAUUAACCGCAUCAACUGAACCAAUCCAAACCGCAUUGGUUUGGUUUGGUUUGGUUCGGAUGACUUUUUAAAAAUCAACCGAACCAAACCAAACCGCAUGCUUUUUUCUCUCGCGGUUUGGAUGAUUAUUAUGCUUGAAACCGAACCAAACCGCACCGCAAACACUCCUACAUAACAAUGUCAUGUCUCCUUGGUCCAUGAAUGUUGUGUUUACGAUGAUUGAUUUUGUUAUCCAAAAAGGUUUGGCGGCGCAGCUUGUUGCCCGCUUGCCUUUGAUUAAAGUGUAAAUAAUUAAUGGUUUAUAUAUUUGAGAAUAAUUUUGGAACAAGAAACUUAUCAAGAGAAAAAUAUAUGUCAUUUUAUAAAAGUUUAUAUGAGUAUUAGUUUAAGUGACAUAAGUUUAAUUAUUGUUUUUCUUAUGUUGCGGUUUGAUUUGGUUAAUAAAAUAAAAACCGCAAAUCAAAACAAACCAUGCAGUGGAGUAAGAAAAUAAUCUUAAUACAUCUGAACUAAAUGCAUUUUUUACAAUUUCGGUUUUGAUUGAUUCAGUUGGCAGCUUUUCUAUUAGGUUGAUUGGUUUUUAACACCCUAAUCAAUAUCAAAAACGAAGUUUUUGAACUAGCCUUAUCCACCGGCUAACUUGUCUUUACACACGAUUAAAAAACCCACACUUAUCUUUGCAACUAUAGAGCAUAUUCUUUCGAUCAAUCAAACUAGUCCAGAGAAAGCAAUCAUAUUGCAUGAAAGCAUUUACGGGAUUCUUUUAUAAAAGAAUGAAGACAAUCAAGGACACUUCUAGAUAAAAGGACAAUUAAGAAAUAAAUUAUUAUUUGAAUUCUCUUUAAAAUUAUAUCCACUUAUGCAUCUAGUUUAAUAUGAGUCGUUGAUUUCUCGUAUGGACCACUAAGGAAGGUUACAAAUCCCACAAAUUAGAAGGUCUAUAAACCUUCACUAACCAACAAGAUAUAAGCGUGACAAAAAUCAUGCACAUCAGUUUAUAGUGAUUUGAUUAGACAAAAACUAAAAUCGUCACAAAAUUAUUUUAAAUCUCAUAAAAUGGAUCUCUGAUUUUUAAUUUUUUUCAGAUGGAUCGUGGCAGAGUCAUUGAUGGGCUCCACCACUGCCAAUUGGGCAUUAAACAAAUUAUCUUUAACGAUUUUAAGACCCAUGAAGGGCUCUUCCACUACCUAGAAGCCGCCCUACCUCCUUAAUUAUGAGAUAAGAGCUUAUACCAUAAACCUUCUUAAUCUACCUUAAGCUUCCAAUACCAUUUUCGUAAAAUUGAAAAAUUAACUUUCAUUUCUCUCUGAACACAUAAACCUCUUUUACUUCUAUCUAAACAAAUAGUGCACCCCAAUGAACUCUACGAGCUUCCUCACUCGCCUCCUCAAAGAAAUUUUAUAAAAAGGUAAUCAAUUUAAAAAAACUAUCUGAGGGAGUCUUGAAGAAGGAAAUAUAGUAAAUCGAAAGAGACAAUGGACAUUUAAGAAGAACAAGACGACUAUCCAUAGAUAGAUUACAACUUUUCUAUCCAAAGAGACAUUUCUUACCCAAACUUGGAAGGUGAAUGUAUUUAAAGGGAGCCCUCUUGAUUUUGCAAUUAAGAACUAUAGAUACAUCUUCUAACCAGAUAGGAGAUAUAUUAACACCAAAUAAUAGACGGUUAUGGAAGUUAAUUAACUUUAAGGCCUAAAAUUUUUUAUUUAUUUUUGACAAAUGGCCUAAUUUUUUUUUAAAAAGGACAAUCUUGGCUUGUCGUAGCAAUUCCAUAACUUAUUAAAAAAUAACCAUAACUUAUCAUAGCAAUUUCGCAACAAAUCUACGACAACAUAACUUAGACUUGUCGUAGCAAUUCCAUAGCAAAUCUACAGCAGAAAUUUAACAAAAUUUUCUUUAGUGGAUCCUAGCAAUUAGGACCUUUUAACCUUAUUAAAAAAAACAUUUAAAUCACUCCCAAUCAAUUAAUAAGAAACUUUAGUUGAACACCACAAAAAAUACAAAAUAGUAUUGAUAACAAAUUAGGUCUCAUACAAUGCUAAUUUAUGAAGCUAUUUCAAACAAACUAACAUGCACUUAUGGUAGUCCUCGCACAUCACAACGUGCAGAAAAGUUUACCACAUCCCAUUUCUCUAUUUUAACAGGUUGCACAUUUUUCUGGAACAAAGUUUAAAACAUUAGAAAAUAAAUAUUAUAGAUGAAACAUACCAGUAAAUUAAAAUUGGAGCUCAGAUUUGACAUAAAUACCUUGUUAUUGAAGUUCCAUCUCCCAUUCCUGGGAUUGAAGUCUUCGCCAUUCCCAUACUUCAACUGUAAGUCAAAAUAAAUAAACAGGAACAAAAAAAAUUCUUCAAAAAGUAAUUUCGAAAAUCUUUCUUAGGUGAGUGCUUGAGAAUGUUUCCAGGAACAACACCUGUCUUCUUCAGAGUAAACUUACAAUGCCAACAUUUUCAUUAAUAACAACGUCCAUCAUGAAGAACAGCAACUACAAAUAACAGUUUCCAAACCUUAAAAAUGGAUACACAUCAACAGAAAUGGGAUAGAAAAAUCAACAAUUCAAUAAACAUACACAUUGAUAUAUCACUAUCAAGCUGUUUUGAAUAAAUGCCCCCACUCAAGGACUGACAGGCCCUUUGGCCCCCGACUAAGGGGCUACUGUUUCGAUACAUAAAAAAGUCUCACAUUGCUAAAGAACGUGGUAAGAGUAACAACAAUAUUCAUCUCUUCAACUCACAAACACCUAUUUCAAUGACUCAACAAACACCUCUUACAAUGAAUAAAACCUCCUUAAAGGCUUUAGCAAUGAAGAAGGCAUAACACCAAGUAAUGUGUUCUGAGUGCCUCUUGUACUCACCUUAAUACAUUUCAUUAUAGAGUCAAAAAUGUAUUAAAUUUUUUUAAAAGUUGAAAAUAUCCUUAAGACUGUAUUUUUAUAUUAUAUUUCCUUUAAGACAAUGUUUGACUAUAUAUAAUAAAAAAAUGUCAUGCUAACUUGUGCCUUAAACACAAAAGUUAAGAUUUAAAAAAGGAAAUGAAAAAUAAAUUCAGCAUUGAAAAAAUUAACUUUUAAACUUCUUAGAUGUUAAAAGCACAAUUUCAAUACAAUAUUUUUAUGUUCAAUAUUAUAUUUUUAUGUCUAGUUUUCUUAACAUGUGCCCUUAAUUAGCUUUUCGCAUAAAAAAAUGUUAAAAUGUUAUUCUUGCCACAAAUUUGUUGGAUUGUUUUUAACUUAUUGUCUGCUUCAAUUUGAGUAUGAUGUAAGCUAUGAUAGUGUUGUUUUUAAAAUGCACUACAGUGAGUUGAACAAAGUGCCAGUGUGUGUGUGUUUUUGUUUCAAAAACAGAAAAGUAGUUGUUUAUUUAUUUAUUUUGAUAGCAGAGAAAUAUAUAUUCACAAUGAGAUCCAUCAGUAUAAAAAAUAAAGACCCUGCUCAAACCAAAGUACUCGAAAAUUGAAUUGUUGUUAGUAAGCUAUCAGGUGCGUUUCAUCGAGUUAGAAUCCUCUUCAUCUAGUGUACUCUUCCAUCUCCAUUUCUUCUAUUUGGAGAAAUAAAGACACAAUGAAGUUUGAAAAAAAUAUAAAUAAAUUAAUAGUGGCAGGAACCACUUAAUAGUAUGACCCACUAUCUACUUUUUUGUAUAUAUCUCUCCGCAAAUGAUAUUCUCUAUUUAUUUGAAACAAAUGGAGAAGAUGCUUACUCGAAUUUCAUCUUCCACGAUACAAAUGGGUAAACAGUUCUAUCUAGCUAUCAAAUGAGUAAAAAACAUUUGCAUAACUUAAAUUCAGCUGUAUCUACAACUUUUAUAUGGAUAAUAUAUGUUUUACUUUUGAUGAUUCAAUAUUUUUCCUAGUAUUUAAGAUCGGAAAGAGUAUUAAAAAUUGUAGUCUUCAUAAUUAGAACACGGAAACAUAGACUUUUUGACUUUUGGGGAUCGCUUUUAACUUUAAGUUUUAGAUUAAACUAACAAAAUACACUUGAUCACACGUUGUUGAUUAAUAUACGAAGGUAAUUUCACCAAAAAAUAUACUAAGGUAAUGAUUAUAACAUUACACGUAAAGUAUUUAAUCAUUGUCAAAAAAGAGUCAAGUAUUUAAAAAAAAAGGGUAAAGUAUGAUUUUAGUCUCUAUGAAAUUAUUAACUUUUGCGUUUCAUAACAUAAAAAAAGGGGAGCUUUUUGUUCUUAUACAACUUUCCUCCAUGCGAUUUUAGUCCUUACUAAAAUCAAUUUUUCAAUAUUAUUCUCAAACUUUCUAAACUCUUAAAUGAUUUUGUUCAAGUAUGUUUAGAUUUUUUAAUAUGGGAUAAAUACAAUAUAAAUUUAUAAUAUAAAAAAAUCAAGAUAAGGUACUGGAAGUUUGGAAUAAUAAAACAUGAUAUGAAAAUUUUAUAGGGAGCUCAUAGUGCCAUUUUAUUUAGUGUGAUGAAAAAUAAAAAUUGGUAAUUUCGUAGGGGCAAAAAAUAUAAUAAAAUGAAAUAUCAAAUUUCACUCGAAAUUAUUCAAAUAUAAAAUUUUCUAUCACAUUUACAAAUAAAAUAUUAAUAAAUAUAUACUUUCAUUUACAUGUAAAAAUAUUAUAUUACUAUAGAACUAUUACGUCGUUCAUUAAGGAUAGCUUCGUGCCAACUCAUUUUAACAAUAUGUUUUAUGUUGAGUAUUCCUUCAUGAGGGGAUUGAGAAAUGAAAUUUGUAAAUGUCAGAUGCACAUUAGGUGUUUGAUGUUUUUGAGUGAUAUAAAUAUGAAGUUAGGGUUUAAUUGGAAAAAGGUGGGAAAGGAUAAAUUCCUAUGAGUUGAGGAAAGUAAAUAAAUUGCUAAUUCAUGCAUGUAUCGUUAAUUCUAGAAAAGAUCUGAAGUAAUAGUUUCUCAAAGUUUCAACCAGAGAAGAAAGAGAAAAAAUGAAGUGAAAAAGAUUAUUGAUUAGUUCAACUGAAUUCUGUUACAAUGAAUGUAGAAGUUGGUUAUGACAGCUAUGUCUAACUAACUUCUAUCUAUCUAAAUGUAAAAGAAAUACAAAUGAAAUUACAUGUAAAUAAGGUAAUUUCCACCCACAAGCUGGAGGUUGGUAGAUAUCCACCAUCCCAAGCUUGGUGAUGCAUUCAUAGAAUUGCCUUGGCCCUGCUGCUUUUGUGAACACAUCUGCAGUUUGAUUACGAGAAGAAAUAGGUAACAGUCUCAUUACUCCUGCUUGCACUUUCUCACGUACCAAGUGACAGUCUAUGUCCAGAUGUUUUGUGCGUUCUGAUGUAGUAUUUUUGCAUCAAACAAUUGUAAGUAUUUGUAUCGUCUCCACAGGGACUGGUGCGAUAUUCUAAGCCGUUCAACAAUUCAUACUAUUCUGAGCUAGGGUUUCGAAGUUGUUUUUGUUCAUAAACUAUAGAACUAAAGAAAGGUAAAUGGGACGAAAGUUAACAGGGAAAUGAUUAUGUUGGGAUUAAACUUCAUCAACCUAUUCAUACGUAUUCUCGGAUUAGUGUUGCAGAUCUUAAUUAUCAAUUGAUAUUAUCACAUAUCGCUCGACAACAUCAUUCGUGUCCAAAUGAUGUCGUGAAUUCUAUUGAGUCGUUCAAUCGUUGAUUUCCCAAACUACUAAACGAUCCACUAGUCGAUUGUAUCGUUGUAUAGUUGAUUUCCCAAACUAUUCAAUGAUGCAAAAGCUUUAAGUUCCAAUAGUCAAAGUGAUUACCAAAACCUAAUUCAAUGUCUAGAACAAGAGAUUUGAUAGAAGAUUAUUCUAACCUAGAUUCAAAAGGUAUUUUUCAAUCACGAUUCAAAUCCAUAAGAUCAAAAUGGAAAACAAGAAUAACCUCAACAUCAAAAGAUAACUAAGAACAAACAACAUCAUAAUCAAAGGGAAUACAUACUAAUAGAGUUGAUUACAUUCAAUCCCAACAAAAAGAGUUUAGCUACACAUUGUCAUGGUAACCUUACAAGGAGAAAAGAAGAGAUGAAAUGAGCAAGCCAUGAUGUCUCAAUGAUCUUGGAGAUUCCUUCAAUCCUUGUGCUCCUUGCUCCUUAAGUUCUCUCAGGUUUUCCCCUGCUUUUUCUCUCCCUAAAGUGGUCUAUGAUAUGAUAUGAUAAUAAUAUCAGAUAUCCCUGCUGAUCUGAGUGAAUGGCCUUUAUAUAGUUUUGAUCUGACUCAACUCGCCUCGCGAGUAGGUGUUCUCGCCAUGGCGAGUUGAGCUUUCUUCCCCUAUAGGUUUCUGCCACGUCAGCUUGAAGAGGUUAGGCCGCCUUAGCUCGCCUCACGAGUAGUUUUGCUCGCCAUGGCGAGCUCUUGGAUUUCCUUGCUCGCCUUUCACUCGCCAUGGCGAGUUGGAAGCAAGUGAGAGAUGGACUUUCUGCCUCAGCUCGCCAUGAAGUCGCCUUGGGCUCGCCUGGCGAGUUGACCUUUUCAUUUCUUCAUGUUUUCUUGCUUUUUAAGUAUCCAGGAAUGCAUUUUCCUACACAAACAGUUGGCAUUAGAUGUAAAAAGCAUAAUUGAAUGAUUCUUCAAUAUUUCUGAGCUUUUUCACUAGAUAACUUGCGAACCAAGUAAUCAAAGUGCCUAAAAUGUAUGUCCUAUUUAACUGUUUUCUGACACUUAUCACGUUCAUGAAACACAGGAUUAGCUGAAAUAUGCAAUGCACUCUGGUUAUCACAGUACAAAACAGGCAAACGAGAAGGAGCUUGAUGGAAGUCAGAUAAGAGAAAGCACAUCCAUUGAAGCUCUCUUGUUGCUGAAGCUAGUGCCUUAUACUCAGCUUCUGCUGAAGAACAUGAAACUGUAGGCUGUUUCUUGGAUUUCCAGGACACUAGAGAACUUCCAAUGAAGAAACAAUAGCCAGAUAUGGAUCUUCUGGUAUCCACAUACCCUCCCCAAUCAGCAUCACUGAAACCAAAAAUUUGUAAAUCUGCAGAUUGGGGAAAGAAAAGGCCACAACCAGGAGAUCUUUUAAGGUAUCUAAGCACUCUAAGAGCAGCUUUAUGAUGUGUUUCAGUGGGGCAUGAUGUAACACCCCGUUUCCCAAAAUCAAUUUAAUUAUAAUUAUAAAAUCAGAGUUCCACAUUAAACGGCAUGUCACACUACAAAAUAUAAAUUCUUAAAUAGAUUAAAACUAUUUAACAACAUCCUUCAUUAAACUGCAGCGGAAAAUUCUUUAAAUUAAACUCCAUUAUCCAAAAUAAUCUUGGCAUUAAGCCACAACAUAAAAUAUUUCAUCGUUCAUAGGGCUACAACAACAUUAACCAAAAUUUGAUACAUAGAAUGAAUUUAAACAAUGAAAUCCCAUCCCACGUAUCAGAGCCCUAGACACUUGAGCCACCACCAACUACUCAGGAUCACCUGCAAGUUACCCAUAGGAAGGGCAACAUUUUCAAGCAGAAGGGGUGAGAUUCACAACAAAAUAUAGAUAAAGAAUACAUCAAUUGAAUCUAACACCCUAUCAUAAUUCAUCCACAUAUUAUUAAUUUCAUAACAUCAUUUUUGCAUAUUAUUAAUAAUAUUAAUUCAUACACCUCUCAACAAUAUAUGCAACUUAUCACCACUCCACUAAGACUCCUCUAAACUCCCAUGCAUGUGGUACCAUAAAUCAGGGCCGUGACCCACACCGCUGUCGAAUGGUUAAAGCAUUCUCAACAGGACAUAAGUCCUCACCACUACACCACUUUGAGUAACUAGUACUCCACCACUUUGAACGACUAAGCAUUCCAGAGCCGAAGCUCUCCCACUGUUAUGUUAAUGCAACUAAUCCCCAUAGAGUAUAUCUACAUACCAACCAACCUAGACAUAUACAUAUAUAUGAUUCACCAACCAACUUACACCUUUAAGGGAAUUUAAUUAUAUACAACAUACACCAGUCAGCAUCCAUUCAUCAAAACCAACUAAGCAUCUAGGGAAAUAUAUAUCAGCAUACAAGCCAUGCAAUAAUUCAACAAAAUACACAAUCCAAACAACAACAGAAAUUAACCAACCAAAUACUGGGCAGCUCGCCUCGCGAGCUCAUCUACUCGCUAUGGCGAGCUCAGAAAAACGGGUACUCGCCAUGGCGAGUUGGAGGCGAACUCGAGGCGAACAGAAAUAUGGUGCUCUCGGGAAAAAUGACAUUUUUCUCACUCAAACCUCAAUUCUAAGCUCCCUAAUCAUCUUUUACACUUAAAACUUGCUCUAGUCCUCUUAAAAAUCAUCUAGGUACACGAAACUACCCAAAAUACGGCUUAUAACAAUUUUUUCAAAAUCCAGAUUUUCACAAGGCUACUCGCCAUGGCGAGCUGUAUCACUCGCGAGGCGAGCCAUGAAGUUGUUCACUCGCUAUGGCGAGCAAUGGCUACUCGCGAGGCGAGCGAUGAACUCCUGUACGGGCAGAAUGCAGGUUUUUCCCAAAAAUCCCAUUUUUCCUCAAAUCACUCCCCAAAUUAGUUUACAGAUAUGCAAUGAAAGGUUUUAUGCACCCAGAACCCAUUUCUACCCUCAAUUCUAUGAUUCCUACACCCAAAACUCCUUUAUCAACAAAACCUAAUUUCUCCCAAAUCCUCACAUAAACCUGUUAGAACACAAUCAACAUUCAGAAUCUAUAUAAUUGCGGUAAACCUCACCCUUACCUUAGAUUUGCAGAAAAAAUACAGCAGCAAAUGAUUCCUAAGCUUCUCUCCCUUGCACUAGCUUUUCUCCCAAAACUUGUAUGUUUUCACGUAAAACGUUUUCUCUGUUUUUUUCUCUGAUCAUCUUGACUUUUUAUGUAGUCUCCUGAACCAAAUCCGGUCCCAGCACAACACUUUCUCCUGACUCAAACCAACACAACGGAGUCCUGCACCUUCGACCAUACAAAGCUUCGAAGGGUGCCAUUCCUAUACUCGAAUGAUAACUGUUGUUGUAGGUGAACUCUAUCAAUGGUAGGUGACUAUCCCAAGCUCCACCCUGUUCAAGCACACACACUCUCAACAAGUCCUCCAAUGAUUGGAUCGUCCUCUCCGACUGACCAUCUGUUUGAGGAUGAUAAGCCGAACUCAGCCUCAACUUCGAACCCAAAGCGUCCUGUAAACUCUUCCAGAACCUAGAAGUGAACCUCGGAUCCCUAUCCGACACAAUACUCGAAGGAACUCCAUGUAGCUUUACCACACUAUGUAUAUAAAUCUCAGCCAACUGAGCUACUGGAUAACUGAUGUUGAUAGGAAUAAAAUGUGCCGACUUCGUCAACCUAUCAACCACCACCCAAAUCGAAUCAUGUCCCCUCGGAGUGUUUGGUAAACUCGUCACAAAAUCCAUAGAAAUGCUAUCCCAUUUCCACUCCGGUACAUCCAAUGGUGUCAACAAUCCUGCAGGUUUCUGGUGUUCAACCUUAGACUUCUGACAAGUUAAACAUGCAUACACAAAAUGAGCAACAUCUCGCUUCAACCCAGACCACCAAAACAGCUUUUUCAAAUCAUGAUACAUCUUCGUAGCUCCCGGAUGAAUGCUUAAGCUACUCUUAUGACUUUCCUCUAGGAUUAACUUUUUCAUUUCUUCAUUAUCAGGAAUACAAAUUCUACCUCUGAAUCUCAACACACCCUGUUCAUCAACCUUGAAGUCACUAUCUUCAACGCCAUUACCAGCAACCAUCAGAUCAACCAACUUGACAUCCACUUGCUGUGCUUCUCGGAUACUACUCAGAAAAUCACUGUUAAUCUUUAGCAUCCCCAACUGUACACUUUGAGGCGACAACUCACAAACCAAACUCAUGUCUCUAAACUGUUCCAAUAAAUCAAAUUCUUUCAUCAUCAUAGCAGACAUAUGGAGUGUCUUCCUACUCAAUGCAUCCGCGACUACAUUAGCUUUGCCUAUUAAAUUGAUUUUGGGAAACGGGGUGUUACACAUGACAUAAAUUGGCUUAAUUGUUGAGUGGCAAAUGCAAUGUCUGGUCUAGUAGUUGUCAGAUACAAUAAUCUGCCAACUAACCUCCGAUAAGCAGUAAUGUCAGUGUAGGGAGGUCCUCCAUCUUGAUAUAGGCGCAAAGAAGGAUCAAGUGGAGUACUAGCAGGUUUACAUGAGAUGAGGCCAGCAUCUCCUAAAAGCUCAAGACAAUAUUUCCUGUGGCACAAAGAAAUACCUUUAGAAGUGCGCGCAACUUCCAAACCAAGAAAAAAUUUGAGGGGUCCCAAAUUCUUAAUACAAAAAGCAUUAUGGAGAGCAGCUUUAAGAUCAUCAAAAAAAUCCAAAGAGGUACCAGCUAAAAUAAUGUCAUCCACAUAAACAAGGAUAACAGUGAAGGGCGUGGAAGUGGAUUUGAUGAAUAGGGUAUGAUCUGAAGCUGCUUGUGUAAAUCCCUGUGUGAAGAGAAACUUAGUUAGCUUUUCAAACCAUUGCCUACUAGCCUGUUUCAGUCCAUACAAUGAUUUCUUGAGUUUACAAACUUGCCCUGACUUUGGAGAAAUCACACCUUGAGGUAUUCUCAUGUAAACAGACUCAUUGAGGUCUUCAUGUAGAAAGGCAUUGUUAACAUCUAACUGAUGUAGAUGCCAACCAUGAAUAGAUGCCAAUGCUAAUAGAACUCUAACAGUGGACAACUUAGCAACUGGGGAAAAAGUUUCAAAAUAAUCCAAGCCUUCAGUUUGAGUGAAACCUUGUGCCACAAGUCUUGCUUUAAAUCUUUCAAUAGUUCCAUCAGCAUGCCUCUUAAUUUUAUAAACCCAUUUGCUUCCAAUAGUGACAACAUUGGGAGGUAAAUCAACAAACUCCCAAGUAUUGUUUUCAUUAAGAGCUCUUAUCUCAUUAUCCAUAGCUGCUACCCAUCUAGAAUAUUUGCUAGCAGCUUGAAAAUUAGCAGGUUCCACUUCUGAUGUGAGGGAUAGUGCAUAAGCUUGAUGUUGAGGAGAUAAUUGUGAAUAUGCUACAUAAUUGGCUAUAGGAUAUGUUUUAGAGGAACAUAUGUAAUCUUGUAAAUGUGAAGGAGGAUUACUAACUCUGUGGGAUCUUCUAACAGGCUCAGCAUGAGCUAUUGCAUCAUUGGGACCAGGCACUGCAUCAAGUUGCUCAGCUUCUGAUGCAGUGUCAGCUUCGGGGGUGGAUACAAAAUCAUCAGACACUUCAUGUGCAUUAGUUUGCAUAGAGAAAGAAGGAACUGUAGUCUCUAAGUAAAUGUGUGUAUUAGGAAUAGCAUGCACAGUAGAAGAGUGAAAAGGGAACUCCAGAUCAAAGAACUUCACAUUCCUAGAAAUCAAUAUCUCAGUGGAAUGUACAUCAACUAAAAUGAAACCUUUCAUUUCUGUCUUGUACCCUAAAAAGGCACAUUUUCUUGCUCUAGGGUCAAAUUUGUGUCUGUUAGUAGGUAAAGUAGAAGCAUAACUCAGACAACCAAAGACUUUCAAUUGAGUGAGAUCAGGUGCAUGUCCAUACAAAACUUCAUAUGAGGAUUUAUUGUGUAAAACUUUAGUGGGAAUUCUAUUUAGUAAAAAAACUGCAUGUAAAACAGCAUAUGACCAGAAUUUCUUUGGUAACUUAGAUUGAAACAUCAGAGCCCUGCUAAUGUUCAAAAUAUGUUGGUGUCUCCUCUCAACCCUACCAUUCUGUUCUGGUGUAUAAACACAACUCUUUUGAUGUAAAAUUCCUUUGGCAUCAUAAAAAUCUUUCAAAAAAAAACUCAGGACCAUUGUCACUUCUAAUGGUCUUCACUUUCUUUUCAAAUUGAUUUUCCACCAUAUGAACAAAACUCUUCGCUUUAUCAGAAGCUUCAGAUUUAAAUUUUAACAUAACUACCCAAACAUUUCUUUGGCAUUAUUUUUACUGACAGGAAAAGGUAAUUUCUUCUGUCUAGCCAUUUGACAAACAUCACAGGCUGUAUGUAAACUAACAGGAAUGUAGCUAUACAUUUUAUUCAUGCAUUGCAUUCUAUCAUGAGAUAGAUGCCCUAACCUAAGAUGCCAUAAAAUUCCAGGAGGAAUGACAUUCUUAGGUAAGCUAUCAGAAGCAGAAAUACUUGAAAUUUUGGCUGCUUUAUUCUUGGUCUUUUCAGCCUUCGAGUAAUAAAGUCCAUUCAUCUCUUUAGCCAAACCAAUCCUCCUCAAAUCCUUCUUUUCCUGUAUAAUGCACUGAUCAGACUCAAAACCCAUAAUACAAUCUUGUUCCUUACAUAACUUGGAAACAGAUAUAAGAUUCACAGCAAAAUCAAGCAAAUACAGCACAUCAUCAAUUUGCAAGUGCUCAUUAAUGUUAUACCCUGAUUUUGGACCUAAAAAUACUCGUUCAAAUUUCUUUUCUAACACUGAUACUUGUCAGUUCGCUGUUAUUUUACUCUGAAUCUUUACUCUCUUUUUAAAAUAUAUUUUACUGCCUCUGUCUGUCUUUUCUUGCAUUACAAGUCAUUUAAGAACUCUCUGAAACGUCGCGUUACUUUUCUUGCAUUUUAUUUCAAAAAUCAUACAAAAGGGUAUUUUGGUCAUUUCCUGCAGUGGAACCCAUUUUAGUCCCUGUGUUUGCCUCUGAGUCUUUUCAACCUGUCUGUACGAAUCAUUGUUGAGUCUUCGUUUAAAAAUCAUUUCAAAAAUUGCAUCUGAGUCAGUUUGAGUCAGUUUAGUCCCUAGGGGCAUUUUGGUCUUUUCCUGUCAAAAUUUCGGCAGGGAGGUAUUUUAAAAUACCUCAUGUCAGUAGUUGGUUCGUUUUAGUCCUUUUGUUAAUUUUAUUUUUGGUUUCGCUUUACGUUUCGUCAAAUUUACUUUUUAGUCCAAUUUUUUUUUUAAUCACGUUUUGGUCCAAAACUUCUUAAAAUUACUUUUUAGUCCUUUUCCUUAUUAUUGCAGUUUAGUCCUCAAUUUCACUGUUUUGCAGAAAGGUCCUUAAAUCACAAAUUUCCCAAGGCCGAGCCAACCAAGUUCACAAACAGGUGGCAUUGCCCCAUUGGUCCAGGAAUACACAUGGCAGGCUAUAAAUAACACACAGUGUCAGAAAUUCCAGGGGGAUCCAAAAGAAAAUCAGAAUCAAUCACAAUCAGUCUCAAACAGAAUCUUUUUCUCUCUCUCAUCCAUAACAGAAUCAAAAACAGAAAAAUCUCAGAAAAAAAGAGGAAGAACACCAAGAACACAUCAUCACCAAAAUCAACAGAUCUAAACCGGAUCUGCUCAGAAUCAACUCCAAUCACCACAAAAUCAACAAAUCCGAACCGGAUUCACUCAAAACCACCGCGAAUCAUCACAUCAACACCAAAACGUACCGGAUUUUUGAGCAAAAAACAACCACAAACGGAGUUGAAACGCGCGCGCACGGAGGGGGAAAAAGGGAGAUUCGAAGUUAUCCGAAGAUUUUUCUCCGUUCUACGAUAGAGGUAACGCAUUUCUCUCCUCUUUUUCUUCAUUUUCGCGCGCGCAUAUAGUGUAGAAAAAGUGUGAAAAAGUUUGUUACGGAUAUGUAUUUGUAGAUCUAGGCUUGUACGUUCGGAUUUUAGAAAUUCAGAGACCGGAUUCGGACUCUAUAGAGAAAAGGAUAUCUAGAUCCGUAGUUUUUUUUUUUUUUUUUUUGCGAAAAGUGUGAAAAAAAUUUCAAAGUAAAAAUGUAGAUCUAGUCCGAAUCGCUCCGUUCUCGCUAAAACUAACGCGGGAUUUGUGUAGAGGAGGUGGUGACGGAACUUUUGAUGUAAAAAUUUCGAAAAAAAAAAAGAAAAACGCUCCGACGCGGCGGCGCUACGGCCGGCCACCGCGCCGGAGCAACUCCCACCACCACCACUUAGCUCUCGCCGGCGGCGAGUUUCUAGAGAGAAGGGAGAGCAUUUUUGUGAUUUUGAGUUUUAGAGAGAGAAGGAGAAGGGGUUUAUGUGUUUUUUGUGUGAAAAUUCCUUUAUAUACUCCCUCCGUUCCCACGCGCGCGCGUGCAUGUUUCUGUGGUGUUCCCUCGCUCUGUGAACCAUCGGAUCUGGAUUGUUCCAAGAUCUGAUGGCUGCUGUGUGUUUUGAUCUUGAAUCAUGUGUGUGAUCUUCUGUGUGAAAUAUGUUAUAUCUUCUGUUUGAACCGUUAGAUCUUUGAUCUAACGGUCAUUGUGCUUCCUGCAAUUUUACACUAUCUUUUUUGUGUUUUUUAAACCCUUGGAUCUUUGAUCCAGUGGCUGUGAUGAGAUCUUGGGAGUUAGAUCUGGACCUCUGGAUUCAUCCAACGGUCCAGAUUAUAACCUGCUGAGUUUUUUUUUAAUUGCUUUUUUUGUUGUGUUUUUAAAUACUUUUUUACACUUUCUUGGCAUUUUAUGCUCCUAAAAAUUUUCUAAAAAUGUUUCCCUAUCAUUUUAAUUUUUUCUCUAAAUGUUAGAAUUUACUUGCUUAUAUUUUUCUAUUUUCUUCAUUUGUUCUUUUUAAUUCUUGCUCAUUAAAUUCCUAUAUGUUCUUGGUGCAUUUUUUGACAUUUUGUGAUAUUUUUUUAUUUUUUUUUUUACAUGUUAAAUAAUGUGUAGAAAAUAUCCCUAGGAAUAUGGUAUGAUGCUUUGCUUGUGUGUUUUUAUGAUCCUCACAUUGUAGCUUAAAAUCAAAUCUCUUUUAAAAAUGGUUAUGAUGAGGGAAUUAUAAGCCAUAUGCAUGUCUAAGUGUCAUAACCAAUUUUAGGUAUAUUUUGCCAUUUUAUUUCAUUUCAUUACUUUUUUUUUUCUCUUGCUAUUCUAUUCAAUUUUGUUUACCUUUCUACUAUUUUUAUGCCUUAUGAUACUAACCAUUUCAUCUCACAUUUCAUUCAUCCCAUAGUUUUGGCAUCAUUUUUUUAUUCAUUUCUAUAUCAAUUGGGUUUGUAAUAAUUUUAGAUAGAUUAGUUCUUUUUUAAAUUCCUUGCAAGACCAUAGCAUGUAUUUAGGACUCAAUGUAAAGGACUAUGGACACUAUAAGGGAUGUACACCGACACAAGCACUGACACGCACACACGCUGCAUGCUUACCGUUUAGAUGUAUGCUUAGGAAAUGCGAUUUUUAGACAAAUGUCAAUUUUCAAAAAAAUAAUAAACCAAUUCCAUCACUCAAAUUUUUCCAAACAAAUCUUGGAGUCAAAACUCCAUUGAAUUUCUUCUUUUAUUUUCUUAAACAAAUCCAAAUGAAUCCUAAUUUCUACUUAGACUUUUUUAAUAACAAUUGAACCAACCAUUCACCAUUUUUCUCUCUUAUGCCUUUAAGGCCUCUUUCUCUUCUUCAAAACCAUUUUCCAACAAAAACUAAAAUCAACCAAACACACAAAAAAACAUUUUUCGAGAGAGAACUACAUGGAGUUUGAUCCCUUAAAUGGGUAUGUAGGCAUGAGGUCAAAACCUCUCCAAGUCCACUAAAAUAAAACCUCAAACACUUUCUCCCCCCCAUUCUUAACAUAGGUAAAUUUCCUUUUUCAUAAGUAGCAUUAAAAAUAAAGCGUAGACAUAAACUAAGAAAACGGCUCCUAUAGAGUACUAUAGUCACCGCGGGUGCCUAACACCUUCCCGUAGUGAAAACGACCCCCGAACUUAGAAUCUAAGGGUUUUUUCUCAAUUUUGCCCUUCCCAAGAAAAAAUAGAGAAUAUCAAAGAUUGAAAGGUUCAAGCCUAAUUAAUGACUUGACACCCGAAAAUCGCGAUAACAGAAAUGGCGACUUCACUGGGGACACUUUUUAGCGGGUCACGCCUAGUUUUCCUUAGUUUAUAUUUACACUUUGUUUUAUUGCUUACAUAUGUGAAUACUUGUUUAUCUUUAUUUGACGUGUGGGGUGAGAAUAUCAAAAGUCCUAUACCCGGGCUGAGUGAACUUAUGAAUAGGUAGAGAUAUAAUCGACAAUUCGAUCCGAGGGUUGCCUCGUGUAUUGGGUUAUGCGAUCAAUCUCACAUAGCUGAGGCAUUUUGGAAGUAAUAUUGUCGGCGUGUGUUGUCAUGCUUAGGCACUUUGCUUUCAAUUGUUCGACGAUGCUAUGGACCGUAGUUACCAAACCCAUCCCUGGCCUUUUUAGGACGUAGUGCGGUGGCUAAACCGAGUGUUGUCUCGAGUUUUAGUCGUCACGCGAUACUACACUCAAACUAGACCUUCUUGCGAAUAAACAUGGAACGGACGUUGUCCCGUGCUACCAUGAUAUACGUAAGAGAGGUUGCAGUUUGGGAACUUGAUUAGAACCUUGGUUACUAUUAUCCUAAACUUUAGUUUACCGGGCACCGUGUCCGCCCGUGGCUCCUCGACUUUAAUCUCAACCCUCCAUGUUUUCUCUGUAAUUGAAAAAAAAAAAAAAAAACAAUCAUGCAUACAUGCAUUCAUGCAUAAAUUUUUCUCAUGCAUUCAUCGAAGGAUUGGACAAAUUAAAAACUUUGUAAACAUUACAGGUAUGAAGAAGACUAAAUCCUACAAGUUCAAGGAGGUUGAUUUGGUUGGUUUGAGAGAAUUGGCACUCAAGGUUAAGAAUCAAACAGGUUUCCGACUCCGGUAUGUUGGUUUGCUUACUAUUCUCCGGACUAAUGUUGAAGAGAAGCUCGUGCACACUCUAGUGCAAUUCUAUGACCCGAGAUUCCGCUGCUUCACUUUCCCGGAUUUCCAGUUGGUCCCUACUCUUGAGGCUUAUUCCCACUUAUUGGAUUCACCUAUAGCCGAGAAGACGCCUUUCACCGGUCCCGGGACUUCUCUUACUCCUUUGGUUAUUGCUAAGGAUCUCUAUCUCAAGACUUCCGAUGUCUCCAAGCAUCUUACUACUAAGUCUCACAUCCGAGGGUUCACUUCAAAGUAUCUACUUGAGCAAGCUAAUCUCAAAACUACUUGUCAGGACGCACUCGAGGCUAUUCUUGCAUUGCUUGUCUAUGGGCUCAUUCUCUUCCCGAAUCUCGACAACUUUGUGGACAUGAAUGCUAUUGAGAUCUUCCAUUCCAGGAAUCCGGUUCCUACUUUGCUAGCUGACGUAUAAUGUUUACAAAAUUUCUAAUUUGUCUAAAACCCUUCGAUGACAAAAAGAGUCGUUUCUGCAUUUGCAUUUGUACAUAUCAUGCACCAUAUGCAUCAUUCAUCGGUCACAAAAGGUUUCCAAGUGCUCACUGCCUCCUGGUUCUUCUGCCAUAGUUUGAAAGGUGGCUCGUGCUUGGAAAGUCUACGAACCUGACAGAAUAUAUCAGACUAGACUAUACAGAAAGGAGAAUUUGGUAGCUAUGGAAGAGGAAAAUGCUCAGCUCCGUACCGAAUUAGCUUCUCUGAGGGAAGAAUUGGCUAAGGCCAAUAAUACCAUGACUGCUCUGCUAGCCGCCCAGGAACAAUCAGCCACGGCUAUCCCUAUAGCUACAAGUGUGAUCCCAACUGCAUCUACUGAUGCCCGCUUCGUUAUGCCAGCUCCACAGACUGAGAAGCAAGUCAGAGGUUUCCUCGGGCGUUUGAAUUACAUCUCCCGAUUCAUAUCUCACAUGACCGCAACCUGCGGGCCGAUCUUCAAGCUACUCAGAAAGAAUCAGCCUAUUGUAUGGAAUGAUGAAUGCCAAGAAGCUUUUGAUAGCAUCAAGAAUUACCUGCUGAAACCACCUAUCCUUGUUCCACCCGUGGAAGGAAGGCCCUUGAUUAUGUAUUUGGCAGUAUUUGAUGAAUCCAUGGGAUGCGUACUUGGUCAACAAGAUGAGACUGGAAAGAAAGAACAUGUUAUCUACUAUCUAAGCAAGAAGUUCACCGAUUGUGAAACUCGGUAUACAAUGCUUGAGAAGACUUGUUGUGCUUUGGCCUGGGCCGCUAAACGCCUGCGUCAUUAUUUGGUGAAUCAUACAACUUGGUUGAUAUCCAGAAUGGAUCCGAUAAAGUAUAUCUUUGAGAAAGCUGCUGUUACUGGGAAGAUUGCACGCUGGCAGAUGCUUUUGUCUGAAUAUGAUAUUGUGUUCAAAACUCAAAAGACAGUCAAAGGUAGCAUUCUUGCCGAUCAUCUUGCUUACCAACCUCUUGAUGAUUAUCAACCAAUUGAGUUCGAUUUCCCCGAUGAAGAGAUCAUGUAUUUGAAAUCAAAAGACUGCGAAGAACCGUUGAUUGAUGAAGGUCCAGAUCCCAAUAGCAAGUGGGGUUUAGUCUUUGAUGGUGCUGUCAAUGCUUAUGGUAAAGGAAUUGGGGCAGUCAUUGUAUCCCCACAGGGGCAUCACAUCCCUUUUACCGCCAGAAUUCUGUUCGAAUGUACAAACAAUAUGGCUGAGUAUGAAGCAUGUAUCUUUGGGAUCGAGGAAGCAAUUGACAUGAGAAUCAAACACCUCGACAUCUAUGGAGAUUCUGCGCUCGUCAUCAAUCAGAUAAAGGGUGAAUGGGAAACCCACCAUGCUAAGUUGAUUCCUUAUCGUGAUUAUGCGAGACGUUUGCUGACAUAUUUUACAAAGGUUGAGCUGCACCAUAUUCCUCGUGAUGAGAACCAAAUGGCUGAUGCUCUUGCUACUCUAUCCUCCAUGUUUCGAGUAAACCAUUGGAAUGAUGUGCCAAUAAUCAAAGUGUAACGCCUUGAAAGACCUUCACAUGUGUUUGCUAUUGGGGAUGUGAUCGAUCGGGCUGGUGAAAAUGUGGUUGACUAUAAACCCUGGUACUACGACAUCAAACAGUUCUUGCUAAGCCGUGAGUAUCCGUCGGGUGCUUCCAACCAAGAUAAGAAGACCCUGAGAAGAUUGACCAGUAGAUUCCUGUUAGACGGAGAUAUUCUGUACAAGAGAAACUAUGACAUGGUAUUGUUAAGAUGUGUUGAUGAACAUGAAGCAGAGCAGUUAAUGCAUGAUGUACAUGACGGUACCUUCGGGACCCAUGCUACAGGGCAUACUAUGUCAAGGAAGUUGUUACGGGCAGGUUACUACUGGAUGACCAUGGAGCAUGAUUGCUACCAGCACGCCAGAAAGUGCCAAAAAUGUCAAAUCUAUGCUGAUAAGAUUCAUGUGCCUCCGCACGCUCUCAAUGUUAUUUCAUCCCCAUGGCCGUUUUCAAUGUGGGGCAUCGACAUGAUUGGGAGAAUUGAACCGAAGGCUUCAAAUGGUCAUCGUUUCAUCUUAGUGGCAAUUGACUACUUCACCAAGUGGGUUGAAGCAGCAUCUUAUACCAAUGUGACCAAGCAAGUGGUAGCUAAGUUCAUCAAGAACAACAUCAUCUGUCGAUAUGGUGUUCCCAGCAAGAUUAUUACCGACAAUGGUACCAACCUGAACAACAAUGUGGUGCAAGCUCUUUGUGAAGAAUUCAAAAUUGAACAUCAUAACUCUUCUCCUUAUAGACCUCAGAUGAAUGGUGCAGUUGAGGCCGCCAACAAGAAUAUCAAGAGAAUUGUCCAGAAGAUGGUAACCACUUACAAGGACUGGCAUGAGAUGUUACCCUAUGCUCUGCAUGGCUACCGUACUACAGUGCGCAGUUCAACCGGGGCAACCCCUUUCUCUCUUGUAUAUGGUAUGGAAGCAGUUCUUCCUUUGGAAGUGGAGAUCCCAUCUCUCCGUGUGAUCAUGGAAGCAAAGUUAUCUGAGACUGAAUGGUGCCAAAGCCGGUAUGAUCAGUUGAAUUUGAUUGAGGAAAAACGUAUGGAUGCCAUGGCUCGUGGACAGUCAUAUCAAGCAAGAAUGAAGACUGCUUUUGACAAGAAGGUCCAUCCUCGAGAAUUCAAGGUAGGAGAACUUGUAUUGAAAAGGAGGAUAAGCCAGCAACCUGACCCAAGGGGCAAGUGGACGCCUAACUAUGAAGGUCCUUAUGUUGUCAAGAAGGCCUUCUCUGGUGGUGCUUUAAUCCUUACACACAUGGAUGGUGUAGAACUUCCAAAUCCUGUGAAUGCUGAUAUAGUCAAGAAAUACUUUGCCUAGAAAUAUGAAAAGAACAGCGUGGUAGGUUGAAAACCCGAAAGGGCGGCCUAGGCAAAAAUGCGCUUCCCGGUGGAUCGAAAACCCGAAAGGGCGGUCCAGGCAAAAAUAAGGGACAAAAAAUAUAUGAAAAAGCUCGCUGAGAUUGUACACAACUCAGGCAAGAAUGAGCGUCUCGAUGAGCCGAAAACCCGGAAGGGCGGUUCAUGCAAAAAAUGAGAUUGAAACAAGAGGCAAGUAACUAUAUCUGGCCAACCACCAUCCCCCUUGGGGCAUCUGCAGCUGUUAAUGACUAUCUUCAUCAAAAGCUCCUACGCUUGCGAAUUCAAAGUUUCUAGGAAAUGUAAUGAUUGCUGCGUUCAAUGUACCACCAACCAAUAAAAAUUACCAUUUUCCAAGCUUCGUAAAUCCGUGGAGUCACGCCUUCGGCUGACCACCACUCUUAUACAUCAAUUUGAGCCUGUGCUUUUGUUUGAAACUCUGCUUUCUUUUACUUUCUAAGUUAUGUACAAAAACAUUUUCCUUCUAUUUUUAAUAAUGACAAAUGCUCGAAACAAACAUCUUGAAAAUUGAAAAAGUUUUUUGAAAAGCAAACCUGAGCAACAGGGUACAUUCAAACGAACAUGCAUGAGCGAGUGUAUGUUGGUGCCUAUUUCAAUAUAUGUUACAAGCAGAUUCUCCUCCAGGAUAGUCUGUGGUCAAUGGCAAGAAUGAAAAAAUAGAAUGAAAAUGCAUGAAAAUGAAUAGGCUCGCUAAGUUGAAAACCCGGAAGGGCGGCUUAGGCAAGAAUGAGCACCCCGCUGGAUUGACAACCCGAAAGGGCAGUUCAGGCAAAAAUGGGGCAUUGAAAAGAAUUUAUUUCCCCGGUGGAUCGAAAACCCGAAAGGGCGAUCCAGGCAAAAAUGGGAUGCAAAAAAAAAUAAAAAAUGAAUGAAAUUGAGACAAUAACAUGCAAAAAGCAUUGACCACAGAUGCGACAUCCACGAUACAUCCGGCACUGAAAUGCCCAGCAAUGACGGCAUUAUUCCCAGUAGAGUCUCCCGAGAUUCUAUCCCCAGCAAGUUGCAUAGCUACCUGCCCUCAGCCAUGGUCCCGAUACGUCUCCCAACGACGUCAUCUCCAAAGAGGAUUUCCAAGAAUGUGUAAUAUAGCACGAGCCACUGCGUGCCCAACACUCCAGUGUCUUGUCUGUCUCUGCGGAACUGUGUCUACAAAUCGCCAACAGUCAUGCAUUACAAGCAUUCAUACAUGCAUAAUCAUGCAUAUUACGUGCCCAUGCAUUUAAUGAAACUGUUAUAUCAUUCAUGCAUGUUGCAUUUCCAAUAUCAACAUCAGUCUCAAUUCAAUACUCAUGUCAGGUUCUCUGUCAAAACCUUGUGAGCCAAUAAUAUCGGUCAAUUUCCACCUUUCAAAUCAAAUCGACGUCAAGUCAAUCUCAAUCUAUAUUUUGUCAAAAAAAAAAAAAACAAUCCCUAGUGAAUAUGUUUCCGUUUGGUCAAGUGGCUAGUUCAAGUCCAAGAACAGCUUGUACCUAUCAAUUUGCUUAUGUUAUCGGUCGAGUUACCAGUUCGAAUCCAAGAACAGCUCGUACCUGUCUAUGUGUCCAUGAUUUUGGUCAAGUGCCCAGCUCAAUCCAAGAGCAGCUUGUACCUAUCAAUAUGUUUCUGUUUGGUCAAGUGGCUAGUUCAAGUCCAAGAACAGCUUGUACCUAUCAAUUUGCUUAUGUUAUCGGUCGAGUUACCAGUUCGAAUCCAAGAACAGCUCGUACCUGUCUAUGUGUCUAUGAUUUUGGUCGAGUGCCCAGCUCAAUCCAAGAGCAGCUUAUACCUAUCAAUAUGUUUCUGUUUGGUCAAGUAACCAGUUCGCAUCCAAGAGCGACUUGCACCCGUUUACUUUUCAAUGUUAUCAGUCGAGUUACCAGUUCAAAUCCAAGAACAGCUCGUACCUGUCUAUGUGUCUAUGAUUUUGGUCAAGUGGCUAGUUCAAGUCCAAGAACAGCUUGUACCUGUCUAUCUGUUUCUGUUCGGUCAAGUGGCUAGCUCCAUCCAAGAGCAGCUUGCACCUGUCUAUUUGUCUUUGUCUCCGGUGGAGUAACCAGUUCGCAUCCAAGAACAAGCUCGCACCUGUCUAUUUGCCUUGCUUUCAGUCGAGUGACUAGUUCGAAUCAAGAACAACUCGUACCUGUCCAUCUUUUCCAUGUCCUCGGUCGAGUGACCAGUUCGAAUCCAAGAAAAACUCGCACCUGUUUGUCUGCUUUUAUUCCCGGUCAAGUGCCCAGCUCAAUCCAAGAGCAGCUUGUACCCGUCAAUUUGUUCCUAGUCUCCUAUCUACCCUGUUAUCUGUUAUCUUGUCAAUGUCUACCAAUCCCGCAAUGGAUACGACAUCUUUUGUUAAUUCCAGCCUUCGUUUGUCUCGCACUCAUAAUCCAAAUGUUGCAUGGCAUUCAUGAUAUUUGAGAAUGUACAAGCGUAUUUUUACGUCCAAACACAGUGCAAAUGUUAAUAUUUAAGUAUCUUCGUCCCGUCAAGUCAAAGACUCCGUCUCUUGACCCUCUAGACAAAGAAACUUAAAUAGGGGCAGCUGUUAUACCCUGAUUUUGGACCUAAAAAUACUCGUUCAAAUUUCUUUUCUAACACUGAUACUUGUCAGUUCGCUGUUAUUUUACUCUGAAUCUUUACUCUCUUUUUAAAAUAUAUUUUACUGCCUCUGUCUGUCUUUUCUUGCAUUACAAGUCAUUUAAGAACUCUCUGAAACGUCGCGUUACUUUUCUUGCAUUUUAUUUCAAAAAUCAUACAAAAGGGUAUUUUGGUCAUUUCCUGCAGUGGAACCCAUUUUAGUCCCUGUGUUUGCCUCUGAGUCUUUUCAACCUGUCUGUACGAAUCAUUGUUGAGUCUUCGUUUAAAAAUCAUUUCAAAAAUUGCAUCUGAGUCAGUUUGAGUCAGUUUAGUCCCUAGGGGCAUUUUGGUCUUUUCCUGUCAAAAUUUCGGCAGGGAGGUAUUUUAAAAUACCUCAUGUCAGUAGUUGGUUCGUUUUAGUCCUUUUGUUAAUUUUAUUUUUGGUUUCGCUUUACGUUUCGUCAAAUUUACUUUUUAGUCCAAUUUUAUUUUUAAUCACGUUUUGGUCCAAAACUUCUUAAAAUUACUUUUUAGUCCUUUUCCUUAUUAUUGCAGUUUAGUCCUCAAUUUCACUGUUUUGCAGAAAGGUCCUGAAAUCACAAAUUGCCCAAGGCCGAGCCAACCAAGUUCACAAACAGGUGGCAUUGCCCCAUUGGUCCAGGAAUACACAUGGCAGGCUAUAAAUAACAUACAGUGUCAGAAAUUCCAGGGGGAUCCAAAAGAAAAUCAGAAUCAAUCACAAUCAGUCUCAAACAGAAUCUUUUUCUCUCUCUCAUCCAUAACAGAAUCAAAAACAGAAAAAUCUCAGAAAAAAAGAGGAAGAACACCAAGAACACAUCAUCACCAAAAUCAACAGAUCUAAACCGGAUCUGCUCAGAAUCAACUCCAAUCACCACAAAAUCAACAAAUCCGAACCGGAUUCACUCAAAACCACCGCGAAUCAUCACAUCAACACCAAAACGUACCAGAUUUUUGAGCAAAAAACAACCACAAACGGAGUUGAAACGCGCGCGCACGGAGGGGGAAAAAGGGAGAUUCGAAGUUUUCCGAAGAUUUUUCUCCGUUCUACGAUAGAGGUAACGCAUUUCUCUCCUCUUUUUCUUCAUUUUCGCGCGCGCAUAUAGUGUAGAAAAAGUGUGAAAAAGUUUGUUACGGAUAUGUAUUUGUAGAUCUAGGCUUGUACGUUCGGAUUUUAGAAAUUCCGAGACCGGAUUCGGACUCUAUAGAGAAAAGGAUAUCUAGAUCCGUAGUUUUUUUUUUUUUUUUGCGAAAAGUGUGAAAAAAAUUUCAAAGUAAAAACGUAGAUCUAGUCCGAAUCGCUCCGUUCUCGCUAAAACUAACGCCGGAUUUGUGUAGAGGAGGUGGUGACGGAACUUUUGAUGUAAAAAUUUCGAAAAAAAAAAAAAGAAAAACGCUACGGCCGGCCACCGCGCCGGAGCAACUCCCACCACCACCACUUAGCUCUCGCCGGCGGCGAGUUUCUAGAGAGAAGGGAGAGCAUUUUUGUGAUUUUGAGUUUUAGAGAGAGAAGGAGAAGGGGUUUAUGUGUUUUUUGUGUGAAAAUUCCUUUAUAUACUCCCUCCGUUCCCACGCGCGCGCGUGCAUGUUUCUGUGGUGUUCCCUCGCUCUGUGAACCAUCAGAUCUGGAUUGUUCCAAGAUCUGAUGGCUGCUGUGUGUUUUGAUCUUGAAUCAUGUGUGUGAUCUUCUGUGUGAAAUAUGGUAUAUCUUCUGUUUGAACCGUUAGAUCUUUGAUCUAACGGUCAUUGUGCUUCCUGCAAUUUUACACUAUCUUUUUUGUGUUUUUUAAACCCUUGGAUCUUUGAUCCAGUGGCUGUGAUGAGAUCUUGGGAGUUAGAUCUGGACCUCUGGAUUCAUCCAACGGUCCAGAUUAUAACCUGCUGAGUUUUUUUUUAAUUGCUUUUUUUGUUGUGUUUUUAAAUACUUUUUUACACUUUCUUGGCAUUUUAUGCUCCUAAAAAUUUUCUAAAAAUGUUUCCCUAUCAUUUUAAUUUUUUCUCUAAAUGUUAGAAUUUACUUGCUUAUAUUUUUCUAUUUUCUUCAUUUGUUCUUUUUAAUUCUUGCUCAUUAAAUUCCUAUAUGUUCUUGGUGCAUUUUUUGACAUUUUGUGAUUUUUUUUUUUUUUUUACAUGUUAAAUAAUGUGUAGAAAAUAUCCCUAGGAAUAUGGUAUGAUGCUUUGCUUGUGUGUUUUUAUGAUCCUCACAUUGUAGCUUAAAAUCAAAUCUCUUUUAAAAAUGGUUAUGAUGAGGGAAUUAUAAGUCAUAUGCAUGUCUAAGUGUCAUAACCAAUUUUAGGUAUAUUUUGCCAUUUUAUUUCAUUUCAUUACUUUUUUUUUUCUCUUGCUAUUCUAUUCAAUUUUGUUUACCUUUCUACUAUUUUUAUGCCUUAUGAUACUAACCAUUUCAUCUCACAUUUCAUUCAUCCCAUACUUUUGGCAUCAUUUUUUUAUUCAUUUCUAUAUCAAUUGGGUUUGUAAUAAUUUUAGAUAGAUUAGUUCUUUUUUAAAUUCCUUUCAAGACCAUAGCAUGUAUUUAGGACUCAAUGUAAAGGACUAUGGACACUAUAAGGGAUGUACACCGACACAAGCACUGACACGCACACACGCUGCAUGCUUACCAUUUAGAUGUAUGCUUAGGAAACGCGAUUUUUAGACAAAUGUCAAUUUUCAAAAAAAUAAUAAACCAAUUCCAUCACUCAAAUUUUUCCAAACAAAUCUCGGAGUCAAAACUCCAUGGAAUUUCUUCUUUUAUUUUGUUAAACAAAUCCAAAUGAAUCCUAAUUUCUACUUAGACUUUUUUAAUAACAAUUGAACCAACCAUUCACCAUUUUUCUCUCUUAUGCCUUUAAGGCCUCUUUCUCUUCUUCAAAACCAUUUUCCAACAAAAACUAAAAUCAACCAAACACACAAAAUAACAUUUUUUGAGAGAGAACUACAUGGAGUUUGAUCCCUUAAAUGGGUAUGUAGGCAUGAGGUCAAAACCUCUCCAAGUCCACUAAAAUAAAACCUCAAACACUUUCUCCCCCCCAUUCUUAACAUAAGUAAAUUUCCUUUUUCAUAAGUAGCAUUAAAAAUAAAGCGUAGACAUAAACUAAGAAAACGGCUCCUAUAGAGUACUAUAGUCACCGCGGGUGCCUAACACCUUCCCGUAGUGAAAACGACCCCCGAACUUAGAAUCUAAGGGUUUUUUCUCAAUUUUGCCCUUCCCAAGAAAAAAUAGAGAAUAUCAAAGAUUGAAAGGUUCAAGCCUAAUUAAUGACUUGACACCCGAAAAUCGCGAUAACAAUUAAGUUGCACUUUCCCUUUACAAAAGGCUUGCACUAUAUUGUUAUUAGGUAGUUUAACACUAAUAGGAUCAAUUUCUUUGUAGGUAAUAAACCAAUUGAUGUCAUAACAAGUGUUGUGUGUAGCACCAGUAUCUACUAUCCAACUAGUAUCAUCAUAAUUCUUGGAGUGUUCAUAGAAAUUACCUCCUAUGUUAGCAACAGAACUGCUUGCCUUCAUCAUGUUGGCUUUUGCAUCAAUAGCAUUCUUUUCAAGUAAUGCCAUUAGAUUCUGAUACUGAUCUCUGGUUAACAUCAUUCCACCAUCAUCAUUCUUAGCAACAUUACUAGUACCUUUAGCAUCAUAUUUCUCAGACUCUACCAUGUUUGCAGAAGCAGAACUUGAGCCAUAAGAAUUUCCUCCUCCUCUACCCCAAUUAGGAGGAAAGCCAUGCUUCUUAUAACAAGUCUCCAUGGUGUGAUUUGACCUUCCACAGAAAUUACAAACUCUUCCAUUGCCUCUUCCUCUUCCUUGGAAACCAGCAUUUCCUCUUCCUCUUCCAAAUUGCCUCUGUGCAUCUACAGCAUUCACCAAUCUAGCACUGGUAUCCUCUACAACAGAAGCAGGUGCAACAAUUAUACCAUAUUGAGCCUUCCUUUCUUGCUGCAUAAUCAUAGAGAAAACUCUAUUGAUUUGAGGCAAUGGAUCCAUUAAUAAAACUUGAGAUGUAACACUUUGAUAUUCUUCAUUCAACCCAAUCAGAAAUUGAAUGAUUCUAUCCUCUAAUCUGAAACCUUUUGCAUUACGCAUAGCCAAACAACUGCAAGGAAUUGGACAGGUGCAGUGAGGCAUAGGCCUAUACUGAUCCAAUUCUUCCCAUAAGCCUCUUAAUUCAGUGAAGUAUUCAGUAACUUUCUUGCUUCCUUGCUUCAGAUUGGAAAUUUCUUGCUGCAAUUGAGCCACUCUAAUACGAUCUCCUCUCAUGAAACGAUCUUUGAGAUCAUUCCACAUAUCCAUAGCAUUCUCAAUGAAAACAACACUUUGCGCAAUUGAUGGCGAAAUCGAAUUAAUUAUCCAAGUAUGAACAAGAUUAUUGCACCUUUCCCAAGCAGCACGAUUGAGAUCGUGUUCAUCUGGAACUUCAAUAGAUCCAUCAACAAACUUGAAUUUGUUUUUCAUCGCCAAAGCUCUACGCAUCUUCAUUGACCAAGAAUGAUAAUUGUCACCAUUCAAUUGCGGUGUUACACUCACCGUGCUGGAAUUUUCUGAAGGAUGAACGAAAUACGGAUCCAAACUUUGAUCCUGAUUGUUGUUGUUGUUCCUCACCAUGAUUAAUCGAAACAAAUCAAAAACUGAAAGAAAAAUUCAAUUGGAACAGAAGAAACUGAUUCAAAGAUGAAUCAAUCGAAACAACGAAGAAAAGAAGAAAUUUGUAAAGAAAAAUACAGAACGAAUCGAAGAAGAUGAACGAGAUUGAAUCAAGAAUUGUUCAUCUUCAUGCAGCGGAAACAGAGCAGAACUGAUUCUGCUCUGAUACCAUCUCAAAGUUUCAACCAGAGAAGAAAGAGAAAAAUGAAGUGAAAAAGAUUAUUGAUUAGUUCAACUGAAUUCUGUUACAAUGAGGGUAUAUGUAGAAGUUGGUUAUGACAGCUAUGUCUAACUAACUUCUAUCUAUCUAAAUGUAAAAGAAAUACAAAUGAAAUUACAUGUAAAUAAGGUAAUUUCCACAUUAAGCAAACUAAGAAUUCUAGCUGCUAUUUACGUGCUAUCUUAUUUCUCAACAUCUUCUUCUAAUAUAGUUGUUGCAUGUUUGUUUUAUUUUAAAUUGUGUUGAUGAAUUAUAAGUUCAUUAUGUGUUUUGUUAAUUUUUCAUGUGUUUGGUAUCUUUAUGGUAUAAGUUGUGAUUGAUGUAUGAAACUUCCUUUUUCCCUAACUUAUGAUAGUAAUGUUGGGAUUCAAAAUGGAAUUGGUUGACAUGUGUUUGGAUGAGAAAGUAAUAAAUAUAUGGUCAAUAUUACGAUAAAUCCUAACUCAGAUGAGUAGGGUUCCAUCUUUAAUAUCUUAUCAAUAAUAAUCCUUUUAUUGAUUAUCAAUGGAACCAAUAAUUUACACUUAUAAGAAAGAAAUGAACUAGUGAACUCUUAGUUCGAAAGAAACAUAAAUGACAUUGUUUGAAAAUUCAUUACCGUGACAAUCUAAUGAUAUAAAAUUGAAGUUAUAUGUGGUAGGUCUUUAAAUAUAAUUUCAUAUUCUUAAGUUAAAGAUCAUGGUGAUAAAAAAAAUACAUAUAUAUAUAAAUAUACAAUUAUUAGGAUUCACGACCAUAAAUAAAUGGUAACUAUAAAAGAUUUUAGCAAAAUAUAUAUUUGUUAUUUCUUAUUGCAAGUGUAAGAACUCAGUCUUCCAUGCAUGGUGUCAUUGUAAUAUUCUGAGUAUGAGACUCAUACUAUCCGUAGGACACAAAAGACAGAUUACAUUUGCCAUUAAUGCACCUAUACCUUUGAACUAGCGUAUUUGGUGGGCAAUCAUUAUCAGUUAUACAAAAAAUAUCAUCUGUAGUGAAAGAAUAUAAUAAACUAAUGUUAUAAAAAUGAAUAAUAAUUAUAUAUGAACUACAAACUAAAGAAGGUAAUUUGAAAAGGAUGAAAAAAAAAAAAAAAAAAAAAACAUUACCCUCAAUAUUAUUUGCGAUAAGAAAUAGGAAAAUAAAUAAAGUUAUAGCAUACACAAGCUUAUGAGCCAUAUCUUUCACUCUUUACAUACAACAAAUAUAAUUGAUUUGAUCACUUUAUAGUGUAUAAUCCUUACAUACAACAAAUAUAAUUUAUUUGAUCACUUUAUUGGGUAUAAACCUCAUGUUGGGUUAAGAAAAUUUUAAAUAUUUUUUCCGCUUAAUAACUUUUAAAAGUUACUCCCUAAAUUUAAAAUUAUUAUUAAUUGUCUCUUAAGAAGAUCAAUGUGUUAUAUUUGUCCAUUUACAACACUUAAUAAAUGCGCACCAUAAAAAUCUUUCUAAUCAUUAGAAUUUAAUAUUUUGGUAAUUAACCUUAUUACUUUUGAUGAUUGAAAAAAGACAUUUAAAAACAUAAAAAUGCAUAAGUUAAUCGUUUAACCUUACUGUAGGAUUUUUUUUAUAUAUAAAAUCAUUUAAUUAUAUGGAAUAGUAUAAAAUUUUAUAAUUGCAUGAAUUCAUCAACAUUCUCAUUGACAUAAAGUCAUUGAUUGACAUGUAUAUACAAAAUAAAUUAGAAUUGAAGACUGAUAUGUUCGCGUGAUACAUCAGGGAGAAAUACAUUGGGCUGCUAGGGUUUCCCCCAUGCACUAUCGUCCUACUAAAUUUUGAUUAAGUUAUUACUCGCUAACUAUCAGUUGGUUUCAUAUGUCGUUGAACCAAGGUGGAUUUUAGAAUAAUGUCUUUAAAGUAUUAAUGAUAGCAUUGUGUAAAAGAACAAUUGAAUACUCUAAUGUAUGUUCAAGUGUGCAAAACCAUAAAAUUAAAUUAUGAUUUAAAUGCCCAGUUUUGGUUGAUACAUCAUGCUCUAAACAUAAAGGAAAUCAUUUUGGUACUAAAGAAACACAUUGGAAACUUCUGAAGAUUUAGAAGAUGAUCUGACGAUAAGUUAAGAAAAAUCCAAAGCUCUCAUCAAAUAAAGGAUGCAUCAAGUCUUGAAGAGUGACGAGAACAAGAUCUUAUGGAUACAUGCUCCAAAGGAAGCAAGUUAUGAAGGAGUCAGAAUCAUCUCCAUUUACUAAAAAUAAAUAGAUAAUGUCAUUUGGUGAGAGAUAGAUACAAAAAAAAAUAUGUAGUGGGUCCCCCUGGUAUUAAUUAUUUUCAAAUUUAUUUGUGUCUUUAUCUCUCUAAAUGGAAGAAAUCGAAAUCGACAGACUAAUAAAUGGAGAUGAUCUUAACUCGUUAUGAAGGAUUCAAUGCAAAUAUCUGAUAGUACUAUUUGUAUUUUCAUGACCACUUGACGAAACAAAGAAAGAAAUUCAAUGGAAAAGAAUGUAACAGAACAUUCCAUAAGUAGCAAAGGAUUUCUCUACUACUAUUCAACGAUAAUAUCCAUUAAAGGAAUAGUUUUCAAAACUAAUUCAUCGCUUCUCAAGGACGAAAUUGAUGUGAUAGCCUUCUUAAAAUAAAAGUUCUCUCAUUUCUCUCCUAUAUGAAGGGAAAUCAUGAUUAUAAAGGCAACAAAAAUACUGAGAUGUAAAAAGUAUUUGAAUCUGCCUUUGCAGAAGACGCAAAGAACAACACAAAGAUUUUGCGAGAAAUCAGAAAACAUGGUUGUAUUUGCAGCAGAAGUUUUCAGACACAUAAGAAAGGCGGGGAGUUUGAAUUUUGAACUUGUGGCAGACAAAAGCCGUCGCAAAGACUCAACUCCUAGAAUUUAUUACCGUUGGCAUUAGCACCGGAUUGUAUGCCGCUGCAAAUGGCCAAUGGUUAGAUUUUUCUCCCUUUAUAAAUAGUCAAUUCUUUCAUUCAUUCUUUCACAUACACUUCUCUCUACUUCCUUCCAUCUCACCAUUUGUCUACAACUUUUCUUAUUUUUAACUUUUCUGUUCUUUUAAUAGUUUGGUAAGUAUUGUUUUUAUAUUUAAAUAUUAAUUAAAUUUAAUUGAUAUUAACCUCAUUAUAGAAUUGUUGUAUUUACUAUUUAAAAUUGUUUUAUCAGAAAAAAGUAUUUAUAAUAAUUUUUUAUUAAUAUUAAAUUUGAAAAUAUAUGUGUAUGUUUAAAGAAAAUCGCAAAUGCGCAUAUAUAUAUAUCAUCCUUAAAAAAAAGGGUUAAUAGGUCUUUACCUCCCUGUAAUAUAGGUCAUUUCCGGUUUUCCAAACAAAAACCAAUUUUUUUUCAAGAAUUUUUCGUUUUUGUUUGGCCUAUUAGGGGGUAAAUCAAAACAAUUUUAUUUUUACAGAGGGUAAAUCAAAAAAAAUAUUUUACAGAGGAAAAAAAAUUGUUUUAAUUUAUAAAUCUCAUACAUUAAAUUUUUACAGAGAUGACAAUCAAAAAAAAAAUUUAGAGAGGGAAAAAAUUUAAAAAAUAAAGUAUCAAAAGUAUAUUUUAACUAGAGAUGACAAUGUACAUUCACGAGUACGGAUAGUAGGAAUCUGUUAUCUAAUAUGUUGAAUUCAAAUAAAGUUAAUGUUCGUUUCAUACUCAGAUGAGUAUUUCACAAUUUUUAAGAUGUCUAUAUGUAUUUGCAGUUAUCCAAGGAUAAAUAUUUUUCUAAAAAUACAUUUAUGUAAAAAAAAUAAAAUUAUGUUGAAUGUUUCUUCUUCUUUUGACAACAAAUAUUUUUUUUUUUGGUACAAGACAACAAAUUUAUUUAUUAAUCAAAACAAGAACAGAAAUUGAGAAAUUGGGUUAGGAUUUCUUUCAUGUGGAUAACACUUAUAUUUUAAUGAUGAUAUUUUCGUAAAUUUACUAUUUUAAUACCGAUAUCCGUAGGCGUAGGUUUGACAUGUAGUUAAAAUAUUUCUUUCAUGUGGAUAACAUUUAUAUUUUAAUGAUGAUAUUUUCGUAAAUUUACUAAUCUUCUCUUUGUGGAUUGUCCACUCCUAACCUUAUUUGUUUUAAUUAAUAUGUAUUUGUGCAAGAAGCUUCCUUCACUAUGAGAAUCAAUGAACCUUAAGUAUUAUUUUUUUUCUAUAUAUUAGGUCCUCUUCUUUUCGUUGUAACUUUGGUACUCUUUAUCUAUAUAUAUUUCAACAAGUUAAAUUUAAUGUAUUGUAAGUAUGAAACUUGUAAACACAUUAAGUGCUAAAGAGGAUUAGCUUUCUACAGUUACUUGAUCCUAAAUUAUCUUUUGUUUUUUAAAUUAUUUUCCUCUUGUAUUGAAUUAUUUUAUCUUGUUUGCAGGAGUGGUAUCUGAUGAGGUACAAAUUAAUUUCCUCUUUGAUAGGUUUUAACAUUACUCUUUUUACCAAAAUGAAGAUUGUGGCCUCUAGAAACAGUAACAAGAGGAUUUUCAAAUUAAGUUCACAACCAAAUAAAUUCAUGUCCUGAAUAUGCUAAAUGCAUUUUUCUUUUUCCACCAGACUUGUUAACUGCAACCAUGAACUUAUAAAGUGAAUUUCACUACCUUCAGAGCAAAAUUUAAGUGCUCUAGAAAAAAAAAGGACUAAUAUAGAACAAGUAACAAUCAUCACUGUGGUCUCUUUGAUGUGAAGAUUGAUUUGUGUAUGUUAGUGUUGCCAAAUUGACAUUUUGCAGUUACAUUUUUUCUUGGAAUCUAGUAGACAAUGAUCAUCAUAGUUGCAUUUUGUUUUCACCAACAGUAUGCAGGUAUCCUCAAUUGCUUCGACAGGGAUGUAAUACUUGGACUUGGGAUAUGAGCUAGCAGCAACAUGGGAUUAUCAUGCUUGGAAUGACAUGCAAAGCAACAGCAAGAUUAAUGAUAUGUACCUCAUUUCUCUGCAUAAGUCUUUUGUCGCUUGGGUUAACCCAUGAUGAAAAUUGAGUUUGUAUGGUGAGGCGAUAUGAAACAGUGUGAACCUCGACUUGGGUGAGGAGCUUAUGGACAAAUGAGUUCACAGUAUUAAUUUUAGUGGAUAUUAGACCAUUAAUGUUGUUGGUGCCUUCAUAUCCAUCCGACAUGUAUCUAUAUUUGCACAUGUAGCACUUAGCCAUGUCCUAAUGUCAGAACUCAGGUUCCAAUACUCUUGAUGCUUUUCUACAGUUAAUUCUAGACACUCUUGUAUAACAGUACCAGGAACCUGUGUUCUGACUUGAGGACAUGGCUAUGUGCACUUGCAAAUACAGAUACGUGUCGGGUAGGUUUGAAGGGCACAAGUGGUAACUUAACGAUCUAAUAUCCAUUAAAAUUGACAAAGUGAAUAUAUUGAUCAACAAGCUCUUCACCCAAGUCCAAGUGCUCAUUGUUUCUGGUCCUUUCCUUCACUAUGCACAUCAAUUUUCUUCAUGGGUUGAACCACGGGACAAAAACAUAUGCAGAGAAAUGAGGUGCCUGUUAUAAAUGCAGUUGUUGCGUGCAUUUCAUGGCUAGUAUGAUGAUGAUCAAAUGGAGUUUCGUCUUCAUCUUCAAUAUUCUAAAACCAUGCGCUUAGCAAGGAAACAUCUUCUGAUAGGUCGUGUUCCGUUUGCUCCAUACUUUUUGUACUUAAUAGUUGGAUAUAAGACGCACAUUGCCCUUUAGCAAAAAUAUUGAAUACAUAAUGUCAUACUAGGCACGAUAGUGGACAAUAUCUUCUUUUCUUUGAUCAAGUCGAUGUUGACAAUGUCUAGUAUGGCAGAUAAAAAUGAUUAUACUGGUGAAGGUGAAGUUGAAGGUAAAAUAUAUAAAAAGCUUGAAGGAAAAGACUUACAUAGAUUGAGAAAGAAUAGGAUUUUACUGCUUAUCAAAGAAAAUUCAAAACCAUGUAGGCAACAUAGAACUCAUACACAAUAGAACUUGCUAAACACUAAUCAAUACAUUUUAUAACAAUCUUUCUGCUAAUUGAAAGUAUGUUUGGUUCUAAAACAAUAACUAAAGCUGGUAUUGUCACUGUUUCAUAUAUGGAAAAGUCAGACAGCUCAUCAAGAAAAGUUAGCUGCAAAUCAAAUUGAUUUGCAUGACCUUUUGCAAACAACAUACAUUCCUCCCUUAGUGUUCCUUUUCUAUGAUCUUUAUAACAAUCUUCAUGAAAAAGCUUGAAAGUCAAUCACAAUCUUCACCACAAAUGCCCUGAUACUUCUUCACAAUCUUUCACUCUUAGAAUUCAUUCCUCAUGUGACUUCAAAACUAGCAAUUUGCAACCAAAUGCAAGUCAAUCACAUAUCUUUCAUGUAAAAUCUCUUUCUAAUCAUGAAAAGUAUAAAAACAACAAUGGCAUAUUCAAAAAAUAUAGAAUCUUAAGGGGAAAAAAAUGAACAUUUCAGCACAGUAUAGCUAACUUCUCUCCUACUACAAUUUUAGUUCUUCUGGUCAUAAUAUUUGGAAUUACAUAGCCCUAAAAUAUCCCUAAAGGUUGAAAGAUUUCAUACAACAGACCUAAAUAUUCGAUGGGGGAUAAAAAGAUUCAUAAUCCACCCAAAAUAUCGCCAAAAUUAUAACAAGAACAAGAGCAAGAAUACAACAUUGAACACCAAUCCAAUAUAAAUAAUUCUUCUUAGAAACAUGUUAGCUUCAUUUCACAUUAACGAUUUUAGUGACCUUUCUUUCACGGGUUUCCUCAUUCUCCUCUUCCCAUUAUCAUCAUCAUAUUCAUCCUCAUAAUCUUCAAAAUAAUUCAAUCCCUCAGAACAAGGAACAACAUCAACACCAACAUUAACCUUAACAUCAUGACUACUACUACCUAAUGCUACAACACUCUUGUUAUCUUCACCAUCAUUUUUAUCACCUCUUCGUUUCCCUCGUGGUGGACCAAACCCAGAAUAAAAAUAGAAUUCAUUAUUAUUCGAACCUGAAGCUGAAUCCGCUUUCACCUUCUUCGGUCUGCCUCUACCACGCCGCGGCGCCUCAAUGUCUCCUCCCCCAUUUGAGUUUCUCUUCAAACCUUUGUUGCAGCCACCAUUAUUAUUAACUACCUUCUUAUUACCAUCACAUUGUUGAUUAUUGUCAAUCGCCAUGAUAGAAGAAUUUUCUAUCACAGUUUUAUUAUCAAUAUCAACAAUGUCAGUUUCCAUCAUCGAAGCCACACUUUCAUCAAGAGCUGCUAGAGAAUCUUCGAACUGGAUUGAGGAUUUGUCAAAGUGAAAGGGGAUGGCAUCCCAUGGAGAUUGGUUAAGCUGACAAACGUGCAUUUGAAAAGGUUCAACCGGUAAUGAAUCAUUUUGUAGUAGUGAAGACGAACAAGUGAAUAGAAGAGGGGAAAUCUUCGCGGCUUUUCGAAUCCUCAUAUCAAAGAAUCUAUGAAUGAAUAAUAUUAUUAUAAUAUCUGGAAUUUGAGGGAAAGGGAACACAAUCUUUUCAAACUCACAGAUACCAUCUCUCUUCACCUACUCAUGCACUAAAUAAACAAGUUUAUAACAUAAGUGUAAAAGUAUAUGUUGAACCAUGAAGCCUUUUAAUUAAGAAUUGAUGAGGUCUAUGACGCACAAACAUUCCUCAGAUUAGAUGUGUCCUAGUGUUGGACACGCGUUAGUGUCAGACACCGACACGACAAUGGCACAUAUGAUUACACUGAAUUAUGUCAUUUUCUCACAUUUAUUGUCAAUGUUCGCAUGUUAGUGUCUGUGUCGUGUCGAUGUCCGUGCUUCAUAGGAUGUGGUCAACUAUCAUAAGUUUCCAACUUGACAACUUUCAAAAAUGUAACGGCAACACAGAGCACAUACACAAUAGAACUUGCAAACACUAAACAAUCCAAUUAUAAUCUUUUUGCUAACUAUAAGCAUGAUAGAUUCUAAAACAAUAAAAUUGGACUUGUCACUGUUCCAUACAUGGCAGGAAGCAGAAUGUAAACAAACUAUUACACAACAUAGCAGUAGGUUACCAGAUAUCUUGAAGACUUGUCCUCUUUCCAGCUCAAAGUAGCUAGCUAUAUGGCAUCAGUUCUUAGCAUGUGAGAUAGUUGAAAAGAGCAACAAAAUAAGAUAUAAUCACUAGUAUAUCAUUAUAAAUAAUGACUUAAUCAAUAUAAAUAGCCUUAUUUUUUAGCUUAGGAAGAAUAGCUUAUGCAAAUUUGCAUAUAACUCAAAAAAAAGUUUCUAUGUUAAUUCAAAAGCUCUCACUAACAAAAAUGGUAUCUUUAUAAAAUGUGUUUUAAUAAACUACGCAGAAACCCAUGAAUAAUACAUAAAAGUUUCUUUAUUUACUUAAGUUUCUGUUUUUGACAAAUAAUCUAGGUAGAUUGUUUUGUAUAAACUCAAAAAUAAGUGAAUCCAAAAUGGGCCCAAUGUUAAUAUACUAGUUGGUUAAAACAUUAGUCUACACGUAAAAUAUGUGUAUAUUCAUGAAAUCUCCAACAAUAUAAGCUACAAUGAAAAUGAUUACCUGUUUGCAUUCCACCAUAUACUUGUUGAGCAGUUUUUGGUUCUUAUGAGUAGUCAGUACAUGCUUUGUUACAUUGACUAAGAAGUCAUUCAAGUAAAGUGGAGAUAAAAAUGAAGAACUGCUGUGAAGAAGCGGCUGGCAAAACAAUUGAAGAGGGAAUCUAGGGUUAUCUUUUUCAUUAUAUAUGCUAUUGGGCUAGGCCCAAUGAUGUAAUCCCACAAACCCAAUUAGAUUUGUUUUUAUUAAAAAGGUAGCUAAAAAGCUAAAAAUAUAUCUAUUUAUAUUGAUCAACUCAUUAUUAAACAUUAGUUUACAAAUCAUUUAUUUUUAUCAAAUAAUAUAAUGGUUAGAAUUUUAUCUUUAGGUGAAUAAAAGUAUCUUCAAUGGUGAACUCUACAAAUAGUUAUUUUUUGGGUCUCAUUGCAAUACAUUAUUUUGAAGUAAUACAUUCAUUUUUAACUUUCAGUAGUGAACUAAGAGCAUCCAUCAUUCUGACAUCCAAUUUUCGAUACCUAAUUGAGUUUCACUUAUACAAAUCACUUGGUUAUAAUUUUUUGGCUAAAAUAUGCUUUUGAUCCCUGCAAAUAUGGCGAGUUUAGGUUUUGGUCCCUGGUAAUUUUUUUCUUUUUGAAAUCCAUCCCUGCAAAAUUUUUUGUUUUUUAAAAUAGUCCUUGGCCCAACUUUACUGAUGAUUUGGCACAUUUAUGCCUACGUGGCAUUCGCUGACUGUGUAACUUUGCACAGUUGGUAGCCAUGUGGUAAUUAUUUAAAAACCUUUCUUAAAAAAGAAAAAAUAUAUUUUUGAAAUUAAAAUAAAACAUUUUAAAAAAUACGGAAAUUAAUUUUUCAAAAAUUUUAAAAAAUAAAAAAGUAAUUUUUAAAUUAAAAUUUUUCAAAAGAAUUCAUUUUUAUUUUCGAAAAAUAAAUUUUCAAUUUAUUUUUUUAAUUUUUGAAAAUUAAUUUCCAUAUUUUUUUAUUUCAAAAAAAAUGAAAAAAAUCUUUUUUUGGUCAAGAAUUUUUUGUCUUUCUAAUUUUCGGAAAAUAUUUUUUUUUCAAUUUUUUUAAUUCUGAAAAUAAAUAAAUUCUGUUCAAUUUUGAAAGCAAAAUCUGAAGAUAAAAUUCCUAAUUUUUUUAAAAUUUUAGAAAAAUGUUGGUGGAUUUUAGGGUGAGGGCUCUAUUAAGUACCUCACCGGUGUACCGUUUAAAUUGACCGUUAGAUAAAAAAAGGGUACAUGAUAUCUUUAGUGACAAACCACUGAAUUAUGCUUUUUCUCUCCCCCUUUACAAUCAGUCACUCUCUCUGCGGCUGCUCUUUUUCCAUUCACUCGACACAGCCUACAUUUUUUUCUCUCUUAAACUGAUCUAUUAUGCCUUUUUCACCCUAUUCCUCUCAUAUUGAAAAUGUUGGAAACAACUAUAAUAAAGGUUAGCAUAGCAGGGAUUUUGAUUGUCUUAGCACUACCGACCUAAUUCAUUGUAUCCAUGGUCACAAAACUUCACAUUAAAAUUAGUUUCAGAUUGAAAAUUUCUUAAAAUUCAUUGUACCCAUAACAAAAUUUUAAUACUUUGAAAAGAUAUAUUAAAAAAGAAGCUUACAAGACGGACGGGUAAUGGAAGAUAAGAGUGGUAAAACGAAAUUUAUUGAAUCCAAUCAUUUUUCAAGGGAAAUAAACUGAGACAGAAUGAAGGAUUAAAUUUUUGUGAUUUGGAAGAAGAUGAUGAUUUAGAACUGGUGGUGGUUGCUUGGAGCGUUAGAGAGAAAAAGCAUAAUCCUGUGUUAUUUAUGACUAAAGUUAUCAUGCACACUUUUUUCAUCUAAUGGCUAAUGCAAAUGGUACACCGGUGAGGGACUUAAUAGAACCCUCACCCUAGAAUCCACCAAAAAUGUUAUCUAACUUAUUUUUUUUUUUAAUUUAUAAAAAUUAAUUUUCAGGAAAAAAUAAAAUAACCUUUUUAAGUUCGAUAAAAACUGAUUUUUUUUUAUUUUGAUUUUGUUUUUCUAACUUUCGAAAAUUAUUCUCUUUUCAAUUUUGAAAAUUAAGUUCCAUAGUUUUUUAUUUAAAAAAAUAAACUGAUUUUUUUUAUUAAUUUCGUUUUUUUCAAAAAAUUUAUAUCGAAAAUUCAUUUCCAGAUUUUUUUAUUAAUUUCUUUUUUUUAUUUCGAAAAUAUUUUUUUUGUUUUUUAAAUAAUUAAAAUGAAAUGAGUUACACGUGGCUGCCACAUGUGCACAAUUAAACAGUUAGCAAGUGACAUCUAUGCAAAAAUCAGAACAUUGAGCUAACAAAUUUUAGAGAGAGAGAGAGAGAGAGAGUACUUAGUUGAGCACUCAUGUUCCACAAGCACCAAUAAUACAUUCAAAAGAGAGUGUUGCUAGCAUUAUCAUACUCUUACUUCCAAUAAAGAGUACUUAUUAGGUACCACUGUUUAAGGAGGCAAGCAUCCCCUAUUAGGGAUGGUUUAACUCUAUAGAACUUAUUUUAAGUCCCACAACUUUACAUCACAUAUUAAUACUCUAUUUAUAUUUAAUAUUGUCACAACUGAAAAUAUUAAUUUAAUUAUUUUAAAUGAAUAUUAAUAUGAAAAAAAUUAAAAAUAAAAUAAAACUUAAAUUUUUAUAGCAAUAAUUGAAAAGUUACAUUAAGUUCAUGACGUAUAUAAUUAAAAACGGUAAAAACAAAUCCCAUUUAAUAAUUAAUAAAAUCUAAACUUCGUUAUUCUUAUGUCCAAAGUGUUCUCAAAUAUAUAUGCUCCAUGAAAUAUGUUUGAAGUUGUCGAUGAACUCGUUUUUCAUAAAGAUUUGUGCUCCUUUGUAGUCUUGUUUACGAUUCGGAUGAGGACCGUUAGAUGUUUCAGUUGUUUAGACAUCAUUAAUCAUGUCAUCAAAAGAGUAAUCAAAAUCACCUUCAUAUAUUUGUUGUUCAUCUUUCACGAUCAUGUUAUGUAAUAUAAUGCAUGCAUAAAUUAUAUGCUUGAGAAUUUCCAUAUGCCAAGCAAAUGUUGGACCAAAUAUAAUCGCUAAUCGAGAUUGGAGCACGCGAAACUCAUGUUCCACAUAUUUUAUUGCCGAUUCUUGAUGUUGGAUAAAUAGUUUUAUUUUUUUCUCCCUGCGACAUUGGAAUGACGUCGACAAAUGCAUCCCACUCAGAUAUAUAUAAUUUGCUAGAUAACACCUCAUAUUAUAUGUAGUUUUAUUAAUUGCAUUGUGGGUGCUUAUCCUUCCAAAAUACUGUUAAACAUGUUGGACCGGUUUAGCACGUUAAUGUCAUUGUUUAAACCUACAAUGUCAAAUCCACAAGUCUCGUGAUGUCGCUGCUUCAAGCAAGAUUGUGAUUUUACCAUGAUCACCUCGACAAAAUUGGCAUUUCCAAGCAACCAGACAAUUUUUCCAUUCAUAUAGAUGAUAAAUAACUUAAUGGUUGAUGCUAAUGCUACAUAGACCAUCAAUAAAAUAAGUUUUGAUUUGAAUGAAUGUCCAAUAGAAAAUACUAUUUAGAAAAUGGUUGUUGAUAAAUAAUUAUUAAGCAUUUUGAUCAUGAUUUAGUGGAAAUGACUUGUAGAAGUUGAUAAAAUUGGAAGCGUUGAUAAAGAAAACUUUGUUUCAAGUCUGAAUAUUGCAACAAAUGAAGACGUUGAUAAAGAUGAAACUUUUAAUGAGACAAAUUAUGUUCUCUUUGUUGGUCGAAUUUUUUUUAGUGAAAAAGAAGCAUGUCUUUUUAUAAGAGAUAUGCUUAUCAACAAGGGUUCUCAAUAAAAAAAGGUAGAUUAAUAAAAAAAUUGUGUUAUUAUCAUAAAUGAUAUUUUUGUCGUCUUGAAUGUAAAGUCUCCUUGAUAAAAAAUAUUUUUAAGGAGACUUUACCUUCACAAUGAUAAAAAAUAUCACGUUUGCUAAUAACCCCAUUCUUUUUUACGAAUCUACCUUUUUUUAUUGACAAUUCUUGCUGAUAAGCAUAUCUCUUAUAAAAGACAUAUCCUUCUUCUUCACUAAGAAAAAUUUGACCAACAAAGGAAACAAAAUUUGUCUUGUUAAAAGUUUCAUCUUUAUCGUCUUCAUUUAUUGCAAUAUUUUUGUUGCAAUAUUAAGACUUGAAAAGGAGUUUUCUUUCUGAACACUUCCAAUUUUGUCAACUUCUAACAAAUCAUUUUCCACUCCCUUAAAAAAAAUCAUUUUCCAUUAAAUCAUGAUCAUAAUGAUUAAUAAUUAUUUGGCCUAAUUAUUUAUGAACAACCAUUUUUGUCCUUGGGUAUUUGGUUGUAGCCGGAGUAAGCGUCCAUAAAAGACAACAACUUGUAACCGGAGGAAUUGUCUACCAACUUGUCGAUGUUGGGAACCGGGUAUGCGUCUUUUAGGCAGGCUUUGCUCAAGUCCGUGUAGUUGACGCAUGUAACACCCUGUUUUCCCAAUAUCAAAAUUUCUUAAGCCAUUUAUCAGAGUAAGCAUCAUAAUCAACGAGGUAUCGCAUAAAACAUAGUCCAGAACUGUUAAAUAAUAAUUUAACCAAUUAUCUUAAACAUUGCAGCAGAAAAUCAUAUCAUAAUCAUAAAGUGUUUUGGCACGCAGGCCUCAUCAAGUAAUUCUCAAAGAGAUAGUUCAAUAACAUAAAACAUAAACAUGGCAGUCACGUAAGAGAAUGAAGCAUGCAAAUAACCCCAUCCCGUUACGUAUCAGAGCGACCUAGACGACACAGUGAGGCAAGGUCACUCACAACAGCAAACUGCACACUAAACACGAUCACCUGCAAGUUACCCAUACCAAGGGCAACAUUUUCAAGCAGAAGGGGUGAGAUUUCAUAACAAAAUAAUAUUAAUCAAAGUAAUUCGAAUCAUAAUUAACAUUAACAUCAUAUUCAUUCUUAAAUAACUUUGCAUAAUUCAAUAACAAAUAUCACGUAUUCACAUAUUCAAUCGUCAUCAACAACAUAGCAUUAUGGACAUGACAAUGUUGCAAUGCUCUUAGACUCUUUAUAUGCAUGUGGUACCAAUCGUCAUCAUAAGUAUUAAUAUACUUUAAUCGUGCGGAGGACAAAACUCCUAAUAAUCGUGCAGAGGACAAAGCUCCUAAUAAACGUGGUGAAGACUAAGCUCAAUGAAAUGCUAUGCAUGGACUCUUAUGAACAAAACAUCGUAAUCAACAUAUCAACAUGCAUCCAACAAUUUGGAGCUAAACGUCAUCAUUUCAUCAUAUAUAAAUAUAUACAAUGCACUUAGUUAAAUAACAGUAGCAUAAUCAAGUCACAUAACAGGAUGAUAUCAUUAUAUCAAUAGCACAUCAAUUAUAUCAUAAUUAAACUUUCAUAUCUUACAUAAAUGUACAAUACAUUAAUCAUAGUCGAUCAAUAUCAACAUAUCUUAAACAGCUUUACAGAUUGCAUUAAACGUCAUCAUUAGGUCUUAUUAUCAUAAGGGGGUUCGCUCUUGAUCAAAACGUGCGACACAUAUCGCACAAACACUCAAAAUACUCAAAGCUGGAGGAGCUCGCGAGGCGAGAGUCCUCACUCGCCAUGGCGAGUACCACUCAAAUCCCAAACUAAAGUUGUUCUGGUCUAAUCUUGCCCUACAUUUGUUCCUAAUCAUUACUAGGUAUGUUCAGGCACUCAAAGGCACUCAAGGUCCAACUAAAAAGUCGAAAACACAAAAUCCAACAUGCUCUCUGCCUAAGCUCGCGAGGCGAGGAAAGGUUGUUCGCUAUGGCGAGCGAUACCAGAAACACUCGCGAGGCGAGCGAUGAAGAUCAUCACUCGCGAGGCGAGAUUCAUGGCUCGCCGUGGCGAGCGAUGAAUGUCGCUACGACCAGGUUUUCUAAUUUCACAAAAAUCCGACGAUCCACAUGGUUCUAAGCCUAGUAUUGAUUCCAAAGUUGAUCCUAAACAUAAUCUAAGGUCCAGGAACACUUUUUACAGCAAUCUAAUCAAUUCCUACCGUUUAAUCUCAAAUUCUAGGGAUUUGACCUAGUUUUCGUUUUCUCCAAUUAAUCCUAAUUCUUGCUAAUUACUCAUCAGAAUUACAACAACUAAUAUUACUGAGUUAUUAGUCUCACCCUUACCUUAAAUUUGCAUAAAAUCGCAGCCCUCUUGGUCUUUUGCUCCUCUCUAAGCUUUUUCUCCCUUUUUCCAAAAAUUUUCACGUACAAUCCGUUUUUCUAACAAUUAGGUCUUCUCUAUUUAUAUCUCUUCCUAAUUACUUAUCUUAUCUCACUUUCUCCCCCAAAACUAUCUAAAAUAUCAAAACAGCCCUUAACUAAAUAUUUUAUAUUAUUUUCAAAUCUUUAUUUUAUUUAACAAUAAAAUAAUUCUCAUAUCCUUAUCAAAUCUUCCAAAACUCAUAACUUAUCACGUCAUCAGUCAAAUCAUCCAAAUCAUCGUAAAUCAUCAAAUUGUACUAAAAUCAUGCAUAUAUUAUAUAAAUAUAAUAUAAUCGCCUAAACUCGAUUAAAUAAACAAUUAACGAAAUUGGGCGUUACAUCAACGUUGCAGAUCCGGAAGCAUGGGUAUUUCGGUGACUUAAGUUUUAUCAUAUUAUUUGUAGGCAUUUUGCCGUUGUAUGCUAUUAACUUGGGUGUUGUGAGUUUGUUUGCAGAUUCAUCCUUUAUGUUUUUAGUGAUGUUUGUAUCUGAUGUACUCUAUCGAUUUGGUUGAAUGAAUAUCGUUUUAUUUUUGUCAAAAAAAAAAAAAAAGGUUAUGGCCUUAUGUUUCAUUUUCAUGUUUUAAGUUUUUUUUUUUUGUUGAACCAUUGAAAUAUCAUCAUGUACUCUUAAUUAGAAAUGAGUGGAAAAUAUUUUGGUUCAAACAAAUUCUGUUUCUUUUUUAUACCUUAAUUUUGUUUUCGAAAAUUAAGGGGGAGUAAUUAAUUUAUUAUUAUUAUUAUUAUUAUUAUUAUUAUUAUUAUUAUUAUUUUUAUUAUUAUUAUUAUUAUUAUUAUUAUUAUUUUUAUUGGUGCUUUUCAUUAAUAUUGUUAUGUUGUGAAAGAGCGAAUGAACCAAAGUAGUUAAAGAACUCAAGAUGAGUGUUAGACAAUAACAUAUAAGGUGUAAAAAAAUGAAUAAAGAAUAUGAUCGUAAACGAUGAGAAGAUCGUUAAGACGAAAUGUAAGAGAAGGUAAGGAGUUGUAUAUUAAGGACUGAAAACAUAACAGGAAUGAUGAUAACGAUGAAUAAGAAGAGGAUUGAUUAGCAGGGAGCAAGAUGCAUAUGAAAGACGAUAAGAGGUAGUAGUUGUAAUGAGUGACGAAUAUAAUAACGACCGGUAUCAAGUGAAUGAAACCUCGAAUUAUAAUGAAGUAUUAGGUUAGAUAAUAACUUUAAAAUUAAAAUGAAGUUAAGAUUAGGGGACGAACGAUGUAUAGAUGACGACGAACGUGAGAACAAGUAAUAAGAUAUAAAGUCGUUUUAUUGAGGAGAAUAAGUAGGAAAGAGUUAAUAACAAUUGUGAGGAAAAACCUAGAUAUAUAGAACGAAGAUUUUGCAUGUAAUGAUAGCGAAUAAGAAAACAACUUGAGACCAAGAAUGAGGAAUAGGGUAUGAUAUUAGGAAUAAAGUUUAUAGAGUCUAUAAUAGAUGAGAGAAUAUUGUAUGUUCGUAAAAGGAAUAAUAAAAUAAAAUAUAAGGAAGUUGACGUAGAAUUGAAUUACGCGUAAGGGUUGGAUUAGUGAAGAGAUACAAUGGUGAUAUAAACGGUUGAUAGAGAUGAAUAAUGAGGAAUCCAUAAUGUGACGAAGAGUGAUGACGAAGAUAAUAUAUAUAUGUAAUUAAAUAAAUACGAUGAGAAAUGAUAAUGUUUAUAUGUUAGUGAUGAUGGUGAUGACGAUAACUAUAUCAGUAUGAUGAUGAUAGUAAUGAUGUUUAUCUAUGAUGAUGAUGAGGGUAGUGUGUAAAUAUAUAUAUAUAUAUUGACUAUGAGAAUGACGACGUAUAAUUAUGAUGAUAACUUGAAUGAUGGUGUCUAAUAUACAUUGAUGAUGAGAAUGACGAUGUUGACUUAUGAUGAUGUGAAUGACGAUUAUGUGUUUGUCUUGAUGUCGUGCAUAAUGGGAAGAGUCUGAAUUUAUGAUUCUGAUUUGUUGAUGAUGUUAUGAUCUUUUAAUACUUGAAGAGUCUGUCUCAUGCAUGCAUAUAGAGUCGUGUCUAGGAAUCAUGAUGACGAAAUGACGAUGAAAGUCCAGUAACAUAUCUCUGGCAAAUUAUGACGAUGAAAGUCCAGUAACAUACCUCUGGCAAAUUAUGACGAUAGGUGUGGUACCACAAUCAUAUAGGUCAUUAGGAGAGUCCAUAUGCAUAUAUAUGAUGAUGUUGUAUGGGGUGUUUGAGUGUGAAUAUGAUGUGUUGCUGUGACAUGUAAAAUGAAGAGAUUAUACAUAGUAACUGUUGAGAAUGAUGAGAUAGUGGAGACUAUAUUCUUUUGAUAUUUAUUUAAUGUGCAUGCUUUUCCCUAUUAUUUUGUUAUGGCAUGAUUUCUCACCCCUUAUUUUGUUGUGUUGUUUUCUAUACGGUGACUGUACCUUGAGUACAGAUACUCAGGUUGACAAGGAGUAGCUGUGGGAUGUUUUAGAGGAUGGAGAUGAUGGGAUGCCCUCCGUUUGGUUUGGUUAUUUAGUAGUUGAAUAAGUUGUAGUCACUACGAGCUCUGAUAUUGUAACACUAGGGUGGAGUUGGUGAUUUAAUUUUUUAUUGCAGUUUAAGUUGAAUCUUGGAAACUUUGUUACUUUGCUUUUAUGAUGUUAAAUAACGUGAAUAAUCUUAUUAAUACAAUCAUGAAUUGUUUUCCUCUGUUUGACAAUCUUUACUAUAAAAAAAAAAGAAAAAAAAGAAGUGGUAGUACUUUUAUAUGAUUAAUGAUGAAUUUGUAACAUCCUCUCUAUUAAAUAUAUUUUUAUUAUUUAAUAAUUAUUGUUGGGAAUUAGGGUGUUACACUUUCGCUGUCGGUGUUUCAUCCAUUCGCUCUCUGUCGGCAGCGUUCCGUGAAAGCCUUCAGUUAUAGUUUUGAUGAUGUUAGACGUUUUGAUUACAUCUACUUUAUAGUCAUUGUUUGUUAGUUUAAAUGAUGUCUAGUAUAGAUCUUUAUUUUGUAGAAUCUUAAAGCACUUUAGUGAACCUUGAAAUCUUUUUCGCUGCAUUCCAAGUUUGGCAUGAAUCGUCUCACAACAUGUAUGAAUCGAUUCAAAUAAGUCUCUGACUUAGCUUGAAUUGAUUCACCACGAGCAUGAAUCGAUUCAUGUUUGUAUCGUGUCAUUUAUCCUUGAGUCGUCUCACAAAUCUCUCUGUUUCUAUUUGAAUCGAUUCAAUUAUGAUAUGAAUCGAUUCAAUCCUUCAUCUGGGUAACUUGAAUCGUUUCAAAUAUCUCUUGACUUGUGUUAUACCCUGAUUUUGGACCUAAAAAUACUCGUUUCAAAUUUCUUUUUUAACACUAAUAUUUGUCAAUUCUCUGUUAUUUUACUCUCAAUCUUUACUCUCUUUUUAAACGUAUUAUACUGCCUCUGUCUUUUCUGACAUUACAAGUCAUUUAAGAACUCUCUGAAAUGUCGCGUUACUUUUCUUGCACUUUAUUUCAAAAAAUCAUACAAAAGGGUAUUUUGGUCAUUUCCUGCAGUGGAACCCAUUUUUGUCCCUGUAUUUGUCUCUAAGUCUCUUCAACUUGUCUGUACAAAUCAUCGUUGAUUCUUUGUUAAAAAUCAUUUCAAAAUCGCAUCUGAGUCAAUUUGGGUCAGUUUAGUCCCUAGGGGCAUUUUGGUCUUUUCCUGUCAAAAUUUUGACAGGGAGGUAUUUUGAAAUACCUCAUGUCAGUAUUUGGUUCGUUUUAGUCCUUUUGUUGAUUUUAUUUUAGGUUUCACUUUACGUUUUGUCAGGUUACCCAUUUUAUUCCAAUUUUAUUUUUAUUUUUAUUUUGCAUUUUGGUCCUCAAAGAAGUCCAAAAUUGCUUUUCAGUCCAGAACUUUUUAUUUUACAUUUCAGUCCUUUUUGGUUAAUUGCAGUUUAGUCCUUAAGUUUUUGUUUUUGCAGAAAGGUCCCAAAUUCAUUUCAAGUCCAAGGCCGUGCCAUUUUCAUACAAGUCCAGGUGUCACCUUUUCAUUGGGUCUCAAGUACACAUGUCAGAUUAUAAAUAGUGCACAGUGCCACACAAAGCCAUUAAUCACACGCCAACUCAACAAACACAAUCAAGCUUUCUCUCUCCUUUCUGUUAGGAUCAAAAGAUCAAAAAUUCCCAAGAACACGAAGAACAUAAACCCUAAUUUUCUGCAGAAAUCAUAGAAAUUCAUUAGAAAUCAACGAAUUUCACAUCAAUCCUCAGAGAUUCGUAUGAACCUUCAUCACUGGAUUGGAGAUUUCCCUACAAUUCCAAGUGCGAGCUCACAUUGAAGCAAGCUCAAGCACUGAUCACAGGAAUUCUCACGUGGAUCUAAGAAGCAAGAAACAAGCUCAAGCACGUAAUCACAGAGAAAGAAUCGGAGAAGAUGAAGAAACCAAGCCAGUAAACCGAUUUAUUUUCGGUUCAAAAAGCAACCAGAAAUCAUCAAGAACAAAUCGAAGUUUUCCGAAGAAACUCAGCAGAAUCUCCAUUAAAACUCAGGUAAAACUCAUUUUUUCUCUUUAAUGGCGUUAAUCAUAGUUGAACCUGCAUGCAAACGAACAAACCAGAUCUAAAAAGUUUCCAGAACAGAAAACGAACUGAACCGUAUGCGUAAGAUCUAGAUCCAUAAGGACUUAGACUUUGCAAGCAAGAACAAGCACCAGAGAAGUAACAAACACGAAACGAUGUAGAUCCUUAAGAGUUUGAACGUACUCAUUCAAAACCCUAAAAAAAAAAAAAAUUCAAAACCGUAUGAAAAUUCUCCGAUCUACGUCGUUUCAGGCUUUGUUUGUGAAAAUCAAUGUCAGAUUCGUGUUUAGGGUUUAAAAACGAACAAGAAAAUGUAAAAAAAUUUGAAUUCUGGGUGUUUUGCUCGUCGGAACCCUAACUUCUCACCGGAGAAGAUGAAGUUUCCGGUGGAACCUUCAUCUUCUCCGGCCAACAACCACCGGAGAAGGGAGGAGAGAGGUGAGAGGUCUGAGAGAAGAGAGAGGUUUAGAGAGAGAGAGAGAUGAAAGAAAUGAAUUGGACCGGUGUCCAUAUGCUUAUAUAGACGCCUGAACCGGUCCGGUUCAUUUUGUUUUCAUCCUGGAUCGUAGGAUUUAGGGUUUUGUUAUUUGAAUGGCUGUGAUGCUUUGUUCCAUGUGCUUGAUCUGUGUUACCAUGCGCUGCUUGUUUUGAACCGUCAGAUCUAGGUCUGGAUCAAUCUAACGCCUCUGAGGCCUUUGGAUGAUCCAGGCCCAGUCUGCAUUGGGUUUUGGGUUGGGCUUAAGGUUCCUUUUACAUUUUUACCUUUUUCUUGCUAUCUGUACCCCUACUUUUUGCUAUCUGAACCUGUUUCUUGCUCACAUAUUUUUACAAAAAUUCCUAAAAAUCCUAGGUGUUUCUUGAUACAUUUUUGGUAUUUUUAUGGUGUUUUGCAUGUAAAAAAAAAUGGUAAAAUGGCAUGAAUUAAUUCCCAUGUGUUUUUACAUUUUUGGUAUUCUUUUGGUUAUGUUUUUUUGUUCUUGACACUUUGAUAUGUGACAUGGAUGAUUGAUAUACAAUAUUGUGAUGAAUAUGCCUCUGAUCAUGUGUCCUUUUUGCUGUUUUUGGAUAUGAUUUUGUAAAUUUCUUGUUUUGCAAACAAUAAGUGUUUGUCUUAAGGAAUAAAGUGUCAAAUUUCUCUAUGAAUUUGGUGUGAUACUUUGCUUGCAUAUGUCUCUAUUAAUUUCAUGUCAUGGCUUGAAACAAAAUCUCUUUCAAAAUUGCCAUGAUGUGAGAAUUAUGGGUCACAAGCACAUUUAGGUAUCAUAUCAAAUUUUUUAGGUUUUUACCACUUUAUUACUUUCCUUUUUUGCCAUUCUUAUGCAAUUUCUUUUUGUUUAUUUCCUACUAUUUUGUGCCUUAUGAUUACUAACCGUUUCAUUUCAUGUGCCAUACAUUUCAUAAGCAUUUCACAAUUCCAUUCCUAUUCCUCAUAGUUUAGGGUUUAUUUCUUUUAUUUCAAUGUUACUUUGGCAUGUAAUAUUUUAGAUAGUUUUAAUUUCUUUUAAGAUUUUUGCAAGACCAUAGAAUGUAUCUAGGACAAUGUAAAGGACUAUGGACUCUCUAAUAAUGUACACCGACACAAACACCGACACUCGCACACACGUUGCAUGAUUAUCGAUUUAGGUGUAUGUUUAGGAAUUCGACGCCUAGUGAAAUUUCUCCUUCGAAAUAGGCUAAAUUUUCCAAACAAACUUUGGAGUCAAAACUCCAAUGCCUUUUUGUGAAAUAAAAAUAAAGAUCAAAUUCGACAUUUUUCUUCUAUGCCUUACGGCUUCUCUCCUCCUUUUCAAAAAUCAUUUUCCAAGUAAAAUAAAAACCUCAAUCAUCUUCUCCCCUCAUUCUUCACUCAAAUAAAAUAUCUUCUUUUCAAUAAGUAGGCAAUAAAAAAUAAAGCGUAGAAAUAAGCUUAGGAGAACGGUUCUUAUGGAGUACCAUAAUCGCUCCGGGUGCCUAACACCUUCCCGUAGCGAAAACGACCCCCGAACUUAGAAUCUAAGGGUUUUUUCUCAAUUUUGCCCUUCCCAAAAAAAAUAGAGAAUAUCAAAGAUUGAAAGGUUCAAGCCAAAUUAAUGACUUGACACCCGAAAAUCGCGAUAACAGAAAUGGCGACUUCACUGGGGACUUUUUUUAGCGGGUCGCGCCUAGUUUUCCUUAGUUUAUAUUUACGCUUUGUUUUAUUGCUUACAUAUGUGAAUACUUGUUUACUUUCAUUUGACGUGUGGGGUGAGAAUAUCAAAAGUCCUAUACCCGGGCUGAGUGAACUUAUGUUUAGGUAGAGAUAUAAUCGACAAUUCGAUCCGGGGGUUGCCUCGUGUAUUGGAUUAUGCGAUCAAUCUCACAUAGCUGAGGCAUUUUGGAGGUAAUAUUGUCGGCGUGUGUUGUCAUGCUUAGGCACUUUGCUUUCAAUUGUUCGACGAUGCUAUGGACCGUAGUUACCAAACCCAUCCUAGCCUUUUUAGGACGUAGUGCGGUGGCUAAAUUGAGUGUUGUCUCAAACUUUAGUCGUCACGCGAUACUACACUCAAACUAGACCUUCUCACAAAUAAUCAUGGAACGGGUGUCGUCCUGUACUACCAUGAUAUAUGUGAGAGAGGUUGCAGUUUGGGAACUGUGUUAGAACCUUGGUUACUACUAUCCAAAGCCUUAGUUCACCGGACGCCGUGUCCAUCCGUGGCCCUGUUACUUUGAAUCUCAACCCACCUUGUUCUUUGUAACUAAACAACACAAUCAUGCAUACAUACAUUCAUGCAUAAACAUUUUUCAUGCAUUCAUCGAAGGGCUUAAACAAAUGGAAAUUUUUGUAAAUAAUCACAGGUAUGAAGAAGACUAAGUGCUACAAGUUCAAGGAAGUGGAUUUGGUCAGUUUAAGAGAGUUGGCACUCAAGGUCAAGAGUCAAACAGGGUUCCGACUCCGGUAUGGGGGAUUGCUUACUUUGCUCCGAACCGAUGUGGAAGAGAAGCUAGUGCACACUCUAGUGCAAUUUUAUGAUCCGAGCUUCCGUUGCUUCACUUUCCCGGACUUCCAGUUGGUUCCUACUCUCGAGGCUUACUCCAAUCUAGUGGGUUUACCUAUAGCCGAGAAGACGCCUUUCACCGGUCCCGGGACUUCUCUUACUCCUCUGGUUAUUGCUAAGGAUCUCUACCUCAAGACUUCCGACGUCUCCAACCAUCUUAUUACCAAGUCUCACAUCCGGGGGUUCACUUCAAAGUAUCUUCUUGAGCAGGCUAAUCUCAGUACUACUUGUCAGGAUACACUCGAGGCUAUUCUUGCUUUGCUUAUCUACGGGCUCAUUCUCUUUCCGAACCUCGACAACUUCGUGGACAUGAAUGCUAUCGAGGUCUUCCAUUCUAAGAACCCGGUUCCUACUUUGCUAGCGGAUACCUACCACGCCAUUCAUGACAGGACUCUCAAGGGCCGUGGGUAUAUUCUUUGCUGCAUAUCUCUUUUGUAUAGGUGGUUUAUUUCGCACCUUCCGAGUUCCUUCCAUGACAACUCGGAGAACUGGUCCUACUCGCAGCGGAUUAUGGCCCUCACUCCUAAUGAGGUCGUCUGGCUCACUCCCGCCGCUCAAGUCAAGGAGAUUAUUACUGGUUGUGGAGACUUUCUCAAUGUACCUCUUCUUGGUACUCGUGGAGGGAUUAACUACAACCCCGAGCUUGCUAUGAGACAGUUUGGUUUCCCUAUGAAGUCGAAGCCCAUCAAUCUUGCUACAUCUCCAGAGUUCUUCUUCUACACGAAUGCUCCUACCGAACAAAGGAAAGCUUUCAUGGAUGCUUGGUCCAAGGUUCGAAGGAAGAGUGUGAAGCAUCUAGGUGUGAGAUCCGGUGUUGCUCAUGAGGCCUAUACUCAGUGGGUGAUAGAUCGAGCUGAGGAGAUUGGUAUGCCUUAUCCAGCUAUGAGAUACGUGUCUUCAUCUGCCCCAUCUAUGCCUCUACCUCUACUCCCCACGACUCAGGAUAUGUAUCAGGAGCAUCUAACUAUGGAGAGUCGUGAGAAGCAAGUGUGGAAAGCUCGGUACAAUCAAGCUGAGAAUCUAAUCAUGACUUUGGAUGGUAGAGAUGAGCAGAAGACUCAUGAGAACCUGAUGUUGAAGAAGGAGCUAGCUAAGGUCCGGAGGGAAUUGGAAGAGAAAGACGAGCUGCUUAUGAGGGAUUCCAAGAGAGCCAGAGGACGACGAGACUUCUUUGCCAGAUACUGUGAUUCAGAUUCCGAGUCCGAUGAUUCUCCGACUACUUCCUAUGCUUGAGGGCUUCAUUUGUUUAUCUUGCUGAAAUUUCGAAGUCUUCCUUUUGAAAAUACUAUGUAGUUUUGAUUAUUUGCAAGAUUUCUAAUUUGUUUAAAAAUCCUUCGAUGAAAAAAGAAGUCUUUUGCAUUUGCAUUUGCAUAUCAUGCAUCAUAUGCAUCAUGCAUUGGUCACAAAGGCUUCCAAGUACUCACUACCUCCUGGUUCCUCUGCCACAGUUUGAAAAGUGGCUCGUGCUCAGAAGGUCUACGAACCUGACAGAAUCGAUCGAACCAGAGAAUACAGAAGAAGGAAAAAGGCUAUGGAAGAAGAGAACGCUCAGCUCCGUACCGAGUUAGCCACUCUAAGGGAGGAAUUGGCUAAAGCUAAUGAUGUCAUGACUGCUCUGCUAGCCGCUCAAGAACAAUCAGCUACGGCUAUCCCUAUAGCCACAGCUGUACCGGUGACUACAAGCGUGCUCCCAACCACAUCUGCAGACGCUCGCUUUGCUCUGCCAGCUGGGUUUCCGUAUGGGCUUCCACCGUUCUUCACUCCCAGUACUGCAGCGGGCACUUCGGGCACUGCUAACAAUGUUCUGAUCCCUGCAACAAAUGCUGCCUCCAUCAAUGCUACUUUGCCACAAACAACGGCAGCUGUCACUGAGCCUCUUGUGCAUACCCUGCCUCAAGGUAUUAACAUCAACACACAGCACGGAAACAUCCCCGUGACCAAGACCAUGGAAGAGAUGAUGGAGGAACUUGCUAAAGAACUCCGUCAUGAGAUCAAAGCCAAUCGAGGGAAUGCGGACUCUUUCAAAACUCAAGAUCUCUGCUUGGUGUCAAAAGUGGAUGUCCCUAAGAAGUUCAAAAUCCCGGAUUUCGACCGGUACAACGGGCUAACUUGUCCACAAAACCACAUCAUCAAAUACGUCCGAAAGAUGGGCAAUUACAAAGACAAUGAUUCCCUUAUGAUCCACUGCUUUCAGGAUAGUUUGAUGGAAGAUGCCGCAGAGUGGUAUACUAGUUUGAGCAAAAAUGAUAUCCAUACCUUCGAUGAAUUAGCCGCUGCUUUCAAGAGCAACUACGGGUUUAACACUCGAUUGAAGCCGAACAGGGAAUUCCUCAGAUCUCUCUCCCAGAAGAAGGAGGAAAGCUUCCGUGAAUACGCACAAAGAUGGAGGGGGGCAGCUGCCCGCAUUACUCCCGCUCUUGAUGAAGAAGAAAUGACCCAGACAUUCUUAAAGACCUUGAAGAAGGAUUAUGUUGAGAGAAUGAUCAUAGGUGCCCCGAAUAACUUUUCGGAGAUGGUCACCAUGGGAACCCGUCUGGAGGAAGCCGUCAGGGAUGGAAUCAUUGUGUUCGAGAAAGCUGAAUCCUCUGUGAAUGCAUCGAAGAGGUAUGGUAAUGGACACCACAAGAAGAAAGAAACGGAAGUAGGGAUGGUGUCAGCUGGAGCCGGUCAAUCCAUGGCUACUGUUGCUCCUAUCAAUGCAGCUCAAAUGCCUCCGUCAUACCCAUAUGUGCCGUAUUCUCAGCAUCUUUUCUUUCCGCCAUUUUAUCAUCAGUACCCUCUGCCACCGGGUCAACCUCAAGUACCCGUCAAUGCAAUUGCUCAACAGAUAAAACAACAGUUGCCAGUUCAACAACAACAACAAAAUCAGCAAGCUAGACCUACUUUCCCUCCGAUACCGAUGUUAUAUGCUGAGUUGCUUCCAACUUUACUCCAUAGAGGGCAUUGUACAACCAGACAGGGCAAGCCCCCACCUGAUCCGCUGCCUCCAAGGUUCAGGUCCGACCUCAAAUGUGAUUUUCAUCAAGGCGCCCUGGGUCAUGAUGUCGAGGGGUGCUACACUUUGAAGUAUAUCGUGAAAAAUCUCAUUGAUCAAGGAAAGCUGACUUUUUAGAAUAAUGUCCCACAUGUCCUCGACAAUCCUCUUCCAAAUCAUGCCGUUGUGAAUAUGAUCGAAGUAUGUGAGGAAGCUCCUAGACUCGAUGUCCGUAACGUCGCAACUCCUCUGGUGCCUCUACACAUCAAGCUGUGCAAAGCUUCUCUGUUCAGCCAUGAUCAUGCCAAGUGCCUAGGAUGCCUUCGUAAUCCUUUGGGUUGCUACACUGUUCAAGAUGACAUCCAAAGCUUGAUGAAUGAUAAUUUUUUGACUGUCAGUGAUGUCUGCGUGAUUGUGCCAGUUUUUCACGAUCCGCCUGUCAAGAGUAUACCUUUGAAGAAGAAUGCUGAGCCUUUGGUGAUAAGGUUGCCUGGACCGGUGCCGUACACUUCAGAUAGGGCUAUCCCGUACAAAUAUAAUGCUACCAUAAUCGAAAACGGAGUAGAAGUGCCUCUGGUGUCCUUGGCUAUGUUGAACAAUACUGCCGAAGGAACUUCAGCAGCCCUAAGAAGCGGAAGAGUCCGUCCACCAUUGUUUCAAAAGAAGGCAGCUACGCCUACCGUGCCAUCCAUUGACAAGCCAACCCCGACUGAUGUUUCUCCCGUUAACAGAGACGCGAGCCAACCAGGCCGGUCUAUAGAGGAUUCUAAUCUAGACGAGAUUUUGAGGUUGAUCAAAAGAAGUGAUUAUAAGAUUGUGGAUCAGCUGUUGCAAACUCCGUCGAAGAUAUCCAUUUUAUCUCUACUCCUGAGUUCCGCUGCCCACAGAGAUACCCUUUUGAAAGUAUUGGAGCAGGCUUAUGUGGAUCAUGAAGUAACUGUGGAUUACUUUGGUAGCAUAGUGGGAAACAUUACCGCCUGCAGCAAUCUGUGAUUCAGUGAAGAUGAAUUGCCCGAAGCAGGAAAGCAUCAUAAUCUGGCCUUGCAUAUCUCCGUGAAUUGCAAGUCUGACAUGAUCUCAAAUGUGUUAGUAGACACUGGCUCAUCUUUGAACGUGAUGCCCAAGUCAACGCUGGAUCAGCUGAGUUACCGGGGAACUCCUUUGAGGAAAAACACUUUUCUAGUCAAAGCCUUUGAUGGAACCCGCAAGAGCGUUCUCGGGGAGAUAGACUUGCCAAUAACUAUCGGCCCCGAAACCUUUCUAAUCACCUUUCAGGUCAUGGAUAUUAAUGCCUCUUACAGCUGUCUCUUGGGGAGACCGUGGAUACAUGAUGCGGGGGCGGUGACCUCUACUUUGCACCAAAAGUUGAAAUUUGCAAAAAGUGGAAAGCUUGUUACCAUUCAUGGAGAGGAGGCAUACCUGGUUAGCCAGCUAUCAUCUUUCUCUUGCAUAGAGGCAGGGUCUGUAGAGGGGACCGCUUUUCAAGGAUUAACUGUCGAAGGUACGGAGCCCAAGAGGGAUGGAACUGCCAUGGCUUCUUUGAAGGAUGCACAGAGAGCCGUCCAAGAGGGUCAAGCUGCCGGCUGGGGCAGGUUAAUACAGCUUCGUGAGAACAAGCAUAAGGAAGGUCUUGGCUUUUCCCCAACUUCAGGAGUUUCCACCGGGGCAUUCUGUAGUGCUGGGUUUGUCAACGCAAUCACAGAAGAAGCAACUGGAUUUGGCCCGAGGCCUGCAUUUGUUACACCAGGAGGCUUUGCGAGAGAUUGGGAUGCCAUUGACAUUCCCUCAAUCAUGCAUGUUUCUGAGUAAUAUACCUUGUUGCUUAAGUAUCUUGUUUUUUCAAAAUAACAAUCAUCUCGCUCUGCCCAAAGCGAGAAUGAUAUUUUCUAUAAGGGCAUGUUUGUUUCGGCAUUGCCGUUGAUUAAUAAAAAAUUGUCGUUUCUUUCACGACUGCUUUUUUUUUAGUACCUUUUUUUCUUGGAAAUAAUGGUAAUGCCAGAAAAAACCAAAAUAUCUGUAUUUUCUUAUUAAUUUCAAAAAUCUGCAUAAAAAACCCUCUUUCUAAAAUCAUCCAACCAUUUUACGCAGAUUGAACUAUAAUAAACCCGUUGGGCACAGUAAUCCUGCAUUCCCUCCGAAUUUUGAGUUCCCAGUGUAUGAAGCCGAAGAUGAGGAAGGUGAUGAUAUACCAUAUGAGAUCACUCGGCUACUUGAGCAAGAAAAGAAAGCCAUUCAGCCUCACCAGGAAGAGAUUGAGCUUAUCAACAUAGGUACCGAUGAGAACAAGCGAGAAAUCAAGAUCGGUGCUGCUCUAGAGGAAGGGGUUAAAAAGAAGAUCAUCCAACUCCUCCGGGAAUAUCCGGAUAUUUUUGCAUGGUCGUAUGAAGAUAUGCCAGGUCUAGAUCCUAUGAUUGUGGAACAUCGGAUCCCCACCAAGCCUGAAUGCCCUCCCGUCAGGCAGAAAUUGAGAAGGACUCAUCCAGAUAUGGCUCUCAAGAUUAAGAGUGAGGUUCAAAAACAGAUUGAUGCGGGUUUCCUCAUGACAGUUGAGUACCCUGAAUGGGUUGCCAAUAUUGUACCUGUGCCAAAGAAGGAUGGUAAAGUCCGGAUGUGUGUUGACUUCAGAGACCUGAACAAAGCCAGUCCAAAAGACAACUUUCCAUUACCUCAUAUUGAUGUGCUUGUUGAUAAUACUGCUCAGUCUAAGGUGUUUUCCUUCAUGGACGGUUUCUCCGGUUACAAUCAGAUCAAAAUGUCUCCUGAAGAUAGAGAAAAGACGUCUUUUAUCACUCCAUGGGGUACUUUCUGCUACAAAGUGAUGCCGUUCGGCCUAAUAAAUGCUGGUGCUACCUACCAAAGAGGAAUGACUACUCUGUUUCAUGACAUGAUUCACAAAGAAGUCGAAGUAUAUGUGGAUGAUAUGAUUGUGAAGUCAACAGAUGAGGAGCAACAUGUUGAAUAUUUGACAAAGAUGUUUGAAAGGUUGAGAAAAUACAAGCUUCGAUUGAAUCCCAACAAAUGUACAUUCGGCGUCAGAUCCGGGAAGUUAUUAGGCUUCAUUGUCAGCCAAAAGGGCAUUGAAGUCGAUCCUGAUAAAGUCCGGGCCAUCCGAGAAAUGCCAGCUCCACAGACUGAGAAGCAAGUCAGAGGUUUCCUCGGGCGUUUGAAUUACAUCUCCCGAUUCAUAUCUCACAUGACCGCAACCUGCGGGCCGAUCUUCAAGCUACUCAGAAAGAAUCAGCCUAUUGUAUGGAAUGAUGAAUGCCAAGAAGCUUUUGAUAGCAUCAAGAAUUACCUGCUGAAACCACCUAUCCUUGUUCCACCCGUGGAAGGAAGGCCCUUGAUUAUGUAUUUGGCAGUAUUUGAUGAAUCCAUGGGAUGCGUACUUGGUCAACAAGAUGAGACUGGAAAGAAAGAACAUGUUAUCUACUAUCUAAGCAAGAAGUUCACCGAUUGUGAAACUCGGUAUACAAUGCUUGAGAAGACUUGUUGUGCUUUGGCCUGGGCCGCUAAACGCCUGCGUCAUUAUUUGGUGAAUCAUACAACUUGGUUGAUAUCCAGAAUGGAUCCGAUAAAGUAUAUCUUUGAGAAAGCUGCUGUUACUGGGAAGAUUGCACGCUGGCAGAUGCUUUUGUCUGAAUAUGAUAUUGUGUUCAAAACUCAAAAGGAAAUCAAAGGUAGCAUUCUUGCCGAUCAUCUUGCUUACCAACCUCUUGAUGAUUAUCAACCAAUUGAGUUCGAUUUCCCCGAUGAAGAGAUCAUGUAUUUAAAAUCAAAAGACUGCGAAGAACCGUUGAUUGAUGAAGGUCCAGAUCCCAGUAGCAAGUGGGGUUUAGUCUUUGAUGGUGCUAUCAAUGCUUAUGGUAAAGGAAUUGGGGUAGUCAUUGUAUCCCCGCAGGGGCAUCACAUUCCUUUUACCGCCCGAAUUCUGUUCGAAUGUACAAACAAUAUGGCUGAGCAUGAAGCAUGUAUCUUUGGGAUCGAGGAAGCAAUUGACAUGAGAAUCAAACACCUCGACAUCUAUGGAGAUUCUGCGCUCGUCAUCAAUCAGAUAAAAGGUGAAUGGGAGACUCACCAUGCUAAGUUGAUUCCUAUCGCGAUUAUGCGAGACGUCUGCUGACAUAUUUUACAAAGGUUGAGUUGCACCAUAUUCCUCGUGAUGAGAACCAAAUGGCUGAUGCUCUUGCUACUCUAUCUUCCAUGUUUCGAGUAAACCAUUGGAAUGAUGUGCCAUUAAUCAAAGUGAAACGCCUUGAAAGACCUUCACAUGUGUUUGCUAUUGGGGAUGUGAUCGAUCAGGCUGGUGAAAAUGUGGUUGACUAUAAACCCUGGUACUACGACAUCAAACAGUUCUUGCUGAGCCGUGAGUAUCCGCUGGGUGCUUCCAAACAAGACAAGAAGACCUUGAGAAGAUUGGCCAGUAGAUUCCUGUUAGAUGGAGAUAUUCUGUACAAGAGAAACUAUGACAUGGUAUUGUUAAGAUGUGUUGAUGAACAUGAAGCGGAGCAGUUAAUGCAUGAUGUACAUGACGGUACCUUCGGGACCCAUGCUACAGGGCAUACUAUGUCAAGGAAGUUGUUACGAGGAGGUUACUACUGGAUGGCCAUGGAGCAUGAUUGCUACCAGCAUGCCAGAAAGUGCCACAAAUGUCAAAUCUAUGCUGAUAAGAUUCAUGUGCCUCCGCACGCUCUCAAUGUUAUUUCAUCCCCAUGGCCGUUCUCAAUGUGGGGCAUCGACAUGAUUGGAAGAAUUGAACCGAAGGCUUCAAAUGGUCAUCGUUUCAUCUUAGUGGCAAUUGACUACUUCACCAAGUGGGUUGAAGCAGCAUCUUAUACCAAUGUGACCAAGCAAGUGGUAGCUAAGUUCAUCAAGAACAACAUCAUCUGUCGAUAUGGUGUUCCCAGCAAGAUUAUUACCGACAAUGGUACCAACCUGAACAACAAUGUGGUGCAAGCUCUUUGUGAAGAAUUCAAGAUUGAGCAUCAUAACUCUUCUCCGUAUAGACCUCAGAUGAAUGGUGCAGUUGAGGCCGCCAACAAGAAUAUCAAGAGAAUUGUCCAGAAGAUGGUAACCACUUACAAGGACUGGCAUGAGAUGUUACCUUAUGCUCUGCAUGGUUACCGUACUACAGUGCGCAGUUCAACCGGGGCAACCCCUUCCUCUCUUGUAUAUGGUAUGGAAGCAGUUCUCCCUUUGGAAGUGGAGAUCCCAUCUCUCCGUGUGAUCAUGGAAGCAAAGUUAUCUGAGGCUGAAUGGUGCCAAAGCCGGUAUGAUCAGUUGAAUUUGAUUGAGGAAAAACGUAUGGAUGCCAUGGCUCGUGGAUAGUCAUAUCAAGCAAGAAUGAAGACUGCUUUUGACAAGAAAGUCCAUCCUCGAGAAUUCAAGGUAGGGGAGCUCGUAUUGAAAAGGAGGGUAAGCCAGCAACCCGACCCAAGGGGCAAGUGGACGCCUAACUAUGAAGGUCCUUAUGUUGUCAAGAAGGCCUUCUCCGGUGGUGCUUUAAUCCUUACACACAUGGAUGGCGUAGAACUUCCAAAUCCAGUGAAUGCCGAUAUAGUCAAGAAAUACUUUGCCUAGAAAUGUGAAAAGAACAGCGUGGUAGGUCGAAAACCUGAAAGGGCGGCCUAGGCAAAAAUGCGCUUCCCGGUGGAUCGAAAACCCGAAAGGGCGGUCCAGGCAAAAAUAAGGGACAAAAAAAAUAUAUCUAUAUGAAAAAGCUCGCUGAGAUUGCACGCAACUCAGGCAAGAAUGAGCGUCUCGAUGAAUCGAAAACCCGGAAGGGCGGUUCAUGCAAAAAUGGGAUUGAAACAAAAGGCAAGUAACUAUAUCUGGCUAACCACCGUCCCCCUUGGGGCAUCUGCAGCUGUUAAUGACUAUCUUCAUCAAAAGCUCCUACGCUUGCAAAUUCAAAGUUUCUAGGAAAUGUGAUGAUUACUGUGUUCAAUGUACCACCAACCAAUAAAAUUACCAUUUUCCAAGCUUUGUAAAUCCGUGGAGUCACGCCUUCGGCUGACCACCACUCUUAUACAUCAAUUUGAGCUUGUGCUUUUGUUUGAAACUCUGCUUUCUUUUUACUUUCAAAGCUAUAUACAAAACAUUUUCUUUCUAUUUUUAAUAAUGACAAAUGCUCGAAACAAACAUCUUGAAAAUUGAAAAAGUUUUUUUGAAAAGCAAACCUGAGCAACAGGGUACAUUCAAAUGAACAUGCAUGAGCGAGUGUGUGUUGGUGUCUAUUUCAAUAUAUGUUACAAGCAGGCUCUUCCCCAGGAUGGUCUGUGGUCAAUGGCAAGAAUGGAAAAAACAGAAUGAAAAUGCAUGAAAAUGAAUAGGCUCGCUAAGUUGAAAACCCGAAAGGGCGGCUUAGGCAAAAAUGAGCACCCUGCUGGAUUGACAACCCGAAAGGGCAGUUCAGGCAAAAAUGGGGCAUUAAAAAUUUAUUUCCCCGGUGGAUCGAAAACCCGAAAGGGCGAUCCAGGUAAAAAUGGGAUGCAAAAAAUGAAUGAAUGAAAAUUGAGAAAAUAACAUGCAAAAAGCAUUGACCACAGAUGCGACGUCCACGAUACAUCCGGCAUUAUUCCCAGUAGAGUCUCCCAAGAUUCUAUCCCCAGCAAGUUGCAUAGCUACCUGCCCUCAGCCAUGGUUCCGACACGUCUCCCAACGACGUCAUCUCCAAAGAGGAUUUCCAAGAAUGUGUAAUAUAGCACGAGCCACUACGUGCCCAAUACUCCAAUGUCUUGUCUGUCUCUGCGAAACUGUGUCUACAAAUCGCCAACAGUCAUGCAUUACAAGCAUUCAUACAUACAUAAUCAUGCAUAUUACGUGCCCAUGCAUUUAAUGAAAUUGUUAUAUCAUUCAUGCAUGUUGCAUUUCCAAUGUCAACAUCAGUCUCAAUUCAAUACUCAUGUCGGGUUCUCUGUCAAAACCUUGUGAGCCUAUAAUAUUGGUCAAUUUCUACCUUUCAAAUCAAAUCGACGCCAAGUCAAUUUCAACCUAUGUUGUCAAAAAAACUAAUCCCCUGUGAAUUUGUUUCUGUUCGGUCAAGUGACUAGUUCAAGUCCAAGAACAGCUUGUACCUAUCAUUUUGCUUAUGUUAUCGGUCGAGUGCCCAGCUUAAUCCAAGAGCAGCUUGUACCUGUCAAUAUGUUUCUGUUUGGUCAAGUUACCAGUUCGCAUCCAAGAACGACUUGUACCCGUUUACUUUUCAAUGUUAUCGGUCGAGUUACCAGUUCGAAUCCAAGAACAGCUCGUACCUGUCUAUGUGUCUAUGAUUUUGGUCAAGUGGCUAGUUCAAGUCCAAGAACAGCUUGUACCCGUCUAUCUGUUUCUGUUCGCUCAAGUGGUUAGCUCGAUCCAAGAGCAGCUUGCACCUGUCUAUUUUGUCUUUGUCUCCGGUGGAGUAACCAGUUCACAUCCAAGAACAAGCUCGCACCUGUCUAUUUGCCUUGCUUUCAGUCGAGUGACUAGUUCAAAUCAAGAACAACUCGUACUUGUCUAUUUGCCUUUGCUUUCAGUCGAGUGACCAGUUCGAAUCAAGAACAACUCGUACCUGUCUACCUUUUCUAUGUCCCCGGUCGAGUGACCAGUUCGAAUCCAAGAACAACUCGCACCUGUUUGUCUGCUUUUAUCCCCGGUCAAGUGCCCAGCUCAAUCCAAGAGCAGCUUGUACCCGUCAAUUUGUUCCUAGUCUCCUAUCUACCCUGUUAUCUGUUAACUUACCAAUGUCUACCAAUCCCGCAAUGGAUACGACAUCUUUUGUUAAUUCCAGCUUUCGUUUGUCUCGCACUCAUAAUCCAAAUGUUGCAUGGCAUUCAUGAUAUUUGAAAAUGUACAAGCGUAUUUUUACGUCCAAACACAGUGCAAAUGUUAAUAUUUAAGUAUCUUCGUCACGUCAAGCCAAAGACUCCGUCUCUUGACCCUCCAGACAAAGAAACUUAAAUAGGGGCAGCUGUUAUACCCUGAUUUUGGACCUAAAAAUACUCGUUUCAAAUUUCUUUUUUAACACUAAUAUUUGUCAAUUCUCUGUUAUUUUACUCUGAAUCUUUACUCUCUUUUUAAACGUAUUAUACUGCCUCUGUCUUUUCUGACAUUACAAGUCAUUUAAGAACUCUCUGAAAUGUCGCGUUACUUUUCUUGCACUUUAUUUCAAAAAAUCAUACAAAAGGGUAUUUUGGUCAUUUCCUGCAGUGGAACCCAUUUUUGUCCCUGUAUUUGUCUCUAAGUCUCUUCAACUUGUCUGUACAAAUCAUCGUUGAUUCUUUGUUAAAAAUCAUUUCAAAAUCGCAUCUGAGUCAAUUUGGGUCAGUUUAGUCCCUAGGGGCAUUUUGGUCUUUUCCUGUCAAAAUUUUGACAGGGAGGUAUUUUGAAAUACCUCAUGUCAGUAUUUGGUUCGUUUUAGUCCUUUUGUUGAUUUUAUUUUAGGUUUCACUUUACGUUUUGUCAGGUUACCCAUUUUAUUCCAAUUUUAUUUUUAUUUUUAUUUUGCAUUUUGGUCCUCAAAGAAGUCCAAAAUUGCUUUUCAGUCCAGAACUUUUUAUUUUACAUUUCAGUCCUUUUUGGUUAAUUGCAGUUUAGUCCUUAAGUUUUUGUUUUUGCAGAAAGGUCCCAAAUUCAUUUCAAGUCCAAGGCCGUGCCAUUUUCAUACAAGUCCAGGUGUCACCUUUUCAUUGGGUCUCAAGUACACAUGUCAGAUUAUAAAUAGUGCACAGUGCCACACAAAGCCAUUAAUCACACGCCAACUCAACAAACACAAUCAAGCUUUCUCUCUCCUUUCUGUUAGGAUCAAAAGAUCAAAAAUUCCCAAGAACACGAAGAACAUAAACCCUAAUUUUCUGCAGAAAUCAUAGAAAUUCAUCAGAAAUCAACGAAUUUCACAUCAAUCCUCAGAGAUUCGUAUGAACCUUCAUCACUGGAUUGGAGAUUUCCCUACAAUUCCAAGUGCGAGCUCACAUUGAAGCAAGCUCAAGCACUGAUCACAGGAAUUCUCACGUGGAUCUAAGAAGCAAGAAGCAAGCUCAAGCACGUAAUCACAUAGAAAGAAUCGGAGAAGAUGAAGAAACCAAGCCAGUAAACCGAUUUAUUUUCGGUUCAAAAAGCAACCAGAAAUCAUCAAGAACAAAUCGAAGUUUUCCGAAGAAACUCAGCAGAAUCUCCAUUAAAACUCAGGUAAAACUCAUUUUUUCUCUUUAAUGGCGUUAAUCAUAGUUGAACCUGCAUGCAAACGAACAAACCAGAUCUAAAAAGUUUCCAGAACAGAAAACGAACUGAACCGUAUGCGUAAGAUCUAGAUCCAUAAGGACUUAGACUUUGCAAGCAAGAACAAGCACCAGAGAAGUAACAAACACGAAACGAUGUAGAUCCUUAAGAGUUUGAACGUACUCAUUCAAAACCCUAAAAAAAAAAAAAUUUCAAAACCGUAUGAAAAUUCUCCGAUCUACGUCGUUUCAGGCUUUGUUUGUGAAAAUCAAUGUCAGAUUCGUGUUUAGGGUUUAAAAACGAACAAGAAAAUGUAAAAAAAUUUGAAUUCUGGGUGUUUUGCUCGUCGGAACCCUAACUUCUCACCGGAGAAGAUGAAGUUUCCGGUGGAACCUUCAUCUUCUCCGGCCAACAACCACCGGAGAAGGGAGGAGAGAGGUGAGAGGUCUGAGAGAAGAGAGAGGUUUAGAGAGAGAGAGAGAUGAAAGAAAUGAAUUGGACCGGUGUCCAUAUGCUUAUAUAGACGCCUGAAUCGGUCCGGUUCAUUUUGUUUUCAUCCUGGACCGUAGGAUUUAGGGUUUUGUUAUUUGAAUGGCUGUGAUGCUUUGUUCCAUGUGCUUGAUCUGUGUUACCAUGCGCUGCUUGUUUUGAACCGUCAGAUCUAGGUCUGGAUCAAUCUAACGCCUCUGAGGCCUUUGGAUGAUCCAGGCCCAGUCUGCAUUGGGUUUUUGGUUGGGCUUAAGGUUCCUUUUACGUUUUUACCUUUUUCUUGCUAUCUGUACCCCUACUUUUUGCUAUCUGAACCUGUUUCUUGCUCACAUAUUUUUACAAAAAUUCCUAAAAAUCCUAGGUGUUUCUUGAUACAUUUUUGGUAUUUUUAUGGUGUUUUGCAUGUAAAAAAAAAUGGUAAAAUGGCAUGAAUUAAUUCCCAUGUGUUUUUACAUUUUUGGUAUUCUUUUGGUUAUGUUUUUUUGUUCUUGACACUUUGAUAUGUGACAUGGAUGAUUGAUAUACAAUAUUGUGAUGAAUAUGCCUCUGAUCAUGUGUCCUUUUUGCUGUUUUUGGAUAUGAUUUUGUAAAUUUCUUGUUUUGCAAACAAUAAGUGUUUGUCUUAAGGAAUAAAGUGUCAAAUUUCUCUAUGAAUUUGGUGUGAUACUUUGCUUGCAUAUGUCUCUAUUAAUUUCAUGUCAUGGCUUGAAACAAAAUCUCUUUCAAAAUUGCCAUGAUGUGAGAAUUAUGGGUCACAAGCACAUUUAGGUAUCAUAUCAAAUUUUUUAGGUUUUUACCACUUUAUUACUUUCCUUUUUUGCCAUUCUUAUGCAAUUUCUUUUUGUUUAUUUCCUACUAUUUUGUGCCUUAUGAUUACUAACCGUUUCAUUUCAUGUGCCAUACAUUUCAUAAGCAUUUCACAAUUCCAUUCCUAUUCCUCAUAGUUUAGGGUUUAUUUCUUUUAUUUCAAUGUUACUUUGGCAUGUAAUAUUUUAGAUAGUUUUAAUUUCUUUUAAGAUUUUUGCAAGACCAUAGAAUGUAUCUAGGACAAUGUAAAGGACUAUGGACUCUCUAAUAAUGUACACCGACACAAACACCGACACUCGCACACACGUUGCAUGAUUAUCGAUUUAGGUGUAUGUUUAGGAAUUCGACGCCUAGUGAAAUUUCUCCUUCGAAAUAGGCUAAAUUUUCCAAACAAACUUUGGAGUCAAAACUCCAAUGCCUUUUUGUGAAAUAAAAAUAAAGAUCAAAUUCGAUAUUUUUCUUCUAUGCCUUACGGCUUCUCUCCUCCUUUUCAAAAAUCAUUUUCCAAGUAAAAUAAAAACCUCAAUCAUCUUCUCCCCUCAUUCUUCACUCAAAUAAAAUAUCUUCUUUUCAAUAAGUAGGCAAUAAAAAAUAAAGCGUAGAAAUAAGCUUAGGAGAACGGUUCUUAUGGAGUACCAUAAUCGCUCCGGGUGCCUAACACCUUCCCGUAGCGAAAACAACCCCCGAACUUAGAAUCUAAGGGUUUUUUCUCAAUUUUGCCCUUCCCAAAAAAAUAGAGAAUAUCAAAGAUUGAAAGGUUCAAGCCAAAUUAAUGACUUGACACCCGAAAAUCGCGAUAACAACUUGCAUUAAUCCUCAUUCCAUCUUCCUUGCCUAAGCUUCUGUUUUUUCAGUAUCUGAAUCGAUUCAAUAUGUUGUUUUGGUGCGAAAAUUGUGUCCAUUUUUCCCUUACUAUAUAUAAUCUCCUCUUUCCACAACUUCAAAAUUAUUGAAUCAUUUGCAUCUAUUCUCUCUAGGUCUCAAAAACCCAUUGCUCAUACAUUCUUCAAGAUUAAACACUUUUUCUUAGAAUCACUUUGUCUUUGAGUGUGUAGAUUCUCUAGGGUGCUAGUAGGAAUUGUAAGUUGGUUCUCUCAAGAAGAUUGAUUGGGCUUAAUCAAGGCUUCAAAGGAAGUGAAUAAUCUCAUUCCACUUCCAAAGGACUUAGGGGUCUUUCUAACCGUUCUUGAUAUCGAAGGGGGUUCUUUUACCGGACGUAGCAUUGAAGACUCGAGUGAAGAGAUCGAAGGAGUGCACGGGUAAUUCAAGGAUCCGAAGAUUCAAGGAGCACCAAAUUCAAGGGGUACUUGAAGUUUGGGGGAGGUUUAUUUUACAUUGGAGGUGAAGAAUUAGUGCUUUAAUUUGAAGUAACUACUAUAAACAUUGGUGUUCUCUCUCUCUCUCUCUCUCUCUACUUUUGAUAUAGCACUUGCUUAUUUGAAUAAUUGAUUAGUGAAUUGCUAGUUUUGAUCUAAGUAGUAUUUUCUCAAUAGAUUAAUCUAAAUCCUUUUGAUUUAGGUUAAAACAACUUCAUAUUGGAUCAAUUAAUUGCAAUACCAAUUCAAUUAAUCAAAUUCAUGUGUUUUGUGUUUUCAAUUGAUAAUUAGGUUUAUUGUCAUAUAGAUUUGGUUUGAAAUUGUAUAUUGUUUUGUAUCUUGUUUAAGGAUUGUUAAUAAUUGAUUGUGACAAAAGAUUUGUAUCGUGAAUCUCUUAAUCUAAGAUAAAAUUUUAUUCAACAUAUAUUUGACAUUUGUUAAUUCAUUGUUUGUGAUUGUUCAAGCAAAUUUCAAUAAAACUUGUUUUUAUCAAAUCUCCAUAAAAGUUUUUUAAAAGCGUUGUUCUUAUAAAAUUUUAUUCCACAUAAAGUUUGUUAAUCCCAUGGUAGCAGCACUACUUCGCCUUGUCGGUUCUUGCCGAUUAUUUAAGCAAUUGUGGUUUGUUUGCAAUCAAUUUCUCUAUAACCAGAAAUUCUUGUAAUGUUGUUUUAAUUCUUGUUUUCGGCUAGAUAGGUUGUUCAUAAGUAGUGAAAAUUCACCAUGGAAGAUAUGGAGUGGUUACUACAAGCAAAUAAUGAUGAAAUAAAACUAAGUUCAUCUUUUGUUGCUCAAAUCACAUGGCAGAGAAGCUGAGAUCCCAGUUCUCGAUGCAUUUGAAAACAUCAAAGUCUACCAAAUCUCACAAUGGUGAUACAUUCAAAAAUAAGAUAAGACACAAUUCAGUUAUAAUAUUAUUUAGUGCCUAAUUUCAUUUUAUUAUCAACAUCUUUGAGUGUAGAGUCAUAGUUUCAACAUCCAUGAAGUUGUAAAAAGAAAAAAAAUAAAAGAUACAAUUAUUGGAUGCUACUAAAAAGAUUAAAUGGCAACUCACGGUAUAACUAUAAGGUAUGUUGCAUAGAUUUUUUGCUAGUGCAAGAACUCACUCCUCCUUGCAUGGCGUUUGUGUACCCUCUUCGGCGAGAUACUUAUAUCCAAUCAAAAGGAAACGGAAUCCUCGUAAACACUAUACAUUUGUUGUAAAUGCACUUAUAAAGUAAAGGAUACAAAUCCUUUGGACAAUCAGCCACAUCUAUACAGAAAAUUUUUACUGCAAUGAAAGAAGAGAAUAAAAUAAUGUUACUAAAAUGAUAUAAAAUUUUAUGUAUGAAGUACAAAUUAAAGAAGGAAAUUUGAAAAUGGUUUUAAAAAAAAUGCUUGCUAUAAUCAACCCCGUUGGCAACAAGAAACAGGGAAAGAAAUAAAAUCAUAGAAUAAACAAACUUGAGAGUUCUAGCCAUAUUUUUCUUUGUUGUACCAAAUAGAAUAUGAUUUAGUCAAUUUAUAGUGUAUUAAGGUCAUGUAAUAUUGUUGUGUGUUUGUAUUGAACACUUAAGUAGAUGAAUAUGUUGUGUUUACCCUUUUAUCACACGAAGUAAAGGAGUAACACUAAAAAAAAGAUAAAAAAAAAUAUUGUAUAUAUAUAACACUUAAGUAGAUGAUUAUGUUGUGUUUGUCCCUUUAUCACACUUAGUAAAGGGGUAACAAAAAAGAAGGAAAUUUGAAAAUGGUUUUAAAAUAAGGGUUAAUUAAGUUUUUGGUCCCUAUAAAUAUCUGCAGUUUUGUAUUUAGUCUCUAUAAAAAUAAAUCACACUUUUUAGUCCCUGCAAAAUUUUCUGUUAGUGUUUUUAGUCCCUUUAAAUUAAAAUUUGUUUAAUUACGCUUAAACUUCUAAAUUUUUGAAAGAUUUUUUACAUACAUGUUCAUAACAUCGUAAGACACUCUUUUAUAAUUUUUUUUAGUUUUUUAACGUGUAAUGAAUUAAAUAUGAAUAUUUCUAAAAAUCAUAUUUUUCAAGAUUAUAUUAAUGAAAAUUUGGACCUAAUAAUAAAAUUUUAAGUUACUUUUUUGCGGAGGAACUUUGUAUAAUAUUCUAAAUAAGUAUGUGAAAAAUAUGUUACAAAUUUAAAAGUUUAAGCACAAUUAAGCAAAUUUUAAUUUUACAAGAACAAAAAGUAUGUGUUGGUCCCUAUUAAAUUGAAAUUUGUUUAAUUAUACUUAAACUUUUAUAUUUUUAACAGACAUGUUAAGAACAUUAUAAUAAUCUCUUUUAUAAAAAAUUAGAAUUUUUUAACAUCUAAUGAAUUAAAUAUAUAUUUUUUAAAACGCCAAAAAUUCAAAAUAAAACUAACAAAAUUUUGAACUUAAAAAUAAAAUUUUGAGCUAAUUUAUUAUGGCGGAACAUGUUAUAAUGUUUUAAACAAGUAUGUAAAAAAUCAUUAAAAAAUUUAAAAUUUUAAGCAUAAUUAAACAAAUUUUAAAUUAACAGGGACUAAAAACACUAAUGGAAAAUUUUGUAGGGACUAAAAAGUGUGAUUUAUUUUUAUAUGGACUAAAAAUAAAACUGCAUAUAUUUAUAGAGACCAAAAACUUAAUUAACCCUUAAAAAAAAAUGCUUACUGUCAUCCCCCUUGGCAACAUAAAAUAGGAAAAGAAAUAAAAUCAUAGCAUAAACAAACUUGCCCCUUUAUCACACGAAGUAAAAGGUUAACAUUAAAAAAAUUGAUAAUCAUUAUAACUUAUUUUAUUUUAUUUUUAUAACUUUUCAACCUUUCAUGAUAGAAAGGGGUAAAAAAAAGAUAAAAAAAAUUGUGUGUAUAUAUAUAUAUAUAUAUAUAUAUAUAACACUUAAGUAGAUGAAUAUGUUGUGUUUGUUCCUUUAUCACACUUAGUAAAGAGGUAACGAAAAAAAAUUGGUAAUCAUUAUAACGUACUUUUUUUUUAAACUUUUCAACCUUUCAUGAGAGAAAAUGGUAAAAAAAACAAGAAUUUAAAAUUGUUCAACCACGAUGAAUUUAUUUGUACAAAUAAUGCACCAUCAACAUGACAACAUAAUUAUGCAUUAGUUGAACAGUUUGUAGGAUAUUUUCUUAUAAAAUUAUUUGAUCAUAUGUAAUUAGUAUCAUAUUUUUGUUGUUGCAUGCUUUUUUCUGACAUUAUUAUUCAUGUCAUUUCAUUAGGGACACCAAAGCCCGCCCAUCCGUUUAGGCCCACCCUGCUUAAGUUGUUAAUCUUAAUAAGUUGUAAACUUCUCAUCCCACAAUUAAUAGCGAAACACUCUACCUGGACAAAUUUGUAGAUAACUAAUAGCAUACACCAAGUAAGGUAAACUUUAUUAUGAUGCAAAAUUUAUGGUAUCAUGUCUUGUACACUUAUGAUAACCAUUAUUGAAUUUUCAAAUGCUACAUGGUGUAUAUAAUCAAGUAUUAUAAAAUGCAAAAGUUGAAUGACAGAUAUAUAAUGGCAAAAGAUCCGAACACAUUUCCUUGAUGUCCAAAAUAGAUAGCAUUGGUUCAGGACCAUUUCAUCAUAUUGAGUAGUGAGCAUUACAGAACCCUUAAAAUAAAAAGUGCUCAUUAGAACAUGAUAUUAAGUUUAAGACUUACGUAUUCUACAUCCAUCUCAACCAUGUAUAUACGAUACUUAACACGAAGCUUAUUGAUCUUCCUCUCCAUAGCAUUAGUUGGGGUAGGGAUCAAAGGUGCUGCACAAAACAUGAAAUGGUUAAUAGCUAGAAAGAUGACAAACAAUUAAUGGCAAUGAUUAAAGAACGAUGAAAUAUAAUGGUUUGACAUAAAAAAAAUUAAAGAAAUCAGAAGUAAAAAAAUUCACCAAUUAACAUAUGAUAGAAGAACAUUGCCUGAAAGUUAUGGUGGUGAGCCAUCACUGGAUACAAAAACGGCAACUCCAUAACUGAAAGCUUGAAUAUAUAUAGUGGGUGCAACCUUUGAUAUGAAACCACAAAACCUUGGAAAAUUGAAAGGAAUUCAAUAUCGGUUGGGAAUCCAAUAGUUGGGGGCGUUUUGAUUAGUAUAACCGCCAUUUAAUUUUUGUUGUGAAUCUAAUCAGAAAGGCAUACUCAGCAGAUUUUGUAUCACGUCUUGGGAAUUGUGAUAGCAAUAACUACGUAUGCCAAAAUAAAAGGGAAGUCAAGUUAAGCGGUUCCAAAAAAAAAAGGAACACCAAGGCGCCAAAAGAAGUAGAAAUAGAAAGAUUAUGUUUAUUGGGAAUAGAUGGAAUGGGUGGAGAUCAACACAGAUGCAUCCAAUGGCCAUAACAGUUUGGAGCCAAAACCAUUAGAAUUAGGGUUGGCACAAUUUGUUAGCAAUGUUAUUCAUAUUAGAAAUAAGUAUGAUGUACUUCAAAUUCUUGGAUGUCUUUUCCUAUGUUUCUUUAUGGAAUGUCUAUAUCAAAUUUUAUGUGUUUUGAAAGACAAAUUUAAGAUACAAGAGUUUCUAUAAGUUUAGAUGACCAUUUUAUUGUUUUUAUUUUCUUUCUAGGUUCGCCUUUAAAAAUUGUGAUAAUUUACGCAACAUCAACUAAAAUUGGAAACAUAGAGUUCACAAAUAUAUAAGGUAUUUACCCACAAGCAAGGAUAGAAAUACUACAGUUGGCUAGUCUGAUUGACCCCACUUCCAAAACGUGGAAUUAGGACAUUAUCACGAGUAGUAACAAUUGAAGCUAUACUAAAAAACCACCCGUUCAACAAGUUACCGACGAUAGGUUGGUGUGGAAGGCGGAGAAAAAUGGACAUUACUCGGUUAAGAGUGCUUAUCGACUAUGUAUUAACGAUUUGUCAAGUUAGGGUAUGAGCUUUAGUGAUUUGUGAACUUGAUAAGAUCUAGAAUGACCCUGAUCCAGGUAUUUAUAGUGGGUGUGACCUAGAGGAAGGCACAAUGACUUCCCGGUUCAUCUCGGACAUGGGCUGCCAACUUCCUCCUUUUCAGGGAUUGUGGACAGUGACGUCUUAUGAGCCCUUUGUCUGUUUCUCCAACUCCUUUGUGAUUGAGUCAAUACCCCAUGUGUUCCUUAGGGGGAUUUAACAUAAGUGUAUCGUGCGAUUGAACCCUUUCUCGGGCCAGUGCUACUAUGCCGAGAACGUGACUAAUCCACUCUAUGUUACACUAUGCUUCCCACGUGACUUUUGAUCAUCAACUUAAUUUAUUAUGACGGUACACAACCCUGCAAUCACGAGGCCUAUAAGGACAAAGUGGUUUGAAUGACAAUUUAUUAUAAUGGCUUUACAUUUCUCACCCUGCGUUUCUCACGUGCCCUAUUUCCUUUUUCAAAAUACCCUUUGCUCGAUUAUAUACUUUGAACACCUUUUUUCAUAUUAUAUAAUAGAACUAUUCUCUGGUUUUUCCAAAAACUUGUAAAUAUAUGGUUCAAAAACUAUAAUCUGAAAACUUUCAUAACAUUUCAGGAAAAAUAUAACCCAAAACAUCAAACACCUCAUUUUGAGGCGAACUAUAGUGUACAUAUUGACGCAUUUUGGAUUAUAUUUGCUGAACUAUUAAUAAAUAGUUCAGAUUACAUAAUCCGAACUAUGUCAGGUCAGAAACAGACCCCGUGUUGUUAAAAUGGACACCCUUUUUUGUUAAAUUUAGGCAACAAUAUUGAUUUGAACAUGCAUCAAAACAAAUGAUAUACAAAAAAAAGGAAACACACAUGAAACAACAAAAAUACAUUAAAAACUUAAAUCAUCGGAAUAUUACAUCAACAAAUUCAAACAUACAUAAAAAACUGAAAUUAUCUAAAUGUCACAUUAACAUCAGAAAAUCAGAUAACUACUAGGUAGAAGCACCACCCCUACCACUCGUACACCUUUGACGGUAAGUCAUCUCACCCUGAGCCUCUUUCAAAAUCAAAUCCAAACUAAGCUAAGUUGGACUUCCCUGCUCCAUCUGACCACUGACCAUGAUAGUUCUGGAAGUCUCUGAUGUGUCCUAACUGUCCACUAAAGUCUAGUGGAUGGUUGCUUCAGGUUGCUCAGAAGCAACCUCAUCAAGAGCCUCCUACUCAGGUGGCCUCGAGAUAUGACCAUUAUCCAGAGAUGGUAUCAUGUAUGGAUGUGAAAUGUUUAAAUAAGAUCUCAUGUACCCAACAAUCGUCAUCGCAGUACCAAAUCCUGCAGUCUCAACAUAUGAUCAAGAUAAUGCAAGAAGCGGUGAUUGGCCUCAUGUCGGGUUGUCAUGGGAGGUGAAAAAUAAUGUGCAUGUCUAAAGAUGACCUCGACGUGACAAAACUAGAGCGCCACCCUCUCCGUCAGAUAUCAGACCAUAUGAGGUUUGUCUCUGAGCCAUCUAGAGCAAAGACUGAUUCUCUCAAACAGACGUAUUUGGAGGUGUUGCUGAUUUGAGUCCAUGACAACAGAACUAAGAUUCAUGUGAUGCAUAUGCGAUCCUAUAUGAUCUGUCACAGCCUGACCCUUUGGGGAAACAAACAUCGCGGCACGGGGUGGCGAUCCUCCCUAUAUCUACCCCAGAAAUCCCUAGCCUUGACAGACUUAAAGAGCUAAAAUAUCCAAGCCUACAUCAAUAUAUACCUAUCAAUAGAAAGCACAUAGAAAAAAAAAACAAGUUUAACAGUUAACUAAAUAAGAAUUUCGUUAUUAUACAUGAAAGAUGGUCAAUAUCCUGCCAACUCUGAAGUCUUAUAAUGACAUCCACUAUUAAGAUCCCUAUUGAGGUGAGCAAGGGCAACCUAUCCCCACGCAUAAUCAGCGACCAACUCAAGGUCACGGAAGUACCUGAGGUAUCUCACGUCAACAUAGUUGGCGCUCAUGUAUGUGAAGAGUAUUACACCCAGCAACUACUGUAGAUAAAUUAUGUGUUUAAAUUUUUUCAGAAUUUUACUAUUUAAAUCAAUCAAUAAGCAUAUUGCACACUUAUAAAAUUCUUUUUUAAAGGAACACACUUAUAUCAAUUUAUAAAAUUAUGUACUGAUAUUUUCUAAACACGUAUUAUAAUCAAACUCUUGCAACAUAUGAGCUUUCCACCCAGUAUAUAAUCAUAGCUAGCUUGAAACAUCUUGACUUUGGUAAAUAGAACAACAACCAGAACAUUAUCAGUCUCAUCGCAUGCAAAAAAACAAUACAUUUAACUCAUUGACAUAAGUUUCAAACAAAGUAACAUUGAAACGAAAUCUAACAUAAUAUUAGAAAAACAAUAUAUUUCAGUAAAAUAACUUACUUCGUCGUGGCGUUAUUGAUCAAGCAUCCAGGUUGUGUGUGUCUGAUUGUGGCUCGUUGGAAUCAUCUCAACACUUAUUUUUACAUUGUAAUUUUUUUGGAUCUGUUUGGCACUUCAUUUAUAGGUGGUUAGGCUUGUCAGUGGCUGCCCCUUUAUAGGUGUCGGAUCAUUUUACUCAGUUUACCGGUAGCGGUGGUACCACAAAGGUGCACCGCUCUAUUCUUCAGGUUAUUUGGUUUGUUGUAGUUUGAGAAAUAUGGAAGGAAAGAAACAAUAGGUUGUUUAAUGUCAAAGAUUGCUCGGUUAUCUAGGUGGUCGAUAAGAUUAAGUCGCUUGCUUUUACGUGGUUGAAGACGAAGUAUAUUUCUCUUCCCUUCAAUUACCAUGGGUGAUGGCUUAGUCCGUUUACCAUUUUAGGCAUAGGCUAAGAGUUUCUUUUCUGUUUUUUAUGCUCUGUUCAGGCAACUAUUGUAUAUAUUGUUCUUGACUCUGAUGUCCUUUCCUGAGUACGUCUUGUGCUCGAAAAGACUCUUUUGAGGUAGUAUUAUAAUUCAUUUUAGCUUCUUAAAAAAAAAGUAAAAUAAUUAUAAAAUAAGUAGGAAAUAAAAUUUCAACCUUGUAGACCACCAUUUGAAGAUCUUCAAGAAAACAUUAUGUGUGGUGAAGAAGGACUUUAUAUUUUUUUUAUUAAUAUUAAUACGAAAUCAAACAAUGCAGGUUGCCUGUAAGAAGACUUUUUCAAUUAGAAGACCAAUAACACAACAAGUAUGAAAAUGACUAGUAUUGAGUAACUUUGUGCAGGGAAAGUCAUCAUGUUUUUGUCUUUUUUUAGCAAAAACAAAGUUAAUUCAUUUCAUUCAUAAUUAAAAAGUAUAAAGUAGUCGGUACAUCACAAAAAAUAUGGGGGCUAGGGUUGGAUAAAGAUGCUCUAGCAAUACUAUGAGCAACUUUAUUAGCGUGCCUCCUAACAUACGACACAACAAAGUAGUUUCUAGAAAGUAAGAGACUUCUACAAUGAGAAACAAGGUCACCAAACUCGUUAGCAAGAAUAGAGGUGGUGUGGAGCGCAUCAGAUAAAACUUUGGAAUCAGUUUCGAACAUAACAUCUCGCAUGUCAUUUAAGAUGGCCACCUUAAUAGCUUCUAGUAAGCCUAAUGAUUCAUCUUCAAGAACGGUGGUAGAAGAUGCAAAGUAAUAUGAUUUUCCUAGCAAGAAUAGGCCUGUAGAGUCUCGAAAACACAUACUGUAUCCCAUAAUGGAAUUACCGUUGAAAGAGGCUGCGUCAACAUUACACUUGAUCAUGCCUGGUGACGGUUUGAUCCAAGGUUGUUCCGUAUGAUCACUUCGGGACCGUACUUUUCCUCUUUGCAUACAUCCCCAUUCAACUAGUGUGUCUUUAGCUCAGCUCACAAUAGCAAAAGGAGAGGUGUCAAUAUCUUCCCAAAGUUUUGUAUUACGACUCUUGCAUAAGCUCCAGAGGGUCAUUGUCGUUAGAGUUAGCUGCUGCACUUGUAACCUGUCAAAUAAAGCAAAUAACAUUGCUGUAAAAUUGUUAGCAGAUGGGAGGAGCGCUUGGAUGGUGCCAUUGAGCCCAAGUAGAUUCCAACAUUGAUUUACCGUAAGAUCUUCAAAGUUUUGCAACGGCAGGGAUGACGGUUUUAGGGAAGGAAGGUUUGAUGUAAGAUUUUUACAUGUAUUAAAACUAUUUACACGUGAGUAUAAUAGGAUCGUUUCCGCAGGGAGUUGCGUAUUUCAUAAGCAUUUUCACAAUAUUUGUCACAUUAAGUGUUUGGGUAUAAAUUGUUUUUUUGUGUAAAACUAUUUUCCUAAUCUACAUAAAAGUAAAACGAGAAGAGAUAGGGCUAUUCCGCUUGCGGUCAGAGACAUCAACCAAGCGUAAUAGCUGCAAUCUCUCGAUCGAUUAACGGAUUCUAGCUUUUUAAAACGAUAUUAUCACAAUCACUCGAAAAUAUCAUUCGUGACCAAAUGAUAUCGUUAUUUCUAAGGGAUCGUUUAAACAUCGAUUUCCCAAACAUUUAAACGAUCACAAAGUCGAUUGGAUAGUUUAAUCGACAAUUUCCAAACCGAUUAAAUUACCCAAAAGCAUUAAGUUCUAGAUUAAAAGUGAUUAUUAAAUAUUAACAUCCAUGUCUAGAGUGAUAACUUAAGAUAGAUUGUUAUUCUAUUUCUAGAUUCAAAAGUAUGUGUCCAUAUCAUUUUGAAUCUCAAUAAACAAUAAAAGCAAGAAUAACAACAAUAUUGAAUAAAUAGCUAGAACCAUAUAUUAAUGAUCAAAAGAUUACAUAAUAGCUUGUUUGAAUACCUCAAAACUACAAGAGUAGAUGUAGCUACAUAUGUCUAUGAUAGCUUUGCAAACGAUGAAGAAAAGAUGAAGAUUUCAUGACAAGAUCCAUGAUCUCUCAACAAAUCUUGGCUUGAAUCUACUUCUUGAAGGUGAAAAACACAAGAAGGGGGGGGGUUGAAUUGUGUUUUCUUUUUCUCUUAAAAAAGGAUUCUUCUUCUGAUAAAACUUCAGAAGCAGUUUGAUUGCUUCUGAUGAAAUGAUCAGAGUCAGAUUGCAGCGGAAAAGAACAGAGCAGAGAAAAGAAAGACAAAGACACAGGCAGUUAUCCUGGUUCCUUCCACAACACGGAAGUAGUCCAGUCCCCCUUGCACUUCCAAGGAGAUUUCACUAUAAUCACAAGAUUACAACUGCUCAAUACUUUCAAAGUAUGAGACUUCACAAAACAAUGCUCAAGCACACACGCAAGAGUCUUCCAAUGCUCAAGCACUAAGCAAGAGACUUCUAAUGCUCAAGCACGCAGGCAAGAGACUUCUAAUCAAACAAAAAUACAGAGAAUUGAGUUUGAAUUGAACACUUGAUAUACAAUCAGUGGUGUUCACAAUACAAUACAGAAAAGACUCUAGACUUUGAAUUUCUAAGAUGUAUCAAAUCAGUGCAGAAAUUCAGUGUGCUUUUUAGAAUCAAAUUGACAGAGUUUUGGCGCUUUUAAACUUAUGUAUCUCUCUCUAUUAUCUUCAAGUCUUCACUCCUUUAUAUAGAGGCGUGAAAGAGACGUUGAGAUAAUCAGCACGUCUAAAGAGUCGUUUGAAAUCCUUUGAUUAUCCACCAGUGAUCCUUUGCCUGAUUUGGGUGUAGUCCUUUGAAGAAUAAACUUCAAAUUCAUUCCCAUCUUGAGUGUACAAUUCUGCAGGCAUGGCUGUUGUUUUGUCUUGUAGCGUAGACAGAAAACAGAGUAGUGGAGGUAGUGGUUGUACACUUGUACUUUGUCAACUCUAUUAACGAGAGACAAGAGCUCAGUGCUAUCCAUAUAUCCGUUGAUACCUCCCUUUCAAUUCUUCGUUCUUCUUUGAUAAGACUGAAUUGAAAAUCAGCUACUUUGAAUCUUCAGUUUGAUUAAAGGAUCAAACGUAGCUUCUGGUGAAGAUAUUGCUUCUGAUGAAAACUUUUGCUUCUGAUGACCUUCUGCUUCUGAUGACGUCAUCUCUUCAGGAGCAGUUUAGCUUCAGGAGCAGUUUUCUUCAGAUGCUCAGAAUUUCUUUUUUCUUUCCAUUGUUCUUCCAAGACCUAUUGAAAUAACUUAAGUAGCCUUUGGUCCUGUACACUUGAACAAUUAUUAGUAAUAACCAAUUGACAAUUUUUAAUACCUUGUUAUCAUCAAAACUCAAUAAGGUUCAUUGUGAAACACACUUUGUUCCAACAAUCUCCCCCUUUUUGAUGAUGACAAACAAUAGUAUUUAAAAUGUUCAAUUGUUGUUGAUCUAAUUAAUAAGUUGACUACUGGGACAGAGGUUUGUAAGCUCCCCCUGAGUCUAAUAGAUCUUUAAGGUGAGGUUUGUAAGCUCCCCCUAAGUUCUAUUCUUAUUAAUUAAAUUUCAAUAAAAUACUUAUAAAAUCAAAUCAGAAGUAUUUAAAAGAAAUUUAGAAGUGGUUAUAGUAGGGCUCAGUGCCUUAAAAAAAUACUAUACAUUUACUCCCCCUUUUGUCAUCAACAAAAAGAAUAGAAACAAAAGAAAGAGUAUCAGAGCAAGCAGCAUUAAAAACAGUAAAUAUCAUCAGAGUUAAAGCUUGUAAAACAUAUUGAAGGUGAAAAAGCACAAGAUUCAGAAACAAUGAUAAUAUAUAUAAAGAAAGAUUAAGAUACAAAGACACAGCUACUAAGAACAAAAGUAAAAAACAAGCUAGAGUUGGGUGUGCAACUAAGGUUGGGCUUGCUUAUACAACUGUUCUAAGAGAUACUUGAUCUGAUCAUCCUUCUUCUGAAGUAGCUCAUCCUUUUCCCUCAUUCUUCUUUUAUAUCCAGCCUGAAUUCUAGCAGCCCUAGUGAUGUACUCUUCUUCUGGAUAGAAAGGAGUGAUGUCCAGCAGAGGCACAAAAUUCAGCUCUUUCUCCUUAGCUGCUUCAUGCAUAUCAUCCAAAAGCUUCUUCAGCAUAGCAGAGUGAGAUGACACACAUUUAGUUCUAAGCUAAUCCAGCAGCUCAUCAAAGCUCUUCUGUAGAUCCAUCCACUGAUCAUAAUAGUGAAUAGGAGGUGCAGGAACUGUUCUGCGAAGAAUCAGUGCCUGAAUCUCAUCACUAAGUCUGAUCAGUUGUUCCUCUAUAUACUCAGACUCCAGGAUAUGGUCAGGGAUGGGUGAAGGUUCAGUUUGAGUUGUAUUUGAUGUGGAAGGUUGGUCAGAGGUUAAGUCUAUUAUAGUGGGUGAAUCUGGUUGUUGUUGUUCUGUUGUUUGGUCAGAAGGUAUAUGUUGGUCAGAAGUUGUUUGGUCAGGAGCAACUUGUUCAGAAGCAGUUUGCUCCUGAACAGUUUGCUCAGGGAUGGUUUGGGUUUCUGUUUGGGUUUCUGUUUGGGUUUCCAAGACAGUCUUUUCAGAAACUGUCUUAGAGGCCUUAGUGGGUGUUGGUUGCAUUUCACCACCUAGAUGUUUUUCUAAGUUGUGAAGGGUUGAGGAUUCUUGGUGUUGGGGGGUUUCUGAAGUAGUUGCAUCUGAAGCUACUUCAGAGGCUUUUUGUGGAGAUUGGUUAUUUGGUGAGUUUGUUUGGGUAGGUUCAGGUUGUUGUAUACUAACAGGUUCUGGAGUAUCUGGAUAUAGUGGAUGAGUAGUAGGCAAAUUGAAUUUCUCACAAAGUUUUAUCCUAUUUUUUGAAAAUUCUAUUUGAGUACUCUCAUAGUCAAGUGUUCCAUACUCUGUUAGUUUGGUAGGUUUGGUUUUUAGAAGCUUGUUUAUAUGUUGGCUAAGGGGUUGGUCAUCUGAUUCUGUGGAUGAUGAAGAGGGUGAAGAGGGUAGAGAUAGAGACUGAGUAUUAGUUGGAGCUUUAGAUGGAUUACCUGAGGACUGAGCUUCUGGAUGAAUUGCUUCUGGAGCUGUUGAAAUUGGAUCUGAUGAAGUUGCUCCUGAAGCUUGCUUAUUCUUCAAGGCUUGAGAAAGCAGAGUUGCUCCAUACUGAACUGUUUCUAACUCAGACGCUAAAGCAGCAAUGUCAGGAGUAGGCACAUACCCUGCAGCCUUGAGACGCUCAUCCCUUUCUUUCUCAAACACUUCCUUCAACCUUUUCUUUUCUGCUAUCUUGGAUGCAGAAACCUCUCUAGCGUACUGCCUCAUUUCUUCAGUCAUUUCAAAACUGGGCAUGACUAUGGGCUCAGAAGUUGCAGUCCUUUUUGCCUUCUUGGGGCUUGAGUCUUCAUCCCAGUUCUCUUCCAGUUCUUUCAACAUUUCUUCCCUUCUUCCUUCAGCUGUCUUCAGAUUUCUUGUUAAAUUAGACCUCUUCCUUUGGAUGGUCUGAAGAGCAGCUUCUCUUUUAUUUUUGGGACUUUAAGGCUUUUCAGAAGCAGCUUGAUCAGAAGCAGCUUGUUCAGAACCAGCUUGUUCAGAAGCAGGCUGUUCUGCUGUUUCUUGAGUACUCCUUGUCCUUUUUCUGAUAAGAGGGACAUCAUCCAAAUCCUCCACUUCCUCAAGAAUGGUGGACAUAGCAGAUUUUUCCUUCUUAGCUUUCUUAUGCUUCUGAGCACCCACCUCAGUAGCAUCUUCAGCAAGGUAUUCUUCCUUGGUGAUCUGCUUCUUUUUAGAUUUUCUGCCUUUGGCCACAGGCAGAUCACCACCAUACAUUUCUUCUGGGAUAUCUUUCAGGCUGAUUUUCUUGUUGUAGCUCUUGUAGUAGUCCAAGAUGUAGGCCCUCUGCACAUCCAGGGGAUCUUUCUUGCAGAUAGGGAUGUGAUGAGUGACUAGAUCAGAUAUGACAUCAGAUUCAUGCAUAUCUGUAUCUAGUUUCUUGCAAGUUGAAAUCAGCCUCAUCUUGACUAGAGUUGCCCCAUUGAUUAUUUUUCCUGUGACUGCUCCCAGCUUCUGAUUAUCAUAAAUACCCACGUCUUUCAGGGCACUUAGGAGUCCUCCUUCUUGAAAGAUUAUGGAGAGCAGCCUUCCAUAGGGAACAAACUUCCUGUUCUCCAUCUGGCUCUUCUUGAGUUCCUUGAUCAUGUAUUUAAACAUAUACUUGGGAACAUUCAUUGUUGUUUCCUGAGAGAUGGUGUGAUGCAGAAAGACUUUGUGACCAAGUGAAGGUUGAUCAUUUCCUCCACCUUUGGGAAAAAUGUUUUCAUUUUGGAUCUUCAGCAGCAUUUUCUUUUCCAUGCUUAAGGUGCUGUAAGGCUUAGCAUCCUUUGAUCCGUAGAUAGUGUUGUUUACUAUCUCCUUCCAUGGGCUUGUUCUGGGGUUAGGAAUCUCUUCUCCAUCGUAUGUCCCAGAAGCAUCCCUUCUCAUGGCUUGAGCAAUCACAUGCUCAUUGAUUGUUACAGGAAUCCCCAUGACGUUUGAUCUAAUCUCAGUCCCAGUGAAGGCGAGUAGACCCAUUUCUUCUCUGGUUUUUCCCUCCAAAGUAGGAUCAACCAGAAUCAUCUGAGCUUCUUCCUGUUUAGCAGCAACUUUGUCAAACACUGAAGCUCUUACCCAGAAUUGUCUGACAAGCACUUCAUAAGUAGGACCGUUGAGAAGACUGAAGUAACUCAUCAGCUUCUGCUUUUUGUAGAAUCUUACCAAGUCGCAUCCAUGAUGAGUUAGAGAAGUGAAAUCCACUGGAUUUUCCGCUUGAAUGAUUAGAUCCCAUUCCUCAAUCGACAUAGUUCUUCCUUUGAUUUCAUAAGCAGGAGUAUCUAUAUCCAUAUUCGAUGAAGAACCACCGGCAGAACUUGAAGAUGCCAUUGAUUUUAAGUAGAAUUAGGGUUCUAAGGUGUUUUGAGAGGUUGAGAGAAUGUGCUUACUUACACAGAGGGUUGAGAAGAAAUUAGAAAGUGUUUGUUGUGAAGUGAGAAGUGUGUGAAAUGACUUAGUGUUUUUUAUUAAAACGUUUGUAAUUCAGAAGGGACAAACAAACACAGCAUUAAUGACAAAUUGGGGGCGCGUGUAAGUAUGUUAAAAAGCGAAUAAAACAUCAUUGCCCUUUUUGUUAUACUCCAAUACAAAUAGACCACGUCAGAGACUCUUCAGAAAACUACUUUUUGGGUAAUGGGACAGCUGUUUACAUAAAGUAACUACCAACGUUCCCACUAACCAAGCUAUUCAGAAGCAAAGAAUAACACUUCUGAAGUUUUAGUGCUGACGUCAUCUUCAGAAGCACAUUUUCCUCAGAACCUCAGUUAAGAGCUUCUGAUGAACCAAAAUGCUCCUGAAUAAACUUCAGAACCAAACUUCUUAUUCAGAGGCAAGCAAUUUUUCAAUCAGACACAAAAUGCAUGUUCAAAUUUUUCUUAAUAAAAUCAAAUCUUUCAACAGACAAAGGUUUUGUAAAUAUAUCAGCCCAUUGAUGUUCAGUAUCAAUGAAUUGUAUAUCUAAAAUUCCUUUUUGAACAUAGUCUCUGAUAAAAUGGUGUUUGAUUUCAAUAUGCUUGGCUCUUGAAUGUAGAAUUGGAUUCUUUGACAAACAAAUAGCAGCAGUAUUAUCACAAUAAAUGGGAAUACUGUUAGCAUUGAUCUGAUAGUCUUCCAACUGAUGUUUCAUCCAAAGUAGUUGUGUGCAACAACUUGCAGCUGAAAUGUACUCUGCUUCUGCUGUAGACAUAGCAAUAGUUGCUUGUCUUUUGCUUGCCCAGGAUAUCAGAUUCUCUCCCAGGAAUUGACAAUUUCCACUGGUUGAUUUUCUUUCAAUCCUAUCACCAGCAUAAUCAGCAUCACAGAAUCCAAUCAACUUAUAAUCUAGGGAUUUCCUAUACAGGAGUCCAAGAUUAGUUGUUCCUUUCAGAUACCUGAAGAUUCUCUUAACUGCAGUUAAAUGAGAUUCUCUAGGAUCUGAUUGAAAUCUUGCACACAAGCAUACACUGAAUAAAAUAUCAGGUCUAGAUGCAGUGAGGUAUGACAGAGAACCAAUCAUACCUCUGUAUAGCUUCUGGUCUACUACUGUUCCAGUAUCUUCUUUGCUUAAGGUGCAGGUUGGAUGCAUUGGAGUGUUCAUCACUUUACAAUCUUCUAGCUUGAACUUCUUCAGAAGCUCCUUUGUAUAUUUUGUUUGAUGAACAUAUACUCCUUCUUUACUUUGGUUGAUUUGAAUUCCCAGAAAGAAUUUCAAUUCUCCCAUCAUACUCAUUUCAAAUUCAUCCUGCAUUAACUUAGAAAAUUCUUUGCAAAGAGAUGCAUUAGUAGAACCAAAUAUUAUAUCAUCAACAUAUAUUUGCACAAUCAAAAUAUCUUUCUUAAGAGUCCUUCUGAAGAGUGUUGUGUCAACUUGUCCUCUUUCAAAAUCAUUUUUAAUUAAGAAAUUACUUAGUCUAUCAUACCAAGCUCUGGGAGCUUGUUUCAAGCCAUAUAGUGAUUUCUUAAGUUUAUAAACAUGGUCAGGAUGCUUAAGAUCCUCAAACCCAGGAGGUUGUUUAACAUACACUUCUUCUUCAAUGACACCAUUAAGAAAAGCACUUUUGACAUCCAUUUGAUAUAAUAUUAUGCCAUGAUUAAUUGCGUAGGAUAGAAGUAACCUGAUUGCUUCCAAUCUUGCAACUGGAGCAAAUGUUUCAGUGUAAUCAAUGCCUUCUUGUUGACUGUAGCCUUGAGCAACAAGUCUGGCUUUGUUUCUGGUUACUUCUCCUUGUUCAUUCAGCUUGUUUCUGAAUACCCAUUUUGUUCCAAUAAUGUUCUUCUGAGAAGGUUUGGGUACCAGAUCCCACACAUCAUUCCUUUGGAAUUGAUUUAGCUCUUCUUGCAUAGCUAAUAUCCAUCCAUCAUCUGAGAGAGCUUCUUCAACAGUUUUAGGCUCAAUUAUUGAAAGCAGUCCUAUUAAAGACUCUUCUUGUCUAAAAUGUGAUCUUGUUCUUCUAGGACUAUCUUUGCUUCCAAUGAUUAACUCCUCAGGAUGUGAAGAUUUGUGCUUGAAUUUAGGUUGAAUAACCUGCUGAGUGUUAUCUUGAAAGUCCUCAGAAGCACUUUCAUUCUGUACUUUUGGGCUAGGUUCUGCUUCUGAAUUAGACUCAGCUUCUGGAGUGAUUUCAGCUUCUGGACAAGAUUCAACUUCUGUAUACUUUUCAGAAUCAGAAGGUUGAUCAGAUUCUGAUGCAUCUUCAGAAUCAGUUGUACCUGCAUUACUUUCACUUUGCUCUGAAGUUUUACUUCCAGGCUCUCUAUCAUCAAAUUUUACAUGCAUAGAUUCUUCAACACGUUGUGUUUCUGAAUUAUACACUCUGUAUGCCUUUGACCUUUCAGAGUAACCUAAAAAGAUUCCUCUUUGAGCCUUGGCAUCAAAUUUCUUCAGAUAGUCUUUAGUGUUUAAGAUGUAACAAGUACAUCCAAACUGAUGAAAGUAAGAGAUAUUGGGUCUUCUUCCUUUAAAGAGUUCAUAUGCUGUUUUCUCCAACAUAGGUCUGAUAUAGAUCCUAUUUUGAAUAUAACAUGAAGUAUUGACUGCUUCUGCCCAAAAAUGUUUAGCUAAGUUGUUUUCAUGGAUCAUGGUUCUGGCCAUUUCUUGUAAGGUUCUGUUCUUUCUUUCUACAACCCCAUUUUGUUGUGGAGUUCUAGGAGAAGAAAACUCAUGGAGAAUCCCAUGUUUUUCACAAAAAAGUUCAAAUGGCUCAUUUUCAAAUUCUCCACCAUGAUCACUUCUGACUUUCAAAAUUUUCAAUUCUUUUUCAGAUUGUAUUUGAGUGCAGAAGCUGCUAAACACUUCACAUGCAUAGUCUUUACUUUUAAUGAAUUUUACCCAAGUCCAUCUGCUGUAAUCAUCAACAAUGACUAAUCCGUAUUUACUUCCAUAUAAAGAUGCAGUGUUAACUGGACCAAAAAGAUCAAUAUGGAGUAAUUCUAAGGGUCUGGAGGUUGAUACAAUGUCUUUAGAUUUGAAAGAACUUUUCACAAUUUUCCCUUUCUGACAUGCACCACAAAGUGCAUCUGAAUGAUAAUCAAUGUUAGGCAAUCCUUUGACCAGUUGUAACUUGCUAAUUUUAGAAAUUAAUCUCCAAUUAGCAUGUCCCAACCUUUUAUGCCAUACCCAUUUUUUAUCAUUCAUUGACAGAAGGCAAACUACCUUCUGAUCAGCCAGAUCAGAGAAAUUUAUUUUAUAGACAUUCUCAACUCUCUUUCCCUUGAAUGUAAUGGAUUUGUCAUCCUUGUUGACUAGUGUGCAGUUGGUCUUACUGAACGUUACAUCAUACCCAUUGUCACAAAAUUGACUAAUGCUCAAUAGGUUAUGCUUCAGACCAUCUACUAGCCACACAUUAUUAAUUGAGAUGGAGGAAUUACCAAUAGUACCUGUACCAAUGAUCUUUCCAGUUUGGUUGCCACCAAACUUCACUUCUCCUCCAUCUUUCAUUGUAAGGGUAAGGAACAAAGCUUUCUCUCCAGUCAUGUGCCUUGAACAUCCGCUGUCUAGGUACCAUGACCUUUGUUUCUCUCUUGCCCUUAAGCACACCUGCAUUUUUGGCCAAUUCAGAUUUAGGUACCCAUAUCUUCAUGGGUCCUUUUGGGUUAGUUUUGGAGGUUUUACUUUUCCUCCCUUGUACCUUAGGGUGAAUGCUGAGUGGCUUCUGAUCAUUCAAUACUUUAGGUUUGACACCUUUUGGUAUUGUUUUCUCAGAAGCAGUAGCUGCUUUGUUCUUCUGAUCCUUUUGUUUUGGAAUUUUAGAUUCUGGUUUAAUCAGAUUCUGAUGAACAGGUUCUGAUCUUUUCAGAAUUUUAAUCUUUUGACUCUUAGGAUCAGAUUUUGUCAUUACCUUGAUCUUAAGAUUCUUUGGCUUUGAUGUGAUCUUAGCCUGUGAACCUGAAGCUUCAGGUUUUGACUGAACAGCAGUUAUAGCAUUUGUACCUUCAGGCACAAAGGUGGAUUUCAAUCCAUCCUUGAUACAAUCACAGUAGCUCUUGAGACUGUAUUCUUUGGAUUUCUCCUCAGAAUAUCCAAUCCCUUUGCCUUUGUUCUUGUAUGUGCUGUAGAUCAUAGAAGCAACUUUGCUUCUGUCUAUUCCAGCCAUAAUAAAAUCAUCCAAGGCAAUCUCAUGUUUAUUGCCUGAACCUUUAUCACAUUUUUCUUGUAGCUUCUGACAAAGACUCUUGAGUCUAUCUUCAUAUGUUGUUGAUAUGAGGUUAAACCCUUUGAGUUCUUCUUCAGAAGCUUUCAGUUCCAAUAGAGUUGAUUUUUGUUGUUUCAUCAAAUCAACAUAUUUUUCUUUUAAAUCUGUCAACUCAUUGGUUCUGUGUUCAAACAGUGAUAAAAGUUCUUUUAGAGAAUCAACAAGUUCUUGUCUAGGGAUUUUGGAAUAUACCUCAUUUUCAUCUUCUGAAUCUGAUUCAGCUUCUGAUACUGCUUCUGAUGAUACUGUUGCCACUAACCCAACGGCUGCCUUAGCAUCAUCAUCAGCUUCUUCUUUAUCAGAACCAGAUUCACUAUCCAAAUCUUCCCAGGUCGCCAUCAAGCUCUUUUUGAUUUGCUUUCUGAAUUUACUGGAGUUGAAGCUUGAUUUCUUGGAUUUGCCUUUAAACUUCUCCUUCUGAAGAUCAGGGCAAUCAGCAAUGAAAUGACCAGGCUUCUUACAAUUGAAGCAUCCCUUCUGAUCUUCUUUCUUGAAGUUCUUGUAGCUACCUCUCUUGCUCAAAAAUUUCUUCUGCUUCCUUGCCAGAUACUCAAGCUUGUUGGACAGCAUAGCCAUCUUUACAGAUUGAUCUUCAUCAGAAUCUCCAUCAGGUGAUUCUUCUUCAGAUUCACUGGCUUUGUAGGCUUUGGAAGACUUUGAGGUCUUUCCUUUAGAUGGUAAAGCAAUGGAUUUACUCUUCUUAGAGGUUUCAUGCUCAUUUAAACUCAUUUCAUGCACUUUGAGUGAGCUAACAAGAUCUUCAACACUUAAAGUAUUUAGAUCCUUAGCUUCCUCAAUAGCAGUUACUUUGGGUCUCCAUCUUGAAGGUAAGCUUCUCAAAAUCUUACUAACAUGAUCAGAAGCAACAUAGCUUUUCUUCAGUAUCUGCAAUCCAGAAACUAAAGUUUGAAAUCUUGAGUACAUUUCUUCUAUACUCUCAUCAUCCUUCAUUCUGAAAAGUUCAUACUGAUGAACUAGCAUCAAAGCUUUAGCCUCUUUUACUUUCUUGCUGCCUUCAAAGUUUGCACAUAGAGAAGCAAACAUAGCCUUCGCAGUAGAUUUGUCACUCAUUUUCAUGUAUUCGGUGCGAGGUAUAGAAGCCACAAUGAUUCCUCUUAUCUUGUGAUGUUUCUUAUAAAGCUUCUUCUGAGCAGGAGUAUGUAUUCUUCUGUCUAUAGCAGCUCCUUCUUCAUCCAAAUCCAGAUCAUCAACUCCAUCUUCCAGUAUAUCCCAUAGCUCUUCAUCCAAUCCCAUGAUAAAGCUGUACAUAUUAGUUUUCCACCAUGAAAACUCUUCUGGAUCUCCAUUAAACUUUGGAGCUUUUCCAGAGUCUGUUUUCUUGUCAGCAGUAUCAUAGUCAUGCUUGACACUUGUGUAUUUUGUAGUAACUGAUUCCUCAUCUCCAGACAUGUUUUUCUAAUAGAUCUUGAACUGUAACACGGUUAAGUGCUGUGAUAACAGAGCAAGCUCUGAUACCAAUUGAAGGUGAAAAACACAAGAAGGGGGGGGGGUUGAAUUGUGUUUUCUUUUUCUCUUAAAAAAGGAUUCUUCUUCUGAUAAAACUUCAGAAGCAGUUUGAUUGCUUCUGAUGAAAUGAUCAGAGUCAGAUUGCAGCGGAAAAGAACAGAGCAGAGAAAAGAAAGACAAAGACACAGGCAGUUAUCCUGGUUCCUUCCACAACACGGAAGUAGUCCAGUCCCCCUUGCACUUCCAAGGAGAUUUCACUAUAAUCACAAGAUUACAACUGCUCAAUACUUUCAAAGUAUGAGACUUCACAAAACAAUGCUCAAGCACACACGCAAGAGUCUUCCAAUGCUCAAGCACUAAGCAAGAGACUUCUAAUGCUCAAGCACGCAGGCAAGAGACUUCUAAUCAAACAAAAAUACAGAGAAUUGAGUUUGAAUUGAACACUUGAUAUACAAUCAGUGGUGUUCACAAUACAAUACAGAAAAGACUCUAGACUUUGAAUUUCUAAGAUGUAUCAAAUCAGUGCAGAAAUUCAGUGUGCUUUUUAGAAUCAAAUUGACAGAGUUUUGGCGCUUUUAAACUUAUGUAUCUCUCUCUAUUAUCUUCAAGUCUUCACUCCUUUAUAUAGAGGCGUGAAAGAGACGUUGAGUAAUCAGCACGUCUAAAGAGUCGUUUGAAAUCCUUUGAUUAUCCACCAGUGAUCCUUUGCCUGAUUUGGGUGUAGUCCUUUGAAAAAUAACUUCAAAUUCAUUCCCAUCUUGAGUGUACAAUUCUGCAGGCAUGGCUGUUGUUUUGUCUUGUAGCGUAGACAGAAAACAGAGUAGUGGAGGUAGUGGUUGUACACUUGUACUUUGUCAACUCUAUUAACGAGAGACAAGAGCUCAGUGCUAUCCAUAUAUCCGUUGAUACCUCCCUUUCAAUUCUUCGUUCUUCUUUGAUAAGACUGAAUUGAAAAUCAGCUACUUUGAAUCUUCAGUUUGAUUAAAGGAUCAAACGUAGCUUCUGGUGAAGAUAUUGCUUCUGAUGAAAACUUUUGCUUCUGAUGACCUUCUGCUUCUGAUGACGUCAUCUCUUCAGGAGCAGUUUAGCUUCAGGAGCAGUUUUCUUCAGAUGCUCAGAAUUUCUUUUUUCUUUCCAUUGUUCUUCCAAGACCUAUUGAAAUAACUUAAGUAGCCUUUGGUCCUGUACACUUGAACAAUUAUUAGUAAUAACCAAUUGACAAUUUUUAAUACCUUGUUAUCAUCAAAACUCAAUAAGGUUCAUUGUGAAACACACUUUGUUCCAACACUUCUAACUACCUUGCUUUGUGUUUCUCUCUAGAAAAGCCCUAGUCUCUCUCUAAAAACCAGAAAAAUGUAAAAGACAAUGUAAUAAUCUGGAAAGAGGAGAAAAAACUAUUUAUAUGAGCUGAAAACGUGUCGUUCGCUUAAGCGAAGAAGCGUUCGCUUAAGCGAACUUCCAGAAAAUCUUCUAUUGGCCAUUGAGGAGCUGCCACGUGGUCCUUAUCUUCUGAAGAUUGAUGAACUUCGCUCAAGCGAACUGGGAGCGAACUUGUGAGCGAACUUCCUGGAGCUCUCUGGAACUGGUUCGCUUAAGCGAACUUGAGGUCGCUUAAGCGAACUGGCCUUUCUUCAUGAGCGAACUGGAAGCGUGCUAGUAAGCGAACUAAUCCGGUGCUCUCUGUAACAGGUUCGCUUAAGCGAACAGGGGUUCGCUUAAGCGAACUGACCUUGGUUCAAGAUCUCCCUUCUUUUGGUCUUUGCUUGUCAUUUCCUGCAUAAAUUGGGUAGAAUCAGGCAUGUAAGGCAUAAAUGGUAAAAAUACACUCAAAUGGUAACUUUUCCUUAGAUAACUUGCAAAACAAGUCACUAAUUUGCCUAAUUUAACACAUGAAAUAUGUUACUUUUGAGCACUUAUCAAGGUUGCAGAUCCAAGGUAUUCUCCACACGUUGAUUUUAGAAACAUCACCAAUCUUCCAUCUAUGGCCUAUGAUAAGUAAAUUUUGGGUACUCCAAAGACUCCUCCAUGUAUAGCUUGGAUUAUAGCCAAGGUUGGCAUCCAAAAAAUCCCGUCGGAGAAAAUAUUUAACUUUAAAAACUCUAGCAAGUAAAGAGGUAGAGUUGGUGAGAAGCUUCCAACUUUGCUUACCAAGCACUUUGCUUACCAAGCAUUGAGAGGGAGGGAAAGUCAUAAUGACUUUCUAUUUCGUAUAUUACUUUCUCUCUAAUCUUAACUGUUAUUUAUUUUUCAUGAAACACUAUAAUAUAUAUUAAACUCAUCAUAACUUUUCCUCCAUUCAAUCUCAAUGAUCAUCUCAAAAUGGAUGUGUUAGAGCAAGUGUAUUUAGCAUUAACUCUUUUUGGUAAACUUCAAAAACAAAAUUAAAUAACAGAAAUUAUAUACACACUCCCUCCCUCGUCCACAAUGAGUGAUCUGUUUAGAAAAUAAAUUGUCUCAAAAGGAUUGAUUCUUUUACUUUUCCAGACAAAAUUAUUUGUUAGUCUUUCAAUUCUACCAUCUAAUUAAUACUACCUUCGUAACUCUAAAAUCAAUAUAUUACAUGUAUAUUUAUGGUAAUGAGAUUACAUUAAUACAAAAUAUUUCUUCCGUUCCAAAUUAUAUGUCGCUUUGAAAUUUUUUUUGUCUCAAAUUAUAUGUCGCUUUAAGAUACCAAUGAAACAUUAAUAUUAUUUUUCCUAUUAUAUCCUUAACUAUUUAUUACUCUUUCUUUUUUCAAUUCUUUAAUUUAUCUUUUCAAUUUAUUUAAUAAGGACAAUUUUGUAAAAUAACUCGUAAUAUCUUUUUUUCAUACUAAAUUAAUUACAUUUCUUAAUACAUGUGAAAUUGUCAAAACGUCAUAUAAUUUAGAACGGAAUAAGUAAAAGACAUUUUAGUAAAACUAUAAAAAAAAAUUUUGACAAAAUUUUAGUAAAACUAUAAUCUCACUCAUUUAUUUAUACAUUUUUAUUUUAUUUUUACAGAAAGUUUAUACAUUUUCUAAAUCAGUGUGAAAUGAUCAAAAUGACCACUCAUUAUAAAAUAGAGGGAAUAAUAGGUAUCCCACGCUUAAAGCAUGGUGACCUUCAAAAACGUUUAAAUAAUAGAGACUUCAUAUAACCCAAAAAAAUGUAUUUAAUAGAGACGACAUAUAAUAUAUAAUAGGAAAUUUGUACCAUAAGAUACAAGAUAAAAAUCUAAAAAUUAAAUUGAAAAAUAAAUGUUUUAUUGAAAAAAAAAACAAGUUUUUAAGAUAAUCAAUGCACAAUUUCUAAAAUUAUAUGAGUAAAUUACACUCCUCUCCCCUCAAAGAUGUUUGAAUUACACUCUCCUCCCCUCUUAAGUUAAAAUAUACACUCCCAUCCCCUCUUAUUCAAAACAUAUUAGAAAAAAUUUCACUCCCCUCCCCUAAGAGAAGCUUGAAUUACAUUCUCCUCCACUCUUAUGUUAAAAUCUACACUUUACUCCCUCAAUAUUCUUUUUUAUUAUUUCUAAUAUUCUAGCAAAAAUUAAUAAUUUAACACACUUAAAAAAAUAGUAUUGCGGGUCUAUUUUAAUAUAAUAAAAAAUUGAAUACAUAUUUUUCGCUAUUUUUUAUUCACAAUUUCAUUAACAUGUAGUUUUAAACCCUAUUAUAAAAUAUGAAACAAGCCAAAACAAAAUUAAAAUAUGUGAAAAAUUACUAAAAUCAUUAAAGCAUGAUUAUUUAAAAGUUAAUUUUAUACUCUAAUUUAUAAAAUCAAUAGCAAUAUAUUUAAAUUUAAUUAUCAUAGACAUUUAAACUAGGCUUAAUUACAUUUUUGGUCCUCUAACUAUUUAGUUGGAAUCGGAUUGGUCCUCUAACUAAAAAUUGAUUUAUUUUGGUCCUCUAAGUUUCUCACCAUUACUACAUUUAUUCUUUUCUGUUAGUUUUAUUCAAAUAAACGUUAGGGUUUGUGUUAUGUGGGUAUCUGACCUCCUAUUUCACACAUACAUAUGAACCAUAACAGUUACCAAUAAUAUCGGUCACUAUUUGAUCAUAAUUCUUAUCAAGGAAUAGAACCAAAAUGAUGCUAAUAAAUAAAGUUAGAGGACCCACAUAACACAAACCCUAACGUUUAUUUGAAUAAAACUAACAGAAAGGACUAAAUGUAGUAACGGUGAGAAACUUAGAGGACCGAAAUAAAUCAAUUUUUAGUUAGAGGACCAAUCCGAUACCAACUAAAUAGUUAGAGGACCAAAAAUGUAAUUAAGCCUUUAAACUAUAAAGAAAUGAAUUAAUUUUUCUUAAAUGGUGAUUCAAAAUUAAUAUAUAUUAUAAGAAUAUUUAUUUAUGUUCAAAUAGAUUAAAGUGUAGUGCAUAUUUAAUUAUUAAGGGAGGAGUUUGUAAUUCAAGCAUCUUAUAAGAGAGGGGAGUAUAAAUUUUAACAUAAAAAAAAUAUUGAGGGAGUAAAGUGUAUAUGGGGAGUGUAAUUCAAACAUUUUUGAGGGGAGGGGCGUGUAAUUUACUCAAAUUAUAUUUAUAAAUUUAGUUUUUAUCAUGUACUCUUAAAACACAAGUUAUUAUGACCAUAUUUAAUAUGUAUUCUUAAGACACAAGUUAUUAUGACCAUAUUUAAUAUGUAUUUAUUUUUUUUUUUUUUUGUGAUACACCCUACUAAUAAGUAUACCAACAACCAAAUACCAUUCAUUAAAAAAGAAGGGACCAAUAUUUGGUUGAAGUUGCACAGAGCAUUUGUAGUGCUAGGCAUUAAAGAUGACGUAGGUUCAACGGCGUAUCCAGGAUCUUGGAUAGGGGUGCAAAAAAUUUAACUUAAUUUAAUAUUUAUUUUAUAUAUUUAACUAUAUAAGUAAUAAAACCAUAAAUUUUAAUAAAUAUAAUAAAAUUUAUUGCACACAUAUCUUAGAAAUAUUUCCAUGAUGGACUAAGUAUUGGGCGAUGCAGAACGUGAUAAGGUUGAACUCAUUAGAGGCUUUUAGAUAGAUUUCAAAACGAUGUAGAAGAUUACUAUUAUUGUGGAAGUGAAUAUGUUAUAAAAAGAGAUAAAUAGAGAGAGGAGCAUUCAUAAACUUUUGUAUGACUAACUCAUGUACAAUAUUAUGAAACUCAAACCAAUCAACUAGUCAAUAACAUGUAACUAGUAAAACCCAUAUGUUAAAUUAAAAAAGGGACCAAUAUAUGGUUGAAGUUGUUAACACGGUAGAUAAAACUUCAUUGUGCAGUAAAUAUUUGCGUGGUGGGCAUUCGUUAAAAUGUUACUUCAUCCGUUUUAAAAUGAGUGUCGCUUUAGUAAAAAGAAAUUGUUUUAAAAUAAAUGUCACUUUCACUUUCCAAUGCAAUAAUAACUUUUUCUUUUCAAUUGUACCUUUCAAUUAAUACUCUGCACACUACUUUUAAAGUACUACCUCCGUCCCUAAUUAUAAGACCCUUUUGAAAAAAAUAACGCGAAUUAAGAUAGUGGAUAUUUGUAUUAAAUAUGUUUGUAAUUACUAUUGUUUUUACAAUUUUAUCCUUUAAGAAAGAGGGUUUGGCUUAUGUUUUCAACAUUCUAUUUAUUGCUGAUUGAAGAAAAAGAUGUAUAAUAAAUAGGGGCAUGUAUGUAAAAAAAUAAUUAAUGUAGUUGGAAAUAGAAAAAGGAUCUUAUAAAAAGGGACAAAAAAAAUUCUCAAAAGGGUCUUAUAAUUAGGGACGGAGGUAGUAUUACUUUUAAAACUAACCAAUAGUUAAUAAGGAUAAUUUGGUAAAAUAACCAUUCGCUUUCUUUUAAUCAUUGCUUUUCUUAAUAUGUGUAUAAACACCUAAAACGACACUCAUUUUAAAAUGGAGGGAGUAUUAUUUCUCAUUUUUCUAAUUAUUGUUGUCAACUUUUGUUGGUUCAAAAGUUGCAUGCAUGCUAUCAAGGCGUUGAAUAAACAGGACAAGUCGGAACAAGUGGCUGUAUUUAGCCAGACACAAGCCAAUUCCAUUUACAAUAACUCGUUUGUGUUUGUAUUUUUUUAUGAAAAAGGCAUUUUAGUUUUUCAUGAAACUUGUACCAAAAAAACAAAAGUUUUUCAUGAAACAAGAAUCAUUAAAAAUAUGAUUUUAAUUCUCUAUCUAAAAGGUGUCAACCUAAUGGUUAGAGCUUAAUUUAUAAUUGGAGAAUGCUAACCAUUGCAUUUGGAGCAUUGGAUAAAGGGAUAAAAAUAGAAAUAUAGCAUUGAAAAAUGGUGAAAAGUGAUAAAUUUAACUUUUUAAAAGUCAAAAUGUUGUUGAAACCAAUGCAAACAUGUUACUUUUGGCUUCCUUAAGUUAGCAAGACCCUUUAUAAUUUUAUGAACAGUUAUACCGCAACAAUUAGUGUCAAUGUAUUAAUAAAAUUUCUCCUUUCAUAAAUAUAUGAGAAAUGCUACAAUACAGCCGCUCGUCCCGUGAGCUUAACUCAGUUGAUAAAAAAAAAAAUACAAUGCAUAAUAUAUGCAAGGUCUGAGAUUCGAAUCCCGGUCACCACAAAAAAAAACAAUACAGCCACUCAAAUUUAUAACGAUGUAUUUUAAAAUCUUGCACCUUUUCAUUUUAACAAAAUUAAAGGUCAAAGCAUUGUGUAAAAGAGUUAAUCAGUUCAAUUAUUUUGGGGAAAAAGAAAAAAAAAACAUCUUCCUUCUAUACAAAAAAAAAAAAAUAUAUAUAUAUAUAUAUAUGGAAAAUGCUUGUUCCUACAAAUCUGUUAUCCACGAAAACCACGACUUGAUAUCCGCCAUCCAUUUUCAUAAACACAUGGCCAUGAUUUCCAUUAAAUCCGGAAUUAAUAGUUUUCCAUCUCUAUAAAGCAGAAAUGCAAUACAUUCUUGGUAUUCGUUGAAAAAAUCUUCGUGGAAAAUAGCACUUCUCUAUAUAUAUAGAAAUCAUACCAUUUUUUGGUGGUGUUUGCGGCAGUCAUGUGUCCGCCACUAUGGCACUUGGGGCUUUCCGGUGGUCCAAAUUCCUCGUAACGGUUUGCGAGGACUAUAUUUGCAUGGGACUUUUGUUUGCCGCAAAUAUGUCUUUGUGUUACCUUUUUCUUGUUUGCGUGGAAAAUUGGCCGACAUGUAAUCCAGGACAUUCAUGUAGUGAAUAUAUGGUUGCAUGUGAAAGCAUUAAUUCGUGUAAAGUUCAACAAUUAAGGGAUCAUCAACCUAAUUUCUAAUUUUCCAAAGAUCUAGUCCUAUAAAAAAUCUUGACUAUAAACCUAAUUUCUUAUUAUUUCUCUUGUGAAAGCAAGAAUAAAUCAUGAAUAUUUUUUUCUCAAAAUUUAGAUUUCAGGCCAAAGAAAUUUAAUUUCUUUUUUAUGAUAUUGAUAUAGCAAUAUAAGCCCAACAACCCAACUUAUUUGAGCAUCAUUUGAUUUUAGAGGCAUAUAGAGAUCAAACACCGUUAGGAAAGAAUGACCUCCGGUGUGAGGGUCAGCAAUAUGAGCAGGUUAAAUUUUCUUCUACCCCACAACCUACUAAUAUAGCUAAAGAAGUUUAAAUUUUUAGAUUUACUUGCAUAUUACAUUUUAAAGUUAUUCAAUUUACAAACUAAUAAAGGCUAAAAAUUUAUUAAAGCAUCUAUUAUCAUGCAAGCUUCACAAGAGUACAAUUAUCAAGUUUGUUAAGGUUAAAAGUCAAGAAUUUGGAAAUUCAUGAAUGGCGUGUAUACCGAUAAAACAGAUUUGGGCAUAAUUAUGAUUCUUGAUCUUCUAUAAUUGUUCCUUCGGAGCAAUGCUUCUAUAGUGCAUUCAAGAAAGUUACUUUUUUUAAAAAGUUAAUUUUGAUUUUAAUGUUUGAUUCAUUUUCAAAUUGUUGAUUUCUGAUUAAUGAUUAAUAGUAAUUCAUCUGGUAAUGUUUGCAACAUUUUGGACUUAUAGGUACUAUUUUAUUGUCGGAAUCUUUAACAUGCAAAUAUAGUUGAUGAUAUUAUGUGAUAGUCUUAAGUGUUAUACUUUGUGGGGGUGUUAUACUUAUAACAAGGUAGGAUAAAAUUAGAUUAAGUGUAGUCUUGUUAAUCAGAUGAGUUGAUGAUACUAUGAGGACUGAACUUUUGAUGUCAUUGUACAAACAGUGAAGUGUUACUCAUUACAUUUUUGAUAUUAUAGUAUUAACUUCACCAAAAAAAAGUCAAUCUCAUGAAUUCACCAUAGAAUUUUCCUUGUUACUAUUCUUGAAAUUGAAUGAAUUCAUUUAUAUAUUGAUUUAUUUUAUUUCUAAUCUAAGCAUUUCUCUUCAAAUUGCUAUCAUCCUUCAUCAUAUUUUCAGAAGACUUACAACUUUUACCUCUCAAUUUUACAUGGCUAAUAAAGCUUCAAGUUCAUCGGUUUGUAAUUCAAGUCGAAAAUCAUUGACCUUGGACGAGAAAGUAGAAUUAUUCUUUGCUGAGACUCCUCUCAAUCAGUAGGCUGAAGCAUUUUCUAUGACCCUUCAUCGAGUACUAGAAGGUAUGUACAAGACCAAUUUAGAGAACAAGAAGUUUGAAGAACCGUGUUUUGAACUAGAGAAACUCUCUAAUCAUGUCGAUUUUCCGACUGAACUUGUAAAAGAAACCAGAAGAAGAAAAUAAUUUUCUACUUGGUAUUUUGAGUCCAGUUUAAUACAUCUUUAUAGUGUCUCAACUAUUACUAGAUCAUGGUAUAUCGAUUGAUGUGUUAAGUCGUAGUAUUAUAUAGUAUUCCAGACCCAUCUCUGUUGUAUGAGUGAGUAUAUUUACUUUCCUCGUAUUAGCUUAAUUUCAUGGUAUUUUUGUAAGGGCAUCAAAAUUUGUAUUUUGUAUUUAGAAUCAAAACUAGGACAGUAAAUUUUCAGUUUUGAUACCAAAAAUCAACACUAUUUAGGCAAAAUCAUUCUCAACGUGGAUGUUAAUUAAGAGUCUCACAAGUAUUUUUUAGAGGAUAUAAUCUCAAAGUUUUCUUUUACUAAAGUUCGAUCAAACAUAUAUUAUAGACUUAUUUACGGUCUGAAAUGGCUAAGUAUAAAUCAAUCAAACCAAUCAAUCUCACACAAUCAUAAAAUUUAUUUAUUAUAAUCUAGUGUCACAAAUAAAAAUAUUUAAAAUCUGCAGUACAUAGCAUUCUUUCUUGUCAAGUAAUUUUUAUUCAUGACACAUACACACACAAAACACACAAACACACACACACACAGAGUUGCCAAGUAGGAGAGUACAUAUUACUAUAGAAAACAAACAGCUUGGUAACUAGGACCACUUAUUCAGUACAUAUACAUUUCAUAACUCUCAUUUCAUACUUUAGAAAUGAUUGUUAUCUUCUUUUGGAGGGUGGUGAGGAUGUGGUUUGGGUAAGUUGGUAGGAUGUAUAGGAUGAGAAUGAUCACCAAAUCCUUGAGUAGAUAGUGGAUGGUUUGGAUGAUGAUGAGGUUGAGAAGCAAAGCCUUGAGGGAUGAGAAUAAGAGAUGCAAGGAAAAACACAAGCAAGUAUGAGGAAAAAGAAGUCAUCUUAAUCUUAAUUAGUGUGAUUUUAGUAUUGGUGCAUAAAACAUAAGAAAUAAUAUCAUGUUUUAUACUAGUUAGAUUAGAGACAUUGGUGGUGAGUGGGAGGUGCAAUUAUUGAUCAAAUACGUCAGGCUAUUGCCAUAUGCUUACGGAUUAACCUACACG
This 124989-nucleotide long non-coding RNA is filed under the name Medicago truncatula (barrel medic). RNAcentral describes it as "long non-coding RNA (MTRU_LNC000181)". Lineage: Eukaryota; Viridiplantae; Streptophyta; Magnoliopsida; Fabales; Fabaceae. The record is from RNAcentral.